GGCAAGUCCAGCCUUGCUCCAUUCUUCUUCUUCCUUCUCCUCUUCCAUGCUUGGCCUUGAUCCUUGGAUUCUCCAUGGUCAUCUUGGUUGUACCUGAGUGUAUGCAAGGUCCAUGCAUGAGGUAGUAGCCGUGUCUCAUAUGCGGAAAGUGACGGUUCGAAGAGGAGUGAAUUCACCUUGUGUCCAAUGGCGUAUGUUCGAGGUCUCGUCAUAUGUCCUCUUGGGGCUUGGAGAGUAGUCGGAGUGUACAUGGGGAUGAACGUGGGAUGCUCCGCAUCAUAUCCCCCCCCCCUUGGGAAAGAUCCGACCUCGGAUCGUGAUCCUCAUCACCAUGGAAACGGUUGUCGUGGACGGACUUGUAGUUGGACGAAGUUGAAGACAUGGUGCAAUCCGCGUAGUCCAAGGUGUCGCCGGAGUGAUAGACCUGCAAAAAGAGCAAACACAAGCAACACUCAGAAAUAUAAUGGUUAGCGCACACAAAGUGUCCAUCAUGUAAGAAUGAGUCUGUGCGGCAAGAUUGGUUGUGACAAAGUGCAUGAAGCUUAUCAAGAUGAUCUAGAAUGAGAUGCAAAGCAUUCAUGGGAGGAAAUGCAAUCAUUGUGCACACAAAUGUGUUGUAAAUAUGAUCAAUGCAACCACGGUGCAAAAUGAUGUCAUAGUGAGACGGUUUAUCAAUAGCAUGAAUAUGGCAAUGGAUGCUCAAUAUGUAUAUGUUAUCAUGCAAUUGAUGAUGGACAAUAUGAUCAUGAUGUAUAAAUAUGCCUUCAAGGUAGAUCACAACAAAUUUGCUAUGGAAAUGCGCAAGCUCAUAUAUCAUGGAUGACAUGGGAAUACAAGAUGCAACAAGGCAAUCAUAAUGUGAGUCAAUCCUUGCAUGAGGUGCAAACUUGUGGUAAGUAUGAUAUGUCCAUCGAGCAUGACAUGUAUGAGCACAAUCAACAAAUAUGAAGGUGGUACUGUACCAAAGCUCGAUGUCGAGGCAUGAGUGGAGUGCCGAAGGUGCAUCCAAUAAGUGCAAGCGUUCCUCGAUGUGAAGGUCCAUGUAGCCAAUCUCCAAUGUCGCUCCUCAGUUCACGAGAUGUAUCAUGUAGACAACAAGAAGGAAACAACAAUGAAAGAGUGACCCAUCCAAUAUGCGUAUUUGAGGAUGGCUCAAAGAGAAGGAGUUCACCUCAAGAUAGUUCCCAAAGAUGUUGGAGUCCUACAUCAUGUAUGCCUUCACAUAACCAAUAUGUCUCAUGACGGUAUUGCCUUGUGAAUCCUUCAAAAUGAAAUAACAUGACAAACACUCGGAAAAACAAAUGAGGUUAGCGGAAAUGCAAAACCUAUCAUUCAAGUGGUAAGAUACCCAACAAGUGUAUGCAUCAUGCUCAUCAUAAGAAUGGACAAGGGAGCAUUUCAUAGUAUGAAGGCUUAUGAUGUAAGAACAACCGAAUACAAGAGGCUCAAUCAAACAAUCAUGCAUCACAAGUAAAGUGUCCAAGUCUCCAAGAUCAAUAAGCAUAGCAAGUUGGCACUCAAUACAAGGUGAUAUGACAGAUGCAACUAAUGGAGACAAGAGGCAAUGAUUAUGACAAAUCAAGUGAGAGGCAUGAGCAUAUAUGUCAUCAACCCAAGAAAGCAAGUGAUAGUUGAACAUGGGUGAUGCAACCAAGCAAGCAGUCAUAGCAAUCACGUCAAGCAAGCUAGUAGUGCGAAGAUGCAACAUACUAGAAGGAAUCAUGGCAAGCAUGUCAUGUGUGCAAAUAGUGGGCAAGAAUAAUGGACAUGACAUAGCACAAACAUGAAAGCAAGAUAUGAGCAAAAUAUCAUCAAUGUAUUGGCGAGAGACCAUAUGUGAAUAGCAAUGGGGCAUCAUGACUCUUCCAACACAACAAGCAUCAAUAGCAUGGGGCACAUGAUAAACAUGGCAAAAGCAACAAGGAUCUCCACCAAGCAUGCAAGUACACAUAGGGAUAUCAUAAUGGUGAAUCAUGGGUAGAUGCAAGCAAGGGUCAUAAUUGCAUGGCAAAGGCAUAGAAGCAAGAAUAACAUGCAAAGUGAACACAAUAGUGUGGGCAUAAGGUGACAAGUGGUAAAUAGCCCAUAGCCGUGUGAGAGCCAAGUAAAAAAGAUGCGCGUAGUCCUUGCGAAGGGAACGGUGGUAAGGAUAGUCCACGGGAUCCCAAGUCAUCGUUGCUCUCAAGAGCUCGUUUCGUCAACUCAUGGGAUUGUGAGGUUGACGAGUGUUCAUAAGUACCUACACAAAACAAAGACAAAGAGAAAAUUGUGUGUGCAUGGUAUAUGUACACAUCAUCCAUCAUGAUGCGCACGUGCAUGUGUCGGUUAGUACUAAAUAGCCAAUGCUCAAAUAAAUGAGAUGCGUUAUAUAGAAACAUGUCAUCCAUCAUGAGAGGUUUGUUAUUAUGUAUGUCAUAAUGGAGACUCAAAUUGUGUAAUGCAUCAUGAGAAAUAUCUAGAGCAUUGUUAUUCAUGGAAUGCAUAAGGUGCAAGCAAUCAUGGGAAUCAUGCAAAGUAUGAAAUGCAUCAAGAUCUCCUAAUAUGUAUGAGGAAACUAUGGGGGUCUCCUCAUGAACAUGAGUAGCAACAUCACAUGGAGAAUAUUGACAACAUCCAAAACAAUGCAUAUUCGAAACAAUGUGAUCAUGGCAUGACAUAGUAGAUGAAUUGCACAAAUCAUGUAAAGGAAGCAUGGCAAUAUCAUCACAAGAGAAGCAAAAGCCAAUGACCAUCAUCUCGUCAUCUAUGCCAUAAGUGCAAAUGGGAUUGAUCUUAAUGCGGCAUGCAUAGUUACUAUGUUGAGAUUGAAAUGAAGCAAUAUGGGAGAUCUCACUCAUAGCAUAUGACAAGUUCAAUGGAUUGUCAAACAUGAAGUGACCAAUAGAAUUUUCACAUGAUAUCCUAUGAAGCAUAGCAUCACAACUAGGCAACUCAACAUGCUCAUCAUCAUAUUCAUCAUAAAUAGGUAAGUCAAGACAUGAGGAAGUCGCACUAGCAUGAAGCAUGGUAAUAGGUGGGUCAACAUCAUGGGAGCAACCAUUGUCAAGAGCGUCCACUAGUGGGACAAGAGAAGCACCAUCACCUAUGUUACCUUUGGAGCAUAGCUCAUGUGUUGUAGGUGAGGUGUUGAAGAUCCAAUCAUUGUCAUCUUCAUCUUGAUGGAACCAUGUGGGGGGCGCAUCAUUGUCCACCAUGGCCAUCGGUUUUUCCAUUGGAGGGAUGGACUCGUCGAGGAUAGGCAUGUCGUCAUGUAGGAGACCUAGCACCAAAGAAGAAAACACACUAGGAGUAGACGUUAAGUCGUUAGAAAUCAUAGUGGUCUCACAUGCUGUGUCAACUACCUCACUCACUAAGUGUUGUGGCUCACUCACUCCCUCAAGGAUGCUCUCACUCGUAUGGUAGGUGGAGUCACUCAAAUGGCUCUCAACCUCACAUAGGAUGUGUUGCAUGCUCUCAUGUGUGGGGCUAGUGGUGGUCACACUCAUCCUCUCAUAGGAAAUGCUCUCAAUGUCACGUAUGGUGGAGGCACUCAUGUCACUCAUGUGGUGGUGGCUCUCCUCACAUGGCACUUUGGGCAUCUCUUCAUAUGUGGGUGUCGGAGAGGUGUAGGUGCAAAUGUCUCCAUGCGCGGUCGCGUAGCUUGACUCGGAGUAUGAGUCUAAUGUGAGCGCCGUCUUCAUGGUGUCGAAGAGGUUCGUGCUCGUCGCCGUGGUCGAAGGGGAUGGCCCUUGCUCGACCGUCUUGUCACUGUCUUGGUGUUGGAGGCCCAUAUGAUGUGGCAGCUCGUAGCUCGUCUCCAUGACCGAAGGGAAUUUCCCAUGCUCGGCCAUCUUCCUUGAGGGGCUUCCGAAGAUGGAAGUGUCACCCUCACUUGUAUGUGGUCGCCUUGGACUUGAUGAAGUCGUUGUAGGCAUACUUGUGGGAAGUAGGCGAAGAUGUCGUACGUCCAUAGGCGAAGAUGCCUUGAGAACACUUGGCGAAGAUGCCGAAGUGGUUGAUGUAGCCGUAGCGCCGUCUUGGUGGUGGUCGUCUCGCGGUCUUCUUUUAUGCUCAUGAAGCUUCAACUUGGCGUGUUGGGACUUGUGCAUUUGUGCUUGUGGAGCAUCUUCAUGAUGAUGGUGUCGUUGUCGCGCUUGAGCUCGAAGGCGUUCGUCGUCGUCGUGCACAUGAUGCUUGGAGGUGACUUGCCCUUCAUGACGAUGUUGAUCACGAACGUGAUGGUGGUCGCCAUGUAGAUGUGGACAAGGACGAUUUGCACUUGCAUCUUUUUCGCGCUCCGAAGACUUGUGGCUUGAACGUCAUCGUCUUGAGGAUGAUGAAGUGGAAGAAGACUUGAUCAAGGCCCGAAUCUCUUCCAUCCUCGCAUCUUGCUCCUCCUUUUGUGCGGCAAGCUUGUUGUUGAUGUAGUCCCUUUUCCUUGCUUCGGAGUGGAAAAUGUCGAUGGAGAUGUUCUCAAUGCGCUCUUGCAAUAUUGAUUGUGCGCCUUGCAUUUGUCAUUGUAGAUCGAAGAUAGACGCUUUGGAGAUGUAGUUGUUCACGCCGUCGUUGUUGUCGUAGACCGGAGAGGAAAUGCCUUGCCUAUCCAUCACAAAACUCGAGCAAAUAUGAGUGGGAGAAAGAGAAGAACUUAUACCAAUGUACCUUGACCGAUGUUGAAAAUGAAUCAAGUUCACUCAAAUGCGGACAAUGAAAUAGCACUAUUCGUACCAAUCCUUGUCGGUUCUCACACCUACACAAGUAAAGCUUAUAGUGGAGCUCGGUGAGGAUAGUGGCACAAAAAUUUAAUGCAAAAUGUUAGCAAGAGUCAACUAAUGUUGAAAGAGAUUCACAAAUUCGCAAGUGAAACAAGUAGACCAAUAGCAAUAUGUGUCACACGGAAACACACACACGGAUAGAUAAAUGGGGUCGUGUGAUGAGGACAUCAAUACAAUUGUUACACCCACAGCCCCUGCUGCUAUACAUACUGGACCAAUUACUAGAGCUCGUGCACGCCAACUAAAUUACCAGGUACUUUCGUUUCUUGGUAAUGAUUCUAAUGUUCAUGAGAAUAUGAUGCUGCCUAAAUUGGAUACAUUUGUUUUGCUUACAAAUGAAGGGCCUAGCUUGGAGAAGGAUGAACAUUCGAGCAAGAACAAGCAUGGAGAUGGUGGCAUGCGCAAGGGGAACAAGAACGGAGUUACAAGUGAUGAUUUCAGGACUUUGAAGCCACCAUAAUGGGUGCAUGAAGCCUUGGACGAAAUAUACAAGAUGCCACUUCAUAAAUUUUGUCCCGAGGCUAUUUUAGGUGCUGCGUCACCUUAUUAUUGGGCCAGGCCCAUGUAAUUUCGAAAUACAUAAGUAUAGGCUAUUUUUAGAGUCCGUAUGUGUGGGGAAACAAGAGAUAGGGUUGAUUUCGGACCCCUCCACCAAGGGCCACGAAAUUCCCCCCUCUUCCUCCAUAUAUACAGCCCUUAGGGCAUCGUUUAGACUUUGGGUUUUGUUUAGAUUAAAAGUUCGCCAUAUGAUGAGGACAUCAAUACAAUUGUUACACCCACAGCCCCUGCUGCUAUACAUACUGGACCAAUUACUAGAGCUCGUGCACGCCAACUAAAUUACCAGGUACUUUCGUUUCUUGGUAAUGAUUCUAAUAUUCAUGAGAAUAUGAUGCUGCCUAAAUUGGAUACAUUUGUUUUGCUUACAAAUGAAGGGCCUAGCUUGGAGAAGGAUGAACAUUGGAGCAAGAACAAGCAUGGAGAUGAUGGCAUGCGCAAGGGGAACAAGAACGGAGUUACAAGUGAUGAUUUCAGGACUUUGAAGCCACCAUAAUGGGUGCAUGAAGCCUUGGACGAAAUAUACAAGAUGCCACUUCAUAAAUUUCGUCCCGAGGCUAUUUUAGGUGCUGCGUCACCUUAUUAUUGGGCCAGGCCCAUGUAAUUUCGAAAUACAUAAGUAUAGGCUAUUUUUAGAGUCCGUAUGUGUGGGGAAACAAGAGAUAGGGUUGAUUUCGGAUCCCUCCACCAAGGGCCACGAAAUUCCCCCCUCUUCCCCCAUAUAUACAGCCCUUAGGGCAUCGUUUAGACUUUGGGUUUUGUUUAGAUUAAAAGUUCGCCAUAGCUGCAACUUCGCGUACUUCGUUUGUGUUCAACGACCAGACAAAGGCGUCACAGAACCCCACCUUGAUCAAUAAAGCUUUCAUCUUAUAUUCGCAAUAUCCAGAUUGCAAUCUUAGUUUCUUGCUUGUUCUUCGUUUGCUCGCAGGAAACAGACCCUCGUGGUCAGGUUGAUCGUGCUCCGGCGUGGUCAAUAACCUCUCGGAGUUGGUUUAGCGAUUGCUAAGGCGCGACGUCCUCGCACGUUCGUAGUCGGAUCGUCAAAGUCGACUUCCACCAAAGCGAAAUCCACCAUCUCAUCGAAAGACGGGACACCUUUGCCUCUAUCACUACAUGUCAAAAAGCUAAGUCACGACUCAAUCCUCAUGGUUUAUAUAUGCCUUUGCCUGUACCUAGUGUUCCUUGGGAGGAUAUAUCUAUGGACUUUGUUUUAGGUUUACCUCGAACAAAGAAGGGGAGGGAUAGCAUAUUUGUUGUCGUGGAUAGAUUCUCGAAAAUGGCACACUUUAUACCAUGUCAUAAAAGCGAUGAUGCUGUUAAUGUUGCUGAUUUGUUCUUUCGUGAAAUUAUUCGCUUGCAUGGUGUGCCAAAUACUAUUGUUUCAGAUCGUGAUACUAAAUUUCUUACCCACUUUUGGAGAUGUUUAUGGGCUAAGUUGGGGACUAAACUGCUUUUUAGUACUACUUGUCACCCCCAAACUGAUGGACAAACUGAAGUAGUCAAUAGAACGUUGUCUACUAUGCUUAGGGCUGUUUUGAAGAAUAAUAAGAAAAUGUGGGAGGAAUGCUUACCUCAUAUUGAAUUUGCUUAUAAUCGUUCAUUGCAUUCUACUACUAAGAUGUGCCCUUUUGAAGUUGUGUAUGGUUUCCUACCUCGUGCACCUAUUGAUUUGUUGCCUCUUCCAUCUUCGGAGAAGGUUAAUUUUGAUGCUAAACAACGUGCUGAAUUGAUUUUAAAAAUGCAUGAGUUAACUAAGGAAAACAUUGAGCGUAUGAAUGCUAAAUAUAAACUUGCUGGAGAUAAGGGUAGAAAACAUGUUGUGUUUGCUCCUGGAGAUCUUGUUUGGUUACAUUUGCGUAAGGAUAGAUUUCCUGAUUUGCGCAAAUCAAAGUUAAUGCCACGUGCUGAUGGUCCCUUUAAGGUGUUAGAGAAAAUAAAUGAUAAUGCAUAUAAACUUGAGCUGCCUGCAGAUUUUGGGGUUAGUCCCACUUUUAACAUUGCAGAUUUGAAGCCUUAUUUGGGUGAGGAAGAUGAACUUCCGUCGAGGACGACUUCAUUUCAAGAAGGGGAGGAUGAUGAGGACAUCAAUACAAUUGUUACACCCACAGCCCCUGCUGCUAUACAUACUGGACCAAUUACUAGAGCUCGUGCACGCCAACUAAAUUACCAGGUACUUUCGUUUCCUGGUAAUGAUUCUAAUGUUCAUGAGAAUAUGAUGCUGCCUAAAUUGGAUACAUUUGUUUUGCUUACAAAUGAAGGGCCUAGCUUGGAGAAGGAUGAACAUUGGAGCAAGAACAUGCAUCGAGAUGAUGGCAUGCGCAAGGGGAACAAGAACGGAGUUACAAGUGAUGAUUUCAGGACUUUGAAGCCACCAUAAUGGGUGCAUGAAGCCUUGGACGAAAUAUACAAGAUGCCACUUCAUAAAUUUCGUCCCGAGGCUAUUUUAGGUGCUGCGUCACCUUAUUAUUGGGCCAGGCCCAUGUAAUUUCGAAAUACAUAAGUAUAGGCUAUUUUUAGAGUCCGUAUGUGUGGGGAAACAAGAGAUAGGGUUGAUUUCGGACCCCUCCACCAAGGGCCACGAAAUUCCCCCCUCUUCCUCCAUAUAUACAGCCCUUAGGGCAUCGUUUAGACUUUGGGUUUUGUUUAGAUUAAAAGUUCGCCAUAGCUGCAACUUCGCGUACUUCGUUUGUGUUCAACGACCAGACAAAGGCGUCACAGAACCCCACCUUGAUCAAUAAAGCUUUCAUCUUAUAUUCGCAAUAUCCAGAUUGCAAUCUUAGUUUCUUGCUUGUUCUUCGUUUGCUCACAGGAAACAGACCCUCGUGGUCAGGUUGAUCGUGCUCCGGCGUGGUCAAUAACCUCUCGGAGUUGGUUUAGCGAUUGCUAAGGCGCGACGUCCUCGCACGUUCGUAGUCGGAUCGUCAAAGUCGACUUCCACCAAAGCGAUAUCCAUCAUCUCAUCGAAAGAUCGGGACCCUCGCCUCUAUCAAGUGGUAUCAGAUUUCCAGGUUGCUCGGUGAGAUUUUACAGUUUUUCGUAGUUUAGAUCGAGUCUGUUCUUCAUACCUAUAGUCCACGAAAAAGCCAAAAAAAAUUAGGGUUAGUUCAUCCCAUCCGAACCAAUCUGAGCCUUGCAUAAUCUUUUCUGUAUUUGCUUUGUUGAAUUUGCGGUUGCAUCGUCGUGUUCAGUUGCUGGUCUUAGCGUCUAGUCUUUUAGAGUUUCGAGUUCUGUUCACAAGUUGUCACGCCGUCGCCGCACCAUCAUCAUCGCCCCUGCCAUCUACCACCACCGCUCCGAAUCCGUAUCCAUAUACCACCACCAAUCCGCUGCCAUAUACCACCACCAUAUAUCCACCACCAAUCCGAGUUCCUUGCUUAUUAGGUUUGUUUUCGGGAUCAAUCUAGAUUCCGAUUCGUGUUUCCUUGCCGGAGUAGGUUUCGGGAAAAAAAAAGAGUCGGGUAGCCACGCUCCGUUUAGGCCCAAAAUUUUUCGAAAACGCAUUUUUCGAAAAAAUUUCUGGCUAUCCUAUUUUUAGGUGUUUCUGAGUGUUUUGAGACAGGUGCCAUUAUAGGAAGUUUUUUUUGACCCGUUUCCAGUUUUUGGGUCCGGGCAGUCAAAAAAAAAAAAUUGGUCAAAAAAUUUCGUGCCCAUCCUGUCAGUUUGAGCUAAGAAGAGUUUUGAGACACUCGCCAUUAUAGUGAUUUUUCGCAAAAAAAAAAGCAGCGCAAAAAAAAAAGAGCGCAAAAAAAAAAAUCCAGAGUGUGCUUUUCCCUUGUUUACGUGCCGCGCCGUGAUUUUGUUAGUGUUCUAGGCUCGCGUCUCUAGCACAGUCUAGCCUAGGACCAGCACAGUAUCGUCGUUGAGCGUUUAUUCAACUUUGCAUCUCUGAAUUGAUUAUUGCUGACCCUUUUUGCUACCAUAUUAUAAGCCUUCCCAGCUCCACAUACAUCUACGUCGUGUGUUUGACUCUCCCUGGUAAUCGCUCUAUCCAAGCUUUGAGAGUUUUUGACUACAACGGUUGCCGAUCACCGCCUGCUGCUGGGUAAGAACUGGUAAGAAUUUGAGAUUUGCUUGACGGAUUUGUGACACCCACCACCACCACUUGUUCGUAGUCUGUAGGAUCAUAUUCUUGUGUGUUUCUAUUGCUGUUAACCAUGCCAGGAUCACAAGCCGACGAGAUUGACUGGGAGAAUUUAUCGAACAAGGAGCUUCAUGAUAAGUUUCAGCAAAUGAUGACUGAACAGGUGCAAGAUGUGCUGAACAAUUUUGAAGAAGCCAUGGAGAAGAUCACUGGCUUUGAGAAGACGUUCGAAACAAAGCUCGAUAACAAGUUUAAUGAAUUGCUCGCGCGUCUUGCUCGAUAACAAGUAUACUAAUAUCACUCGUUUAUUCCAUCUUGCUUGUAAAGCUGAACGUGAAGUGCAGGAUCGACAAGCAUUGGGGCGAACUAACUUUUCUACAGGCCGACCUUCAUCAUGGACACCACGUGCAUCUUCUACUUCAACUGCACCAGCACCUCCAUCAGGUGCCACCUCCAGCCGUGAUACAAGAAAACAGGCACAACCACCAUUAUCUGCCAAGAGCGCACCUGCGGGGCCUGCACAGCGUUCUUCUUCUUCCAUGGCAUCAACAGGGCACACAAGUGAUAUUAUUUGUCGUCGUUGUAAGGGAGGAGGUCAUUAUGCGAGAGAAUGCAAAUCUCCGCGUGUGAUGAUUGCUACCGCGGAUGGUGGAUAUGAGUCCGCUAGUGACUAUGAUGAGGAGACUUUGGCUCUUAUUACACGUGAAGAACAUGGUGGAGAUGAUUCUGAUCAUGAGACGCAAUACAUGGCUCCUGAAGACGCUGACAGGUAUGAAUGUUUAGUUGCUCAACGUGUUUUGAGUGUGCAGGUCACACAAGCUGAGCAAAAUCAGAGGCACAAUUUGUUCCAUACCAAGGGAUUGUGAAGGAACGUUCUGUGCGCGUCAUCAUAGACGGAGGGAGCUGCAACAACUUGGCUAGCAUGGAGAUGGUGGAGAAGCUUUCUCUCACCACAAGACCACAUCCACAUCCUUACUACAUCCAAUGGUUCAACAACAGCGGCAAGGUUAAGGUAACACGUACUGUUCGUGUGCAUUUUAGUAUCUCUACAUAUGCUGAUUAUGUUGAUUGUGAUGUGGUACCUAUGCAAGCAUGUUCCUUAUUACUUGGUAGACCAUGGCAAUUUGAUAAAAAUUCUGUACACCAUGGUAGAAACAAUCAAUAUACUCUUGUUCAUAAGGAUAAAAAUAUUACUUUGCUUCCUAUGACUCCUGAUUCCAUUUUGAAAGAUGAUAUUAAUAGAGCUAAUAAAGCAAAACAGGAGACGAAUAAGAGUGAAAAUCAGAUUGUGGCAAAAGAAUUUGAGCAACAAAUGAAGCCUAAUAAUAAACCAUCUAGUGUUGCUUCUGAAAUUAAAUUGAAAAGUGCAUGUUUAUUUUCCACCAAAUCUGAUAUUGAUGAGCUAGAUUUCAGCAAAUCUGUUUGCUAUGCUUUUGUGUGCAAAGAGGCAUUAUUUUCAUUCGAGGACGUGCCUUCCUCUUUGCCUCCUGCUGUCACUAACAUUUUGCAGGAGUUCGCUGACGUUUUUCCACAAGACGUGCCACCGGGAUUACCGCCUAUUCGAGGGAUUGAGCAUCAGAUCGACUUAAUUCCCGGUGCUUCACUGCCAAACCGUGCACCAUACCGUACCAAUCCAGAGGAGACGAAGGAGAUUAUGCGUCAAGUACAAGAGCUUCUCGACAAAGGUUAUAUACGCGAAUCCCUUAGUCCUUGUGUUGUUCCUAUUAUUCUAGUGCCGAAAAAGGAUGGUACAUCACGUAUGUGUGUUGAUUGUAGAGGCAUUAAUAACAUUACUAUUCGUUAUCGUCAUCCUAUUCCUAGGCUAGAUGAUAUGCUUGAUGAAUUGAGUGGCUCUACAAUAUUCUCCAAAGUUGAUUUGCGUAGUGGCUACCAUCAAAUUCGUAUGAAAUUGGGAGAUGAAUGGAAAACAGCAUUUAAAACUAAGUUUGGAUUAUAUGAGUGGUUAGUCAUGCCUUUUGGGUUAACUAAUGCACCUAGUACUUUCAUGAGAUUAAUGAACGAAGUUUUACGUGCUUUCAUUGCACGAUGUGUGGUAGUUUACUUUGAUGACAUAUUGAUUUAUAGCAGAUCUUUGGAGGAACAUUUGGAACAUUUACGUGCUGUUUUUAUUGCUCUACGUGAUGCACGUUUGUUUGGUAACCUUGGGAAGUGCACCUUUUGCACCGACCGAGUAUCUUUUCUUGGCUAUGUUGUUACUCCACAGGGAAUUGAAGUUGAUAAAGCCAAGAUUGAAGCUAUUGAGAGUUGGCCGCAGCCCAAAACAGUCACACAAGUGAGGAGUUUUCUUGGCCUCGCUGGAUUCUAUAGGCGUUUUGUGAGAGAUUUCAGCACCAUUGCUGCACCUCUCAACGAGCUUACAAAGAAGGAUGUGCCUUUUGUUUGGGGUACCGCACAGGAAGAAGCCUUCACGGUAUUGAAAGAUAAGUUGACACAUGCUCCUUUACUCCAACUUCCUGAUUUUAAUAAGACUUUUGAGCUUGAAUGUGAUGCUAGUGGAAUUGGAUUAGGAGGUGUGUUAUUACAAAAUGGCAAACCUGUUGCAUACUUUUCUGAAAAAUUGAGUGGGCCUAGUCUGAAUUAUUCUACUUAUGAUAAAGAAUUAUAUGCUCUUGUUCGGACUUUAGAAACAUGGCAACAUUAUUUAUGGCCCAAAGAAUUUGUUAUACAUUCUGAUCAUGAAUCUUUGAAACAUAUUAAAAGUCAAGCUAAACUGAAUCGUAGACAUGCUAAAUGGGUUGAAUUCAUUGAGACUUUCCCUUAUGUCAUUAAACACAAGAAGGGAAAAGAAAAUGUUAUUGCUGAUGCAUUGUCUCGUCGCUAUACUAUGCUUUCACAACUUGACUUCAAAAUAUUUGGUUUGGAGACCAUCAAAGAUCAAUAUGUGCAUGAUGCUGAUUUUAAAGAUGUAAUGCAGAAUUGUAAAGAAGGAAGAAUGUGGAACAAGUUUGUUGUUAACGAUGGAUUUGUGUUUCGUGCUAACAAGCUAUGCAUUCCAGCUAGCUCCGUUCGUCUUUUGUUGUUGCAGGAAGCGCAUGGAGGAGGAUUAAUGGGACAUUUUGGCGUGAAGAAGACGGAGGACGUACUUGCUACACAUUUCUUUUGGCCAAAGAUGAGACGGGAUGUUGAGCGUUUUAUUGCUCGAUGCACUACAUGUCAAAAAGCUAAGUCACGACUCAAUCCUCAUGGUUUAUAUAUGCCUUUGCCUGUACCUAGUGUUCCUUGGGAGGAUAUAUCUAUGGACUUUGUUUUAGGUUUACCUCGAACAAAGAAGGGGAGGGAUAGCAUAUUUGUUGUCGUGGAUAGAUUCUCGAAAAUGGCACACUUUAUACCAUGUCAUAAAAGUGAUGAUGCUGUUAAUGUUGCUGAUUUGUUCUUUCGUGAAAUUAUUCGCUUGCAUGGUGUGCCAAAUACUAUUAUUUCAGAUCGUGAUACUAAAUUUCUUAGCCACUUUUGGAGAUGUUUAUGGGCUAAGUUGGGGACUAAACUGCUUUUUAGUACUACUUGUCACCACCAGACUGAUGGACAAACUGAAGUAGUCAAUAGAACGUUGUCUACUAUGCUUAGGGCUGUUUUGAAGAAUAAUAAGAAAAUGUGGGAGGAAUGCUUGCCUCAUAUUGAAUUUGCUUAUAAUCGUUCAUUGCAUUCUACUACUAAGAUGUGCCCUUUUGAAGUUGUGUAUGGUUUCCUACCUCGUGCACCUAUUGAUUUGUUGCCUCUUCCAUCUUCGGAGAAGGUUAAUUUUGAUGCUAAACAACGUGCUGAAUUGAUUUUAAAAAUGCAUGAGUUAACUAAGGAAAACAUUGAGCGUAUGAAUGCUAAAUAUAAACUUGCUGGAGAUAAGGGUAGAAAACAUGUUGUGUUUGCACCUGGAGAUCUUGUUUGGUUACAUUUGCGUAAGGAUAGAUUUCCUGAUUUGCGCAAAUCAAAGUUAAUGCCACGUGCUGAUGGUCCCUUUAAGGUGUUAGAGAAAAUAAAUGAUAAUNNNNNNNNNNNNNNNNNNNNNNNNNNNNNNNNNNNNNNNNNNNNNNNNNNNNNNNNNNNNNNNNNNNNNNNNNNNNNNNNNNNNNNNNNNNNNNNNNNNNNNNNNNNNNNNNNNNNNNNNNNNNNNNNNNNNNNNNNNNNNNNNNNNNNNNNNNNNNNNNNNNNNNNNNNNNNNNNNNNNNNNNNNNNNNNNNNNNNNNNNNNNNNNNNNNNNNNNNNNNNNNNNNNNNNNNNNNNNNNNNNNNNNNNNNNNNNNNNNNNNNNNNNNNNNNNNNNNNNNNNNNNNNNNNNNNNNNNNNNNNNNNNNNNNNNNNNNNNNNNNNNNNNNNNNNNNNNNNNNNNNNNNNNNNNNNNNNNNNNNNNNNNNNNNNNNNNNNNNNNNNNNNNNNNNNNNNNNNNNNNNNNNNNNNNNNNNNNNNNNNNNNNNNNNNNNNNNNNNNNNNNNNNNNNNNNNNNNNNNNNNNNNNNNNNNNNNNNNNNNNNNNNNNNNNNNNNNNNNNNNNNNNNNNNNNNNNNNNNNNNNNNNNNNNNNNNNNNNNNNNNNNNNNNNNNNNNNNNNNNNNNNNNNNNNNNNNNNNNNNNNNNNNNNNNNNNNNNNNNNNNNNNNNNNNNNNNNNNNNNNNNNNNNNNNNNNNNNNNNNNNNNNNNNNNNNNNNNNNNNNNNNNNNNNNNNNNNNNNNNNNNNNNNNNNNNNNNNNNNNNNNNNNNNNNNNNNNNNNNNNNNNNNNNNNNNNNNNNNNNNNNNNNNNNNNNNNNNNNNNNNNNNNNNNNNNNNNNNNNNNNNNNNNNNNNNNNNNNNNNNNNNNNNNNNNNNNNNNNNNNNNNNNNNNNNNNNNNNNNNNNNNNNNNNNNNNNNNNNNNNNNNNNNNNNNNNNNNNNNNNNNNNNNNNNNNNNNNNNNNNNNNNNNNNNNNNNNNNNNNNNNNNNNNNNNNNNNNNNNNNNNNNNNNNNNNNNNNNNNNNNNNNNNNNNNNNNNNNNNNNNNNNNNNNNNNNNNNNNNNNNNNNNNNNNNNNNNNNNNNNNNNNNNNNNNNNNNNNNNNNNNNNNNNNNNNNNNNNNNNNNNNNNNNNNNNNNNNNNNNNNNNNNNNNNNNNNNNNNNNNNNNNNNNNNNNNNNNNNNNNNNNNNNNNNNNNNNNNNNNNNNNNNNNNNNNNNNNNNNNNNNNNNNNNNNNNNNNNNNNNNNNNNNNNNNNNNNNNNNNNNNNNNNNNNNNNNNNNNNNNNNNNNNNNNNNNNNNNNNNNNNNNNNNNNNNNNNNNNNNNNNNNNNNNNNNNNNNNNNNNNNNNNNNNNNNNNNNNNNNNNNNNNNNNNNNNNNNNNNNNNNNNNNNNNNNNNNNNNNNNNNNNNNNNNNNNNNNNNNNNNNNNNNNNNNNNNNNNNNNNNNNNNNNNNNNNNNNNNNNNNNNNNNNNNNNNNNNNNNNNNNNNNNNNNNNNNNNNNNNNNNNNNNNNNNNNNNNNNNNNNNNNNNNNNNNNNNNNNNNNNNNNNNNNCAUCUCAUCGAAAGAUCGGGACCCUCGCCUCUAUCACCAUAGCUGCAACUUCGCGUACUUCGUUUGUGUUCAACGACCAGACAAAGGCGUCACAGAACCCCACCUUGAUCAAUAAAGCUUUCAUCUUAUAUUCGCAAUAUCCAGAUUGCAAUCUCAGUUUAUUGCUUGUUCUUCGUUUGCUCGCAGGAAACAGACCCUCGUGGUCAGGUUGAUCGUGCUCCGGCGUGGUCAAUAACCUCUCGGAGUUGGUUUAGCGAUUGCUAAGGCGCGACGUCCUCGCACGUUCGUAGUCGGAUCGUCAAAGUCGACUUCCACCAAAGCGAUAUCCAUCAUCUCAUCGAAAGACGGGACACCAUUGCCUCUAUCAAGUGGUAUCAGAUUUCCAGGUUGCUCGGUGAGAUUUUACAGUUUUUCGUAGUUUAGAUCGAGUCUGUUCUUCAUACCUACAGUCCACGAAAAAGCUACAAAAAAUUUUUAGGGUUAGUUCAUCAUAUCCGAACCAAUCUGAGCCUUUGCAUAAUCUUUUUAGGGUUUUGCUUUGUUGAAUUUGCGGUUGCAUCGUCGGUCUAGUUGCUGGUCUUAGAUUCUAGUCUUUUAGAGUUUCGAGUUCUGGUCAUAAGUUGUCACGCCGCCGCCGCACCAUCAUCAUCACCCCUGCCAUCUACCACCACCGCUCCGAAUCCGUAUCCAUAUACCACCACCAAUCCGUGUCCACAUACCACCACCGAUCCAUAUCCAUAUACUACCACCGCUACCACCACCGCUGCCAUAUACCACCACCAUAUAUCCACCACCAAUCCGAGUUCCUUGCUUAUUAGGUUUGUUUUUGAGAUCCAUCUAGUUUCCGAUUCGUGUUUCCUUGCCGGAGUAGGUUUCGGAAAAAAAAAUUCUGGCUAUCCUAUUUUUAGGUGUUUCUGAGUGUUUUGAGACAGGUGCCAUUAUAGGAAGUUUUUUUUGACCCGUUUCCAGUUUUUGGGUCCGGGCAGUCGAAAAAAAAAAUUUGUCGAAAAAAAAAAUUUCGUGCCCAUCCUGUCAGUUUGACCUAGGAAGAGUUUUGAGACACUCGCCAUUAUAGUGCUUUUUCGCAAAAAAAAAACAGCGCAAAAAAAAAGAGCGCAAAAAAAAAGAGAGCGAAAAGAAAAAUUUCAGAGUGUGCUUUUCCCUUGUUUACGUGCCGCGCCGUGAUUUUGUUGGUGUUCUAGGCUCGCGUCUCUAGCACAGUCUAGCCUAGGACCAGCACAGUACCGUCGUUGAGCGUUUAUUCAACUUUGCAUCUCUGAAUUGAUUAUUGCUGACCCUUUUUGCUACCAUACUAUAAGCCUUCCCAGCUCCACAUACAUCUACGUCGUGUGUUUGACUCUCCCUGGUAAUCGCUCGAUCCAAGCUUUGAGAGUUUUUGACUACAACGGUUGCCGAUCACCGCCUGCUGCUGGGUUAGAACUGGUAAGAAUUUGAGAUUUGCUUGACGGAUUUGUGAUACACCACCACCACUUCUUAGUAGUUGAUGAGGACAUCAAUACAAUUGUUACACCCACAGCCCCUGCUGCUAUACAUACUGGACCAAUUACUAGAGCUCGUGCAUGCCAACUAAAUUACCAGGUACUUUCGUUUCUUGGUAAUGAUUCUAAUGUUCAUGAGAAUAUGAUGCUGCCUAAAUUGGAUACAUUUGUUUUGCUUACAAAUGAAGGGCCUAGCUUGGAGAAGGAUGAACAUUGGAGCAAGAACAAGCAUGGAGAUGAUGGCAUGCGCAAGGGAAACAAGAACGGAGUUACAAGGGAUGAUUUCAGGACUUUGAAGCCACCAUAAUGGGUGCAUGAAGCCUUGGACGAAAUAUACAAGAUGCCACUUCAUAAAUUUCGUCCCGAGGCUAUUUUAGGUGCUGCGUCACCUUAUUAUUGGGCCAGGCCCAUGUAAUUUCGAAAUACAUAAGUAUAGGCUAUUUUUAGAGUCCGUAUGUGUGGGGAAACAAGAGAUAGGGUUGAUUUCGGACCCCUCCACCAAGGGCCAAGAAAUUCCCCCCUCUUCCUCCAUAUAUACAGCCCUUAGGGCAUCGUUUAGACUUUGGGUUUUGUUUAGAUUAAAAGUUCGCCAUAGCUGCAACUUCGCGUACUUCGUUUGUGUUCAACGACCAGACAAAGGCGUCACAGAACCCCACCUUGAUCAAUAAAGCUUUCAUCUUAUAUUCGCAAUAUCCAGAUUGCAAUCUUAGUUUCUUGCUUGUUCUUCGUUUGCUCGCAGGAAACAGACCCUCGUGGUCAGGUUGAUCGUGCCCCGGCGUGGUCAAUAACCUCUCGGAGUUGGUUUAGCGAUUGCUAAGGCGCGACGUCCUCGCACGUUCGUAGUCGGAUCGUCAAAGUCGACUUCCACCAAAGCGAAAUCCACCUUCUCAUCGAAAGACGGGACACCUUUGCCUCUAUCAUAUAUCCUCCCAAGGAACACUAGGUACAGGCAAAGGCAUAUAUAAACCAUGAGGAUUGAGUCGUGACUUAGCUUUUUGACAUGUAGUGCAGCGAGCAAUAAAACGCUCAACAUCCCGUCUCAUCUUUGGCCAAAAGAAAUGUGUAGCAAGUACGUCCUCCGUCUUCUUCACGCCAAAGUGUCCCAUUAAUCCUCCUCCAUGCGCCUCCUGCAACAACAAUAGACGAACAGAGCUAGUUGGAAUGCAUAGCUUGUUAGCACGAAACACAAAUCCAUCGUUAACGACGAACUUGUUCCACAUUCUUCCUUCUUUACAAUUCUGCAUUACAUCUUUAAAAUCAGCAUCAUGCACAUAUUGAUCUUUGAUGGUCUCCAAACCAAAGAUUUUGAAGUCAAGUUGUGAAAGCAUAAUAUAGCGACGAGACAAUGCAUCAGCAAUAACAUUUUCUUUUCCCUUCUUGUGUUUAAUGACAUAAGGGAAAGUCUCAAUGAAUUCAACCCAUUUAGCAUGUCUACGAUUCAGUUUAGCUUGACUUUUAAUAUGUUACAAAGAUUCAUGAUCAGAAUGUAUAACAAAUUCUUUGGGCCAUAAAUAAUGUUGCCAUGUUUCUAAAGUCCGAACAAGAGCAUAUAAUUCUUUAUCAUAAGUAGAAUAAUUCAGACUAGACCCACUCAAUUUUUCAGAAAAGUAUGCAACAGGUUUGCCAUCUUGUAAUAACACACCUCCUAAUCCAAUUCCACUAGCAUCACAUUCAAGCUCAAAAGUCUUAUUAAAAUCAGGAAGUUGGAGUAAAGGAGCAUGUGUCAACUUAUCUUUCAAUACCGUGAAGGCUUCUUCCUGUGCGGUACCCCAAACAAAAGGCACAUCCUUCUUUGUAAGCUCGUUGAGAGGUGCAGCAAUGGUGCUGAAAUCUCUCACAAAACGCCUAUAGAAUCCAGCGAGGCCAAGAAAACUCCUCACUUGUGUGACUGUUUUGGGCUGCGGCCAACUCUCAAUAGCUUCAAUCUUGGCUUUAUCAACUUCAAUUCCCUGUGGAGUAACAACAUAGCCAAGAAAAGAUACUCGGUCGGUGCAAAAGGUGCACUUCCCAAGGUUACCAAACAAACGUGCAUCACGUAGAGCAAUAAAAACAGCACGUAAAUGUUCCAAAUGUUCCUCCAAAGAUCUGCUAUAAAUCAAUAUGUCAUCAAAGUAAACUACCACACAUCGUGCAAUGAAAGCACGUAAAACUUCGUUCAUUAAUCUCAUGAAAGUACUAGGUGCAUUAGUUAACCCAAAAGGCAUGACUAACCACUCAUAUAAUCCAAACUUAGUUUUAAAUGCUGUUUUCCAUUCAUCUCCCAAUUUCAUACGAAUUUGAUGGUAGCCACUACGCAAAUCAACUUUGGAGAAUAUUGUAGAGCCACUCAAUUCAUCAAGCAUAUCAUCUAGCCUAGGAAUAGGAUGACGAUAACGAAUAGUAAUGUUAUUAAUGCCUCUACAAUCAACACACAUACGUGAUGUACCAUCCUUUUUCGGCACUAGAAUAAUAGGAACAACACAAGGACUAAGGGAUUCGCGUAUAUAACCUUUGUCGAGAAGCUCUUGUACUUGACGCAUAAUCUCCUUCGUCUCCUCUGGAUUGGUACGGUAUGGUGCACGGUUUGGCAGUGAAGCACCGGGAAUUAAGUCGAUCUGAUGCUCAAUCCCUCGAAUAGGCGGUAAUCCCGGUGGCACGUCUUGUGGAAAAACGUCAGCGAACUCCUGCAAAAUGUUAGUGACAGCAGGAGGCAAAGAGGAAGGCACGUCCUCGAAUGAAAAUAAUGCCUCUUUGCACACAAAAGCAUAGCAAACAGAUUUGCUGAAAUCUAGCUCAUCAAUAUCAGAUUUGGUGGCAAAUAAACAUGCACUUUUCAAUUUAAUUUCAGAAGCAACACUAGAUGGUUUAUUAUUAGGCUUCAUUUGUUGCUCAAAUUCUUUUGCCACAAUCUGAUUUUCACUCUUAUUCUUCUCCUGUUGUGCUUUAUUAGCUCUAUUAAUAUCAUCUUUCAAAAUGGAAUCAGGGGUCAUAGGAAGCAAUGAUGAGGACAUCAAUACAAUUGUUACACCCACAGCCCCUGCUGCUAUACAUACUGGACCAAUUACUAGAGCUCGUGCACGCCAACUAAAUUACCAGGUACUUUCGUUUCUUGGUAAUGAUUCUAAUAUUCAUGAGAAUAUGAUGCUGCCUAAAUUGGAUACAUUUGUUUUUCUUACAAAUGAAGGGCCUAGCUUGGAGAAGGAUGAACAUUGGAGCAAGAACAAGCAUGGAGAUGAUGGCAUGCGCAAGGAAAACAAGAACGGAGUUACAAGUGAUGAUUUCAGGACUUUGAAGCCACCAUAAUGGGUGCAUGAAGCCUUGGACGAAAUAUACAAGAUGCCACUUCAUAAAUUUCGUCCCGAGGCUAUUUUAGGUGCUGCGUCACCUUAUUAUUGGGCCAGGCCCAUGUAAUUUCGAAAUACAUAAGUAUAGGCUAUUUUUAGAGUCCGUAUGUGUGGGGAAACAAGAGAUAGGGUUGAUUUCGGACCCCUCCACCAAGGGCCACGAAAUUCCCCCCUCUUCCUCCAUAUAUACAGCCCUUAGGGCAUCGUUUAGACUUUGGGUUUUGUUUAGAUUAAAAGUUCGCCAUAGCUGCAACUUCGCGUACUUCGUUUGUGUUCAACGACCAGACAAAGGCGUCACAGAACCCCACCUUGAUCAAUAAAGCUUUCAUCUUAUAUUCGCGAUAUCCAGAUUGCAAUCUCAGUUUCUUGCUUGUUCUUCGUUUGCUCGCAGGAAACAGACCCUCGUGGUCAGGUUGAUCGUGCUCCGGCGUGGUCAAUAACCUCUCGGAGUUGGUUUAGCGAUUGCUAAGGCGCGACGUCCUCGCACGUUCGUAGUCGGAUCGUCAAAGUCGACUUCCAACAAAGCGAUAUCCAUCAUCUCAUCGAAAGACGGGACACCUUUGCCUCUAUCAAGUGGUAUCAGAUUUCCAGGUUGCUCGGUGAGAUUUUACAGUUUUUCGUAGUUUAGAUCGAGUCUGUCUUCAUACCUAUAGUCCACGAAAAAGCCACAAAAAAAAUUAGGGUUAGUUCAUCAUAUCCGAACCAAUCUGAGCCUUUGCAUAAUCUUUUUAGGGUUUUGCUUUGUUGAAUUUGCGGUUGCAUCGUCGUUUCUAGUUGCUGGUCUUAGAGUCUAGUCUUUUAGAGUGUCGAGUUCUGGUCAUAAGUUGUCACGCCGCCGCCGCACCAUCAUCACCGCCCCUGCCAUCUACCACCACCGCUCCGAAUCCGUAUCCAUAUACCACCACCAAUCCGUGUCCAUAUACCACCACCGAUCCAUAUCCAUAUACUACCACCGCUACCACCACCGCUGCCAUAUACCACCACCAUAUAUCCACCACCAAUCCGAUUUCCUUGCUUAUUAGGUUUGUUUUCGAGAUCCAUCUAGUUUUCGAUUCGUGUUUCUUUGCCGGAGUAGGUUUCGGAAAAAAAAAGAGUCGGGUAGCCACGCUCCGUUUAGGCCCAAAAAAUUUUCGAAAACGCAUUUUUCGAAAAAAUUUCUGGCUAUCCUAUUUUUAGGUGUUUCUGAGUGUUUUGAGACAGGUGCCAUUAUAGGAAGUUUUUUUUGACCCGUUUCCAGUUUUUGGGUCCGGGCAGUCGAAGAAAAAAAUUUGUCAAAAAAAAAAAUUCGUGCCCAUCCUGUCAGUUUGACCUAGGAAGAGUUUUGAGACACUCGCCAUUAUAGUGAUUUUUCGCAAAAAAAAAGAGCGCAAAAAAAAGAGCGCAAAAAAAAAGAGAGCGAAAAGAAAAAUUUCAGAGUGUGCUUUUCCCUUGUUUACGUGCCGUGCCGUGAUUUUGUUGGUGUUCUAGGCUCGCGUCUCUAGCACAGUCUAGCCUAGGACCAGCACAGUACCGUCGUUGAGCGUUUAUUCAACUUUGCAUCUCUGAAUUGAUUAUUGCUGACCCUUUUUGCUACCAUACUAUAAGCCUUCCCAGCUCCACAUACAUCUACGUCGUGUGUUUGACUCUCCCUGGUAAUCGCUCUAUCCAAGCUUUGAGAGUUUUUGACUACAACGGUUGCCGAUCACCGCCUGCUGCUGGGUAAGAACUGGUAAGAAUUUGAGAUUUGCUUGACGGAUUUGUGAUACACCACCACCACUUCUUAGUAGUUGAUGAGGACAUCAAUACAAUUGUUACACCCACAGCCCCUGCUGCUAUACAUACUGGACCAAUUACUAGAGCUCGUGCACGCCUGAUGAGGACAUCAAUACAAUUGUUACACCCACAGCCCCUGCUGCUAUACAUACUGGACCAAUUACUAGAGCUCGUGCACGCCAACUAAAUUACCAGGUACUUUCGUUUCUUGGUAAUGAUUCUAAUGUUCAUGAGAAUAUGAUGCUGCCUAAAUUGGAUACAUUUGUUUUGCUUACAAAUGAAGGGCCUAGCUUGGAGAAGGAUGAACAUUGGAGCAAGAACAAGCAUGGAGAUGAUGGCAUGCGCAAGGGGAACAAGAAUGGAGUUACAAGUGAUGAUUUCAGGACUUUGAAGCCACCAUAAUGGGUGCAUGAAGCCUUGGACGAAAUAUACAAGAUGCCACUUCAUAAAUUUCGUCCCGAGGCUAUUUUAGGUGCUGCGUGACCUUAUUAUUGGGCCAGGCCCAUGUAAUUUCGAAAUACAUAUGUAUAGGCUAUUUUUAGAGUCCGUAUGUGUGGGGAAACAAGAGAUAGGGUUGAUUUCGGACUCCUCCACCAAGGGCCACGAAAUUCCCCCCUCUUCCUCCAUAUAUAUAGCCCUUAGGGCAUCGUUUAGACUUUGGGUUUUGUUUAGAUUAAAAGUUCGCCAUAGCUGCAACUUCGCGUACUUCGUUUGUGUUCAACGACCAGACAAAGACGUCACAGAACCCCACCUUGAUCAAUAAAGCGUUCAUCUUAUAUUCGCAAUAUCCAGAUUGCAAUCUUAGUUUCUUGCUUGUUCUUCGUUUGCUCGCAGGAAACAGACCCUCGUGGUCAGGUUGAUCGUGCUCCGGCGUGGUCAAUAACCUCUCGGAGUUGGUUUAGCGAUUGCUAAGGCGCGAUGUCCUCGCACGUUCGUAGUCGGAUCGUCAAAGUCGACUUCCACCAAAGCGAAAUCCACCAUCUCAUCGAAAGACGGGACACCUUUGCCUCUAUCAAGUGGUAUCAGAUUUCCACGUUGCUCGGUGAGAUUUUACAGUUUUUCGUAGUUUAGAUCGAGUCUGUUCUUCAUACCUAUAGUCCACGAAAAAGCCACAAAAAAAUUUAGGGUUAGUUCAUCAUAUCCGAACCAAUCUGAGCCUUGCAUAAUCUUUUUAGGGUUUUGCUUUGUUGAAUUUGCGGUUGCAUCGUCGUGUCUAGUUGCUGGUCUUAGAGUCUAGUCUUGUAGAGUUUCGAGUUCUGGUCAUAAGUUGUCACGCCGCCGCCGCCGCACCAUCAUCAUCGCCCCUGCCAUCUACCACCACCGCACCGAAUCCGUAUCCAUAUACCACCACCAAUCCGUGUCCAUAUACCACCACCGAUCCAUAUCCAUAUACUACCACCGCUACCACCACCGCUGCCAUAUACCACCACCAUAUAUCCACCACCAAUCCGAGUUCUUUGCUUAUUAGGUUUGUUUUCGGGAUCCAUCUAGAUUCCGAUUCGUGUUUCCUUGCCGGAGUAGGUUUCGGAAAAAAAAAGAGUCGGGUAGCCACGCUCCGUUUAGGCCCAAAAUUUUUCGAAAACGCAUUUUUCGAAAAAAUUUCUGGCUAUCCUAUUUUUAGGUGUUUCUGAGUGUUUUGAGACAGGUGCCAUUAUAGGAAGUUUUUUUUGACCCGUUUCCAGUUUUUGGGUCCGGGCAGUCGAAAAAAAAAAAUUGGUCGAAAAAAUUUCGUGCCUAUCCUGUCAGUUUGAGCUAGGAAGAGUUUUGAGACACUCGCCAUUAUAGUGAUUUUUCGCACACAAAAAAAGGCAGCGCAAAAAAAAAGAGCGCCAAAAAAAAAGAGCGAAAAUAAAAAUUUCAGAGUGUGCUUUUCCCUUGUUUACGUGCCGCGCCGUGAUUUUGUUAGUGUUCUAGGCUCGCGUCUCUAGCACAGUCUAGCCUAGGACCAGCACAGUACCGUCGUUGAGCGUUUAUUCAACUUUGCAUCUCUGAAUUGAUUAUUGCUGACCCUUUUUGCUACCAUAUUAUAAGCCUUCCCAGCUCCACAUUCAUCUACAUCGUGCGUUUGACUCUCCCUGGUAAUCGCUCUAUCCAAGCUUUGAGAGUUUUUGACUACAACGGUUGCCGAUCACCGCCUGCUGCUGGGUAAGAACUGGUAAGAAUUUGAGAUUUGCUUGACGGAUUUGUGACACCCACCACCACCACUUGUUCGUAGUCUGUAGGAUCGUAUUCUUGUGUGUUUCUAUUGCUGCUAACCAUGCCAGGAUCACAAGCCGACGAGAUCGACUGGGAGAAUUUAUCGAACAAGGAGCUUCAUGAUAAGUUUCAGCAAAUGAUGACUGAACAGGUGCAAGAUGUGCUGAACAAUUUUGAAGAGGCCAUGGAGAAGAUCACUGGCCUUGAGAAGACGUUCGAAACAAAGCUCGAUAACAAGUUUAAUGAAUUGCUCGCGCGUCUUCCACCACCACCACCCGCUGCACCUAACGCACCUCUCCAACAACAACAACAACGACUACCUCCACGUCGCGAAGCAGACCUCCGCCGAGCAAGUCGUGUUCCUCUUGCGUUUGGCCAAACUGUUGGUGCUGCUGUUGAUACUUCUGUGGCUCCUGCUGCUGAUGCGGAGGAGGAUGAUUAUGUGGGAGAUUAUGAGGAUGAGGUUGAUCAAAAUCAACACUACGUGCAGCCACCUGUACCGCCACCAGCAGGUCGACCUCAGGUAUAUAUUCGUAAUGGUAGGCCUGCACCACCACCUCAGGUACGAGAUGAUGUCCAUAUUCCUAAACUGAAAUUGAAUAUUCCACCAUUUGAGGGUAGAUAUGUUCCUGAUAUAUAUCUUACUUGGGAGUUAGAAACUGAACAACGAUUUACAUGUUUACAAUAUCCUGAGGAGAGACGAGUUGCUGCUGCUGUUUGUGCUUUCACUAGUUUUGCAUGUGUAUGGUGGUCUGAACAUUGUAGAUUAUAUCCUAUUCCAACUACUUGGGCUGCUUUGAAAACUGCUAUGCGUACGCGUUGGGUUCCACCAUAUUAUCAACGUGAAUUGCUUCAAAAAUUGCAGCGUUUAAGACAAGGGAAAAAUUCUGUCGAAGAAUAUUAUCAGGAAUAACAAACUGGCAUGAUUAGAUGUGGUAUUGUUGAGGAGAAUGAAGCUAUGCUUGCACGUUUUCUGGGUGGAUUAAAUAGAGAGAUUCAGACCAUUCUAGACUAUAAGGAGUAUACUAAUAUCACUCGUUUAUUCCAUCUUGCUUGUAAAGCUGAACGUGAAGUGCAGGAUCGACAAGCAUUGGGGCGAACUAACUUUUCUGCAGGCCGACCUUCAUCAUGGACACCACGUGCAUCUUCUACUUCAACUGCACCAGCACCUCCAUCCGGUGCCACCUCCAGCCGUGAUACAAGAAAACAGGCACAACCACCAUUAUCUGCCAAGAGCGCACCUGCGGGGCCUGCACAGCGUUCUUCUUCUUCCAUGGCAUCAACAGGGCACACAAGUGAUAUUAUUUGUCGUCGUUGUAAGGGAGGUCAUUAUGCGAGAGAAUGCAAAUCUCCGCGUGUGAUGAUUGCUACCGCGGAUGGUGGAUAUGAGUCCGCUAGUGACUAUGAUGAGGAGACUUUGGCUCUUAUUACACGUGAAGAACAUGGUGGAGAUGAUUCUGAUCAUGAGACGCAAUACAUGGCUCCUGAAGAUGCUGACAGGUAUGAAUGUUUAGUUGCUCAACAUGUUUUGAGUGUGCAGGUCACACAAGCUGAGCAAAAUCAGAGGCACAAUUUGUUCCAUACCAAGGGAGUUGUGAAGGAACGUUCUGUGCGCGUCAUCAUAGACGGAGGGAGCUGCAACAACUUGGCUAGCAUGGAGAUGGUGGAGUAGCUUUCUCUCACCACAAGACCACAUCCACAUCCUUACUACAUCCAAUGGUUCAACAACAGCGGCAAGGUUAAGGUAACACGUACUGUUUGUGUGCAUUUUAGUAUCUCUACAUAUGCUGAUUAUGUUGAUUGUGAUGUGGUACCUAUGCAAGCAUGUUCCUUAUUACUUGGUAGACCAUGGCAAUUUGAUAAAAAUUCUGUACACCAUGGUAGAAACAAUCACUAUACUCUUGUUCAUAAGGAUAAAAAUAUUACUUUGCUUCCUAUGACUCCUGAUUCCAUUUUGAAAGAUGAUAUUAAUAGAGCUAAUAAAGCAAAACAGGAGACGAAUAAGAGUGAAAAUCAGAUUGUGGCAAAAGAAUUUGAGCAACAAAUGAAGCCUAAUAAUAAACCAUCUGGUGUUGCUUCUGAAAUUAAAUUGAAAAGUGCAUGUUUAUUUGCCACCAAAUCUGAUAUUGAUGAGCUAGAUUUCAGCAAAUCUGUUUGCUAUGCUUUUGUGUGCAAAAAGGCAUUAUUUUCAUUCGAGGACGUGCCUUCCUCUUUGCCUCCUGCUGUCACUAACAUUUUGCAGGAGUUCGCUGACGUCUUUCCACAAGACGUGCCACCGGGAUUACCGCCUAUUCGAGGGAUUGAGCAUCAAAUUGACUUAAUUCCCGGUGCUUCACUGCCAAACCGUGCACCAUACCGUACCAAUCCAGAGGAGACGAAGGAGAUUAUGCGUCAAGUACAAGAGCUGCUCGACAAAGGUUAUAUACGCGAAUCCCUUAGUCCUUGUACUGUUCCUAUUAUUCUAGUGCCGAAAAAGGAUGGUACAUCACGUAUGUGUGUUGAUUGUAGAGGCAUUAAUAAUAUUACUAUUCGUUAUCGUCAUCCUAUUCCUAGGCUAGAUGAUAUGCUUGAUGAAUUGAGUGGCUCUACAAUAUUCUCCAAAGUUGAUUUGCGUAGUGGAUACCAUCAAAUUCGUAUGAAAUUGGGAGAUGAAUGGAAAACAGCAUUUAAAACUAAGUUUGGAUUAUAUGAGUGGUUAGUCAUGCCUUUUGGGUUAACUAAUGCGCCUAGUACUUUCAUGAGACUAAUGAACGAAGUUUUACGUGCUUUCAUUGGACGAUUUGUGGUAGUCUAUUUUGAUGAUAUACUGAUUUAUAGCAAAUCUUUGGAAGAACAUUUGGAACAUUUACGUGUUGUUUUUAUUGCUCUACGUGAUGCACGUUUGUUUGGUAACCUUGGGAAGUGCACCUUUUGCACCGACCGAGUAUCUUUUCUUGGCUAUGUUGUUACUCCACAGGGAAUUGAAGUUGACAAAGCCAAGAUUGAAGCUAUUGAGAGUUGGCCGCAGCCCAAAGCGGUCACACAAGUGAGGAGUUUUCUUGGCCUCGCUGGAUUCUAUAGGCGUUUUGUGAGAGAUUUCAGCACCAUUGCUGCACCUCUCAAUGAGCUUACAAAGAAAGAUGUGCCUUUUCUUUGGGGUACCGCACAGGAAGAAGCCUUCUCGGUAUUGAAAGAUAAGUUGACACAUGCUCCUUUACUCCAACUUCCUGAUUUUAAUAAGACUUUUGAGCUUGAAUGUGAUGCUAGUGGAAUUGGAUUAGGAGGUGUGUUAUUACAAGAUGGCAAACCUGUUGCAUACUUUUCUGAAAAAUUGAGUGGGCCUAGUCUGAAUUAUUCUACUUAUGAUAAAGAAAUAUAUGCUCUUGUUCGGACUUUCGAAACAUGGCAACAUUAUUUAUGGCCCAAAGAAUUUGUUAUACAUUCUGAUCAUGAAUCUUUGAAACAUAUUAAAAGUCAAGCUAAACUGAAUCGUAGACAUGCUAAAUGGGUUGAAUUCAUUGAGACUUUCCCUAAUGUCAUUAAACACAAGAAGGGAAAAGAAAAUGUUAUUGCUAAUGCAUUGUCUCGUCGCUAUACUAUGCUUUCACAACUUGACUUCAAAAUAUUUGGUUUGGAGACCAUCAAAGAUCAAUAUGUGCAUGAUGCUGAUUUUAAAGAUGUAAUGCAGAAUUGUAAAGAAGGAAGAAUGUGGAACAAGUUUGUCGUUAACGAUGGAUUUGUGUUUCGUGCUAACAAGCUAUGCAUUCCAGCUAGCUCCGUUCGUCUUUUGUUGUUGCAGGAAGUGCAUGGAGGAGGAUUAAUGGGACAUUUUGGCGUGAAGAAGACGAAGGACGUACUUGCUACACAUUUCUUUUGGCCAAAGAUGAGACGGGAUGUUGAGCGUUUUAUUGCUCGAUGCACUACAUGUCAAAAAGCUAAGUCACGACUCAAUCCUCAUGGUUUAUAUAUGCCUUUGCCUGUACCUAGUGUUCCUUGGGAGGAUAUAUCUAUGGACUUUGUUUUAGGUUUACCUUGAACAAAGAAGGGGAGGGAUAGCAUAUUUGUUGUCGUGGAUAGAUUCUCGAAAAUGGCACACUUUAUACCAUGUCAUAAAAGCGAUGAUGCUGUUAAUGUUGCUGAUUUGUUCUUUCGUGAAAUUAUUCGCUUGCAUGGUGUGCCAAAUACUAUUGUUUCAGAUCGUGAUACUAAAUUUCUUAGCCACUUUUGGAGAUGUUUAUGGGCUAAGUUGGGGACUAAACUGCUUUUUAGUACUACUUGUCACCCCCAAACUGAUGGACAAACUGAAGUAGUCAAUAGAACGUUGUCUACUAUGCUUAGGGCUGUUUUGAAGAAUAAUAAGAAAAUGUGGGAGGAAUGCUUGCCUCAUAUUGAAUUUGCUUAUAAUCGUUCAUUGCAUUCUACUACUAAGAUGUGCCCUUUUGAAGUUGUCUAUGGUUUCCUACCUCGUGCACCUAUUGAUUUGUUGCCUCUUUCAUCUUCGGAGAAGGUUAAUUUUGAUGCUAAACAACGUGCUGAAUUGAUUUUAAAAAUGCAUGAGUUAACUAAGGAAAACAUUGAGCGCGUGAAUGCUAAAUAUAAACUUGCUGGAGAUAAGGGUAGAAAACAUGUUGUGUUUGCACCUGGAGAUCUUGUUUGGUUACAUUUGCGUAAGGAUAGAUUUCCUGAUUUGCGCAAAUCAAAGUUAAUGCCACGUGCUGAUGGUCCCUUUAAGGUGUUAGAGAAAAUAAAUGAUAAUGCAUAUAAACUUGAGCUGCCUGCAGAUUUUGGGGUUAGUCCCACUUUUAACAUUGCAGAUUUGAAGCCUUAUUUGGGUGAGGAAGAUGAAUUUCCGUCGAGGACGACUUCAUUUCAAGAAGGGGAGGAUGAUGAGGACAUCAAUACAAUUGUUACACCCACAGCCCCUGCUGCUAUACAUACUGGACCAAUUACUAGAGCUCGUGCACGCCAACUAAAUUACCAGGUACUUUCGUUUCUUGGUAAUGAUUCUAAUGUUUAUGAGAAUAUGAUGUUGCCUAAAUUGGAUACAUUUGUUUUGCUUACAAAUGAAGGGCCUAGCUUGGAGAAGGAUGAACAUUGGAGCAAGAACAAGCAUGGAGAUGAUGCCAUGCGCAAGGGGAACAAGAACGGAGUUACAAGUGAUGAUUUCAGGACUUUGAAGCCACCAUAAUGGGUGCAUGAAGCCUUGGACGAAAUAUACAAGAUGCCACUUCAUAAAUUUCGUCCCGAGGCUAUUUUAGGUGCUGCGUCACCUUAUUAUUGGGCCAGGCCCAUGUAAUUUCGAAAUACAUAAGUAUAGGCUAUUUUUAGAGUCCGUAUGUGUGGGGAAACAAGAGAUAGGGUUGAUUUCGGACCCCUCCACCAAGGGCCACGAAAUUCCCCCCCUCUUCCUCCAUAUAUACAGCCCUUAGGGCAUCGUUUAGACUUUGGGUUUUGUUUAGAUUAAAAGUUCGCCAUAGCUGCAACUUCACGUACUUCGUUUGUGUUCAACGACCAGACAAAGGCGUCACAGAACCCCACCUUGAUCAAUAAAGCUUUCAUCUUAUAUUCGCAAUAUCCAGAUUGCAAUCUUAGUUUCUUGCUUGUUCUUCGUUUGCUCGCAGGAAACAGACCCUCGUGGUCAGGUUGAUCGUGCUCCGGCGUGGUCAAUAACCUCUCGGAGUUGGUUUAGCGAUUGCUAAGGCGCGACGUCCUCGCACGUUCGUAGUCGGAUCGCCAAAGUCGACUUCCACCAAAGCGAAAUCCACCAUCUCAUCGACAGACGGGACACCUUUGCCUCUAUCAGAUAGCAUAUUUGUUGUCGUGGAUAGAUUCUCGAAAAUGGCACACUUUAUACCAUGUCAUAAAAGCGAUGAUGCUGUUAAUGUUGCUGAUUUGUUCUUUCGUGAAAUUAUUCGCUUGCAUGGUGUGCCAAAUACUAUUGUUUCAGAUCGUGAUACUAAAUUUCUUAGCCACUUUUGGAGAUGUUUAUGGGCUAAGUUGGGGACUAAACUGCUUUUUAGUACUACUUGUCACCCCCAAACUGAUGGACAAACUGAAGUAGUCAAUAGAACGUUGUCUACUAUGCUUAGGGCUGUUUUGAAGAAUAAUAAGAAAAUGUGGGAGGAAUGCUUGCCUCAUAUUGAAUUUGCUUAUAAUCGUUCAUUGCAUUCUACUACUAAGAUGUGCCCUUUUGAAGUUGUGUAUGGUUUCCUACCUCGUGCACCUAUUGAUUUGUUGCCUCUUCCAUCGUCGGAGAAGGUUAAUUUUGAUGCUAAACAACGUGCUGAAUUGAUUUUAAAAAUGCAUGAGUUAACUAAGGAAAACAUUGAGCGUAUGAAUGCUAAAUAUAAACUUGCUGGAGAUAAGGGUAGAAAACAUGUUGUGUUUGCACCUGGAGAUCUUGUUUGGUUACAUUUGCAUAAGGAUAGAUUUCCUGAUUUGCGCAAAUCAAAGCUAAUGCCACGUGCUGAUGGUCCCUUUAAGGUGUUAGAGAAAAUAAAUGAUAAUGCAUAUAAACUUGAGCUGCCUGCAGAUUUUGGGGUUAGUCCCACUUUUAACAUUCAGAUUUGAAGCCUUAUUUGGGUGAGGAAGAUGAACUUCCGUCGAGGACGACUUCAUUUCAAGAAGGGGAGGAUGAUGAGGACAUCAAUACAAUUGUUACACCCACAGCCCCUGCUGCUAUACAUACUGGACCAAUUACUAGAGCUCGUGCACGCCAACUAAAUUACCAGGUACUUUCGUUUCUUGGUAAUGAUCCUAAUGUUCAUGAGAAUAUGAUGCUGCCUAAAUUGGAUACAUUUGUUUUGCUUACAAAUGAAGGGCCUAGCUUGGAGAAGGAUGAACAUUGGAGCAAGAACAAGCAUGGAGAUGAUGGCAUGCGCAAGGGGAACAAGAAUGGAGUUACAAGUGAUGAUUUCAGGACUUUGAAGCCACCAUAAUGGGUGCAUGAAGCCUUGGACGAAAUAUACAAGAUGUCACUUCAUAAAUUUCGUCCCGAGGCUAUUUUAGGUGCUGCGUCACCUUAUUAUUGGGCCAGGCCCAUGUAAUUUCGAAAUACAUAAGUAUAGGCUAUUUUUGGAGUCCGUAUGUGUGGGGAAACAAGAGAUAGGGUUGAUUUCGGACUCCUCCACCAAGGGCCACGAAAUUCCCCCCUCUUCCUCCAUAUAUACAGGCCUUAGGGCAUCGUUUAGACUUUGGGUUUUGUUUAGAUUAAAAGUUCGCCAUAGCUGCAACUUCGCGUACUUCGUUUGUGUUCAACGACCAGACAAAGACGUCACAGAACCCCACUUUGAUCAACAAAGCUUUCAUCUUAUAUUCGCAAUAUCCAGAUUGCAAUCUUAGUUUCUUGCUUGUUCUUCGUUUGCUCGCAGGAAACAGACCCUCGUGGUCAGGUUGAUCGUGCUCCGGCGUGGUCAAUAACCUCUCGGAGUUGGUUUAGCGAUUGCUAAGGCGCGACGUCCUCGCACGUUCGUAGUCGGAUCGUCAAAGUCGACUUCCACCAAAGCGAAAUCCACCAUCUCAUCGAAAGACGGGACACCUUUGACUCUAUCAACGCCAACUAAAUUACCAGGUACUUUCGUUUCUUGGUAAUGAUUCUAAUGUUCAUGAGAAUAUGAUGCUGCCUAAAUUGGAUACAUUUGUUUUGCUUACAAAUGAAGGGCCUAGCUUGGAGAAGGAUGAACAUUGGAGCAAGAACAAGCAUGGAGAUGAUGGCAUGCGCAAGGGAAACAAGAACGGAGUUACAAGGGAUGAUUUCAGGACUUUGAAGCCACCAUAAUGGGUGCAUGAAGCCUUGGACGAAAUAUACAAGAUGCCACUUCAUAAAUUUCGUCCCGAGGCUAUUUUAGGUGCUGCGUCACCUUAUUAUUGGGCCAGGCCCAUGUAAUUUCGAAAUACAUAAGUAUAGACUAUUUUUAGAGUCCGUAUGUGUGGGGAAACAAGAGAUAGGGUUGAUUUCGGACCCCUCCACCAAGGGCCACGAAAUUCCCCCCUCUUCCUCCAUAUAUACAGCCCUUAGGGCAUCGUUUAGACUUUGGGUUUUGUUUAGAUUAAAAGUUCGCCAUAGCUGCAACUUCGCGUACUUCGUUUGUGUUCAACGACCAGACAAAGGCGUCACAGAACCCCACCUUGAUCAAUAAAGCUUUCAUCUUAUAUUCGCGAUAUCCAGAUUGCAAUCUCAGUUUCUUGCUUGUUCUUCGUUUGCUCGUAGAAAACAGACCCUCGUGGUCAGGUUGAUCGUGCUCCGGCAUGGUCAAUAACCUCUCGGAGUUGGUUUAGCGAUUGCUAAGGCGCGACGUCCUCGCACGUUCGUAGUCGGAUCGUCAAAGUCGACUUCCAACAAAGCGAUAUCCAUCAUCUCAUCGAAAGACGGGACACCUUUGCCUCUAUCAAGUGGUAUCAGAUUUCCAGGUUGCUCGGUGAGAUUUUACAGUUUUUCGUAGUUUAGAUCGAGUCUGUCUUCAUACCUAUAGUCCACGAAAAAGCCACAAAAAAAAUUAGGGUUAGUUCAUCAUAUCCGAACCAAUCUGAGCCUUUGCAUAAUCUUUUUAGGGUUUUGCUUUGUUGAAUUUGCGGUUGCAUCGUGUUUCUAGUUGCUGGUCUUAGAGUCUAGUCUUUUAGAGUUUCGAGUUCUGGUCAUAAGUUGUCACGCCACCGCCGCACCAUCAUCAUCGCCCCUGCCAUCUACCACCACCGCUCCGAAUCCGUAUCCAUAUACCACCACCAAUCCGUGUCCAUAUACCACCACCGAUCCAUAUCCAUAUACUACCACCGCUACCACCACCGCUGCCAUAUACCACCACCAUAUAUCCACCACCAAUCCGAUUUCCUUGCUUAUUAGGUUUGUUUUCGAGAUCCAUCUAGUUUCCGAUUCGUGUUUCCUUGCCGGAGUAGGUUUCGGAAAAAAAAAGAGUCGGGUAGCCACGCUCCGUUUAGGCCCAAAAUUUUUUCGAAAACGCAUUUUUCGAAAAAAUUUCUGGCUAUCCUAUUUUUAGGUGUUUCUGAGUGUUUUGAGACAGGUGCCAUUAUAGGAAGUUUUUUUUGACCCGUUUCCAGUUUUUGGGUCCGGGCAGUCGAAAAAAAAAAUUUGUCGAAAAAAAAAAUUCGUGCCCAUCCUGUCAGUUUGACCUAGGAAGAGUUUUGAGACACUUGCCACCAUAGUGAUUUUUCGCAAAAAAAAACAGCGCAAAAAAAAAGAGCGCAAAAAAAAGAGCGAAAAGAAAAAUUUCAGAGUGUGCUUUUCCCUUGUUUACGUGCCGCUCCGUGAUUUUUUGGUGUUCUAGGCUCGCGUCUCUAGCACAGUCUAGCCUAGGACCAGCACAGUACCGUCGUUGAGCGUUUAUUCAACUUUGCAUCUCUGAAUUGAUUAUUGCUGACCCUUUUUGCUACCAUACUAUAAGCCUUCCCAGCUCCACAUACAUCUACGUCGUGUGUUUGACUCUCCCUGGUAAUCGCUCUAUCCAAGCUUUGAGAGUUUUUGACUACAACGGUUGCCGAUCACCGCCUGCUGCUGGGUAAGAACUGGUAAGAAUUUGAGAUUUGCUUGACGGAUUUGUGAUACACCACCACCACUUCUUAGUAGUUGAUGAGGACAUCAAUACAAUUGUUACACCCACAGCCCCUGCUGCUAUACAUACUGGACCAAUUACUAGAGCUCGUGCACGCCAACUAAAUUACCAGGUACUUUCGUUUCUUGGUAAUGAUUCUAAUGUUCAUGAGAAUAUGAUGCUGCCUAAAUUGGAUACAUUUGUUUUGCUUACAAAUGAAGGGCCUAGCUUGGACAAGGAUGAACAUUGGAGCAAGAACAAGCAUGGAGAUGAUGGCAUGCGCAAGGGGAACAAGAACGGAGUUACAAGUGAUGAUUUCAGGACUUUGAAGCCACCAUAAUGGGUGCAUGAAGCCUUGGACGAAAUAUACAAGAUGCCACUUCAUAAAUUUCGUCCCGAGGCUAUUUUAGGUGCUGCGUCACCUUAUUAUUGGGCCAGGCCCAUGUAAUUUCGAAAUACAUAAGUAUAGGCUAUUUUUAGAGUCCGUAUGUGUGGGGAAACAAGAGAUAGGGUUGAUGUCGGACCCCUCCACCAAGGGCCACGAAAUUCCCCCCUCUUCCUCCAUAUAUACAGCCCUUAGGGCAUCGUUUAGACUUUGGGUUUUGUUUAGAUUAAAAGUUCGCCAUAGCUGCAACUUCGCGUACUUCGUUUGUGUUCAACGACCAGACAAAGGCGUCACAGAACCCCACCUUGAUCAAUAAAGCUUUCAUCUUAUAUUCGCAAUAUCCAGAUUGCAAUCUUAGUUUCUUGCUUGUUCUUCGUUUGCUCGCAGGAAACAGACCCUCGUGGUCAGGUUGAUCGUGCUCCGGCGUGGUCAAUAACCUCUCGGAGUUGGUUUAGCGAUUGCUAAGGCGCGACGUCCUCGCACGUUCGUAGUCGGAUCGUCAAAGUCGACUUCCACCAAAGCGAAAUCCACCAUCUCAUCGAAAGACGGGACACCUCCGCCUCUAUCAACUUGUCACCCCCAAACUGAUGGACAAACUGAAGUAGUCAAUAGAACGUUGUCUACUAUGCUUAGGGCUGUUUUGAAGAAUAAUAAGAAAAUGUGGGAGGAAUGCUUGCCUCAUAUUGAAUUUUCUUAUAAUCGUUCAUUGCAUUCUACUACUAAGAUGUGCCCUUUUGAAGUUGUGUAUGGUUUCCUACCUCGUGCACCUAUUGAUUUGUUGCCUCUUCCAUCUUCGGAGAAGGUUAAUUUUGAUGCUAAACAACGUGCUGAAUUGAUUUUAAAAAUGCAUGAGUUAACUAAGGAAAACAUUGAGCGUAUGAAUGCUAAAUAUAAACUUGCUGGAGAUAAGGGUAGAAAACAUGUUGUGUUUGCACCUGGAGAUGUUGUUUGGUUACAUUUGCGUAAGGAUAGAUUUCCUGAUUUGCGCAAAUCAAAGCUAAUGCCACGUGCUGAUGGUCCCUUUAAGGUGUUAGAGAAAAUAAAUGAUAAUGCAUAUAAACUUGAGCUGCCUGCAGAUUUUGGGGUUAGUCCCACUUUUAACAUUGCAGAUUUGAAGCCUUAUUUGGGUGAGGAAGAUGGACUUCCGUCGAGGACGACUUCAUUUCAAGAAGGGGAGGAUGAUGAGGACAUCAAUACAAUUGUUACACCCACAGCCCCUGCUGCUAUACAUACUGGACCAAUUACUAGAGCUCGUGCAUGCCAACUAAAUUACCAGGUACUUUCGUUUCUUGGUAAUGAUUCUAAUGUUCAUGAGAAUAUGAUGCUGCCUAAAUUGGAUACAUUUGUUUUGCUUACAAAUGAAGGGCCUAGCUUGGAGAAGGAUGAACAUUGGAGCAAGAACAAGCAUGGAGAUGAUGGCAUGCGCAAGGGAAACAAGAACGGAGUUACAAGGGAUGAUUUCAGGACUUUGAAGCCACCAUAAUGGGUGCAUGAAGCCUUGGACGAAAUAUACAAGAUGCCACUUCAUAAAUUUCGUCCCGAGGCUAUUUUAGGUGCUGCGUCACCUUAUUAUUGGGCCAGGCCCAUGUAAUUUCGAAAUACAUAAGUAUAGGCUAUUUUUAGAGUCCGUAUGUGUGGGGAAACAAGAGAUAGGGUUGAUUUCGGACCCCUCCACCAAGGGCCACGAAAUUCCCCCCUCUUCCCCCAUAUAUACAACCCUUAGGGCAUCGUUUAGACUUUGGGUUUUGUUUAGAUUAAAAGUUCGCCAUAGCUGCAACUUCGCGUACUUCGUUUGUGUUGAACGACCAGACAAAGGCGUCACAGAACCCCACCUUGAUCAAUAAAGCUUUCAUCUUAUAUUCGCAAUAUCCAGAUUGCAAUCUCAGUUUCUUGCUUGUUCUUCGUUUGCUCGCAGGAAACAGACCCUCGUGGUCAGGUUGAUCGUGCUCCGGCGUGGUCAAUAACCUCUCGGAGUUGGUUUAGCGAUUGCUAAGGCGCGACGUCCUCGCACGUUCGUAGUCGGAUCGUCAAAGUCGACUUCCAACAAAGCGAUAUCCAUCAUCUCAUCGAAAGACGGGACACCUUUGCCUCUAUCAAGUGGUAUCAGAUUUCCAGGUUGCUCGAUGAGAUUUUACAGUUUUUCGUAGUUUAGAUCGAGUCUGUCUUCAUACCUAUAGUCUACGAAAAAGCCACAAAAAAAUUAGGGUUAGUUCAUCAUAUCCGAACCAAUCUGAGCCUUUGCAUAAUCUUUUUAGGGUUUUGCUUUGUUGAAUUUGCGGUUGCAUCGUCGUUUCUAGUUGCUGGUCUUAGAGUCUAGUCUUUUAGAGUUUCGAGUUCUGGUCAUAAGUUGUCACGCCGCUGCCGCACCAUCAUCAUCGCCCCUGCCAUCUACCACCACCGCUCCGAAUCCGUAUCCAUAUACCACCACCAAUCCGUGUCCAUAUACCACCACCGAUCCAUAUCCAUAUACUACCACCGCUACCACCACCGCUGCCAUAUACCACCACCAUAUAUCCACCACCAAUCCGAUUUCCUUGCUUAUUAGGUUUGUUUUCGAGAUCCAUCUAGUUUCCGAUUCGUGUUUCCUUGCCGGAGUAGGUUUCGGAAAAAAAAAGAGUCGGGUAGCCACGCUCCGUUUAGGCCCAAAAUUUUUCGAAAACGCAUUUUUCGAAAAAAUUUCUGGCUAUCCUAUUUUUAGGUGUUUCUGAGUGUUUUGAGACAGGUGCCAUUAUAGGAAGUUUGUUUUGACCCGUUUCCAGUUUUUGGGUCCGGGCAGUCGAAAAAAAAAAAUUUGUCGAAAAAAAAAAUUCGUGCCCAUCCUGUCAGUUUGACCUAGGAAGAGUUUUGAGACACUCGCCAUUAUAGUGAUUUUUCGCAAAAAAAAAACAGCGCAAAAAAAAGAGCGCAAAAAAAAGAGAGCAAAAAGAAAAAUUUUAGAGUGUGCUUUUCCCUUGUUUACGUGCCGCGCCGUGAUUUUGUUGGUGUUCUAGGCUCGCGUCUCUAGCACAGUCUAGCCUAGGACCAGCACAGUACCGUCGUUGAGCGUUUAUUCAACUUUGCAUCUCUGAAUUGAUUAUUGUUGACCCUUUUUGCUACCAUACUAUAAGCCUUCCCAGCUCCACAUACAUCUACGUCGUGUGUUUGACUCUCCCUGGUAAUCGCUCUAUCCAGGCUUUGAGAGUUUUUGACUACAACGGUUGCCGAUCACCGCCUGCUGCUGGGUAAGAACUGGUAAGAAUUUGAGAUUUGCUUGACGGAUUUGUGAUACACCACCACCACUUCUUAGUAGUUGAUGAGGACAUCAAUACAAUUGUUACACCCACAGCCCCUGCUGCUAUACAUACUGGACCAAUUACUAGAGCUCGUGCACGCCAACUAAAUUACCAGGUACUUUCGUUUCUUGGUAAUGAUUCUAAUGUUCAUGAGAAUAUGAUGCUGCCUAAAUUGGAUACAUUUGUUUUGCUUACAAAUGAAGGGCCUAGCUCGGAGAAGGAUGAACAUUGGAGCAAGAACAAGCAUGGAGAUGAUGGCAUGCGCAAGGGAAACAAGAACGGAGUUACAAGGGAUGAUUUCAGGACUUUGAAGCCACCAUAAUGGGUGCAUGAAGCCUUGGACGAAAUAUACAAGAUGCCACUUCAUAAAUUUCGUCCCGAGGCUAUUUUAGGUGCUGCGUCACCUUAUUAUUGGGCCAGGCCCAUGUAAUUUCGAAAUACAUAAGUAUAGGCUAUUUUUAGAGUCCGUAUGUGUGGGGAAACAAGAGAUAGGGUUGAUUUCGGACCCCUCCACCAAGGGCCACGAAAUUCCCCCCUCUUCCUCCAUAUAUACAGCCCUUAGGGCAUCGUUUAGACUUUGGGUUUUGUUUAGAUUAAAAGUUCGCCAUAGCUACAACUUCGCGUACUUCGUUUGUGUUCAACGACCAGACAAAGGCGUCACAGAACCCCACCUUGAUCAAUAAAGCUUUCAUCUUAUAUUCGCGAUAUCCAGAUUGCAAUCUCAGUUUCUUGCUUGUUCUUCGUUUGCUCGCAGGAAACAGACCCUCGUGGUGAGGUUGAUCGUGCUCCGGCGUGGUCAAUAACCUCUCGGAGUUGGUUUAGCGAUUGCUAAGGCGCGACGUCCUCGCACGUUCGUAGUCGGAUCGUCAAAGUCGACUUCCAACAAAGCGAUAUCCAUCAUCUCAUCGAAAGACGGGACACCUUUGCCUCUAUCAAGUGGUAUCAGAUUUCCAGGUUGCUAGGUGAGAUUUUACAGUUUUUCGUAGUUUAGAUCGAGUCUGUCUUCAUACCUAUAGUCCACGAAAAAGCCACAAAAAAAUUUAGGGUUAGUUCAUCAUAUCCGAACCAAUCUGAGCCUUUGCAUAAUCUUUUUAGGGUUUUGCUUUGUUGAAUUUGCGGUUGCAUCGUCGUUUCUAGUUGCUGGUCUUAGAGUCUAGUCUUUUAGAGUUUCGAGUUCUGGUCAUAAGUUGGCACGCCGCCGCCGCACCAUCAUCAUCGCCCCUGCCAUCUACCACCACCGCUUCGAAUCCGUAUCCAUAUACCACCACCAAUCCGUGUCCAUAUACCACCACCGAUCCAUAUCCAUAUACUACCACCGCUACCACCACCGCUGCCAUAUACCACCACCAUAUAUCCACCACCAAUCCGAUUUCCUUGCUUAUUAGGUUUGUUUUCGAGAUCCAUCUAGUUUCCGAUUCGUGUUUCCUUGCCGGAGUAGGUUUCGGAAAAAAAAAGAGUCGGGUAGCCACGCUCCAUUUAGGCCCAAAAUUUUUUCGAAAACGCAUUUUUCGAAAAAAAUUCUAGCUAUCCUAUUUUUUUUGACCCGUUUCCAGUUUUUGGGUCCGGGCAGUCGAAAAAAAAAAUUUUGUCGAAAAAAAAAAUUCGUGCCCAUCCUGUCAGUUUGACCUAGGAAGAGUUUUGAGACACUCGCCAUUAUAGUGAUUUUUCGCAAAAAAAAGCAGCGCAAAAAAAAGAGCGAAUUUUUUUUCAGAGUGUGCUUUUCCCUUGUUUACGUGCCGCGCCGUGAUUUUGUUGGUGUUCUAGGCUCGCGUCUCUAGCACAGUCUAGCCUAGGACCAGCACAGUACCGUCGUUGAGCGUUUAUUCAACUUUGCAUCUCUGAAUUGAUUAUUGCUGACCCUUUUUGCUACCAUAGUAUAAGCCUUCCCAGCUCCACAUACAUCUACGUCGUGCGUUUGACUCUCCCUGGUAAUCGCUUUAUCCAAGCUUUGAGAGUUUUGACUACAACGGUUGCCGAUCACCGCCUGUUGCUGGGUAAGAACUGGUAAGAAUUUGAGUUUUGCUUGACGGAUUUGUGACACCCACCACCACCACUUGUUCGUAGUCUGUAGGAUCAUAUUCUUGUGUGUUUCUAUUGCUGCUAACCAUGCCAGGAUCACAAGCCGACGAGAUUGACUGGGAGAAUUUAUCGAACAAGGAGCUUCAUGAUAAGUUUCAGCAAAUGAUGACUGAACAGGUGCAAGAUGUGCUGAACAAUUUUGAAGAGGCCAUGGAGAAGAUCACUGGCCUUGAGAAGACGUUCGAAACAAAGCUCGAUAACAGAUUUAAUGAAUUGCUUGCGCGUCUUCCACCACCACCACCCGCUGCACCUAACGCACCUCUCCAGAAACAACAACAACGACUACCUCCACGUCGCGAAAUAGACCUUCGCCGAGCGAGCCGUGUUCCUCUUGUGUUUGGCCAAACUGUUGGUGCUGCUGUUGAUACUUCUGUGGCUCCUGCUACUGCUGUUGCUGGUACCCAGGAGGAUGAUGAGUAUGCGGGCGAUUAUGAGGAUGAGGUUGAUCAAAAUCAGAUCUACGAGCAGCCACCAGCACCACCACCAGCAGGUCGACCUCAGGUAUAUAUUCGUAAUGGUACGCCUGCACCACCACCUCAGGUACGAGAUGAUGUCCAUAUUCCUAAACUGAAAUUGAAUAUUCCACCAUUUGAGGGUAGAUAUGUUCCUGAUAUAUAUCUUACUUGGGAGUUAGAAACUGAACAACGAUUUACAUGUUUACAAUAUCCUGAGGAGAGACGAGUUGCUGCUGCUGUUUGUGCUUUCACUAGUUUUGCAUGUGUAUGGUGGUCUGAACAUUGUAGAUUAUAUCCUAUUCCAACUACUUGGGCUGCUUUGAAAACUGCUAUGCGUACGCGUUGGGUUCCACCAUAUUAUCAACGUGAAUUGCUUCAAAAAUUGCAGCGUUUAAGACAAGGAAAAAAUUCUGUAGAAGAAUAUUAUCAGGAAUUACAAACUGGCAUGAUUAGAUGUGGUAUUGUUGAGGAGAAUGAAGCUAUGCUUGCACGUUUUCUGGGUGGAUUAAAUAGAGAGAUUCAGACCAUUCUAGACUAUAAGGAGUAUACUAAUAUCACUCGUUUAUUCCAUCUUGCUUGUAAAGCUGAACGUGAAGUGCAGGAUCGACAAGCAUUGGGGCGAACUAACUUUUCUGCAGGCCGACAUUCAUCAUGGACACCACGUGCAUCUUCUACUUCAACUGCACCAGCACCUCCAGUCGUGAUACAAGAAAACAGGCACAACCACCAUUAUCUGCCAAGAGCGCACCUGCGGGGCCUGCACAGCGUUCUUCUUCUUCCAUGGCAUCAACAGGGCACACAAGUGAUAUUAUUUGUCGUCGUUGUAAGGGAGGAGGUCAUUAUGCGAGAGAAUGCAAAUCUCCGCGUGUGAUGAUUGCUACCGCGGAUGGUGGAUAUGAGUCCGCUAGUGACUAUGAUGAGGAGACUUUGGCUCUUAUUACACGUGAAGAACAUGGUGGAGAUGAUUCUGAUCAUGAGACGCAAUACAUGGCUCCUGAAGACGCUGACAGGUAUGAAUGUUUAGUUGCUCAACGUGUUUUGAGUGUGCAGGUUACACAAGCUGAGCAAAAUCAGAGGCACAAUUUGUUCCAUACCAAGGGAGUUGUGAAGGAACGUUCUGUGCGCGUCAUCAUAGACGGAGGGAGCUGCAACAACUUGGCUAGCAUGGAGAUGGUGGAGAAGCUUUCUCUCACCACAAGACCACAUCCACAUCCUUACUACAUCCAAUGGUUCAACAACAGCGGCAAGGUUAAGGUAACACGUACUGUUCGUGUGCAUUUUAGUAUCUCUACAUAUGCUGAUUAUGUUGAUUGUGAUGCGGUACCUAUGCAAGCAUGUUCCUUAUUACUUGGUAGACCAUGGCAAUUUGAUAAAAAUUCUGUACACCAUGGUAGAAACAAUCACUAUACUCUUGUUCAUAAGGAUAAAAAUAUUACUUUGCUUCCUAUGACUCCUGAUUCCAUUUUGAAAGAUGAUAUUAAUAGAGCUAAUAAAGCACAACAGGAGAAGAAUAAGAGUGAAAAUCAGAUUGUGGCAAAAGAAUUUGAGCAACAAAUGAAGCCUAAUAAUAAACCAUCUAGUGUUGCUUCUGAAAUUAAAUUGAAAAGUGCAUGUUUAUUUGCCACCAAAUCUGAUAUUGAUGAGCUAGAUUUCAGCAAAUCUGUUUGCUAUGCUUUUGUGUGCAAAGAGGCAUUAUUUUCAUUCGAGGACGUGCCUUCCUCUUUGCCUCCUGCUGUCACUAACAUUUUGCAGGAGUUCGCUGAUGUCUUUCCACAAGACGUGCCACCGGGAUUACCACCUAUUCGAGGGAUUGAGCAUCAGAUUGACUUAAUUCCCGGUGCUUCACUGCCAAACCGUGCACCAUACCGUACCAAUCCAGAGGAGAUGAAGGAGAUUAUGCGUCAAGUACAAGAGCUUCUCGACAAAGGUUAUAUACGCGAAUCCCUUAGUCCUUGUGCUGUUCCUAUUAUUCUAGUGCCGAAAAAGGAUGGUACAUCACGUAUGUGUGUUGAUUGUAGAGGCAUUAAUAAUAUUACUAUUCGUUAUCGUCAUCCUAUUCCUAGGCUAGAUGAUAUGCUUGAUGAAUUGAGUGGCACUACAAUAUUCUCCAAAGUUGAUUUGCGUAGUGGCUACCAUCAAAUUCAUAUGAAAUUGGGAGAUGAAUGGAAAACAGCAUUUAAAACUAAGUUUGGAUUAUAUGAGUCGUUAGUCAUGCCUUUUGGGUUAACUAAUGCACCUAGUACUUUCAUGAGAUUAAUGAACGAAGUUUUACGUGCUUUCAUUGGACGAUUUGUGGUAGUUUACUUUGAUGACAUACUGAUUUAUAGCAGAUCUUUGGAAGAACAUUUGGAACAUUUACGUGCUGUUUUUAUUGCUCUACGUGAUGCACGUUUGUUUGGUAACCUUGGGAAGUGCACCUUUUGCACCGACCGAGUAUCUUUUCUUGGCUAUGUUGUUACUCCACAGGGAAUUGAAGUUGACAAAGCCAAGAUUGAAGCUAUUGACAGUUGGCCGCAGCCCAAAACGGUCACACAAGUGAGGAGUUUUCUUGGCCUCGCUGGAUUCUAUAGGCGUUUUGUGAGAGAUUUCAGCACCAUUGCUGCACCUCUCAAUGAGCUUACAAAGAAGGAUGUGCCUUUUGUUUGGGGUACCGCACAGGAAGAAGCCUUCACGGUAUUGAAAGAGAAGUUGACACAUGCUCCUUUACUCCAACUUCCUGAUUUUAAUAAGACUUUUGAGCUUGAAUGUGAUGCUAGUGGAAUUGGAUUAGGAGGUGUGUUAUUACAAGAUGGCAAACCUAUUGCAUACUUUUCUGAAAAAUUGAGUGGGCCUAGUCUGAAUUAUUCUACUUAUGAUAAAGAAUUAUAUGCUCUUGUUCGGACUUUAGAAACAUGGCAACAUUAUUUAUGGCCCAAAGAAUUUGUUAUACAUUCUGAUCAUGAAUCUUUGAAACAUAUUAAAAGUCAAGCUAAACUGAAUCGUAGACAUGCUAAAUGGGUUGAAUUCAUUGAGACUUUCCCUUAUGUCAUUAAACACAAGAAGGGAAAAGAAAAUGUUAUUGCUGAUGCAUUGUCUCGUCGCUAUACUAUGCUUUCACAACUUGACUUCAAAAUAUUUGGUUUGGAGACCAUCAAAGAUCAAUAUGUGCAUGAUGCUGAUUUUAAAGAUGUAAUGUAGAAUUGUAAAGAAGGAAGAAUGUGGAACAAGUUUGUCGUUAACGAUGGAUUUGUGUUUCGUGCUAACAAGCUAUGCAUUCCAGCUAGCUCCGUUCGUCUUUUGUUGUUGCAGGAGGCGCAUUGAUAGAGGCGGAGGUGUCCCGUCUUUGGAUGAGAUGAUGGAUUUCGCUUUGGUGGAAAUUGAUUUUGACGAUCCGACUACGAACGUGCGAGGACGUCGCGCCUUAGCAAUCGCUAAACCAACUCCGAGAGGUUAUUGACCACGCCGGAGCACGAUCAACCUGACCACGAGGGUCUGUUUCCUGCGAGCAAACGAAGAACAAGCAAGAAACUGAGAUUGCAAUCUGGAUAUUGCAAAUAUAAGAUGAAAGCUUUAUUGAUCAAGGUGGGGUUCUGUGACGCCUUUGUCUGGUCGUUGAACACAAACGAAGUACGCGAAGUUGCAGCUAUGGCGAACUUUUAAUCUAAACAAAACCCAAAGUCUAAACGAUGCCCUAAGGGCUGUAUAUAUGGAGGAAGAGGGGGGAAUUUCGUGGCCCUUGGUGGAGGGGUCCGAAAUCAACCCUAUCUCUUGUUUCCCCACACAUACGGACUCUAAAAAUAGCCUAUACUUAUGUAUUUCGAAAUUACAUGGGCCUGGCCCAAUAAUAAGGUGACGCAGCACCUAAAAUAGCCUCGGGAUGAAAUUUAUGAAGUGGCAUCUUGUAUAUUUCGUCCAAGGCUUCAUGCACCCAUUAUGGUGGCUUCAAAGUCCUGAAAUCAUCACUUGUAACUCCGUUCUUGUUCCCCUUGCGCAUGCCAUCAUCUGCAUGCUUGUUCUUGCUCCAAUGUUCAUCCUUCUCCAAGCUAGGCCCUUCAUUUGUAAGCAAAACAAAUGUAUCCAAUUUAGGCAGCAUCAUAUUCUCAUGAACAUUAGAAUCAUUACCAAGAAACGAAAGUACCUGGUAAUUUAGUUGGCGUGCACGAGCUCUAGUAAUUGGUCCAGUAUGUAUAGCAGCAGGGGCUGUGGGUGUAACAGUUGUAUUGAUGUCCUCAUCACUAGUUUUGCAUGUGUAUGGUGGUCUGAACAUUGUAGAUUAUAUCCUAUUCCAACUACUUGGGAUGCUUUGAAAACUGCUAUGCGUACGCGUUGGGUUCCACCAUAUUAUCAACGUGAAUUGCUUCAAAAAUUGCAGCGUUUAAGACAAGGAAAAAAUUCUGUAGAAGAAUAUUAUCAGGAAUUACAAACUGGCAUGAUUAGAUGUGGUAUUGUUGAGGAGAAUGAAGCUAUGCUUGCACGUUUUCUGGGUGGAUUAAAUAGAGAGAUUCAGACCAUUCUAGACUAUAAGGAGUAUACUAAUAUCACUCGUUUAUUCCAUCUUGCUUGUAAAGCUGAACGUGAAGUGCAGGAUCGACAAGCAUUGGGGCGAACUAACUUUUCUGCAGGCCGACCUUCAUCAUGGACACCACGUGCAUCUUCUACUUCAACUGCACCAGCACCUCCAUCAGGUGCCACCUCCAGCCGUGAUACAAGAAAACAGGCACAACCACCAUUAUCUGCCAAGAGCGCACCUGCGGGGCCUACACAGCGUUCUUCUUCUUCCAUAGCAUCAACAGGGCACACAAGUGAUAUUAUUUGUCGUCGUUGUAAGGGAGGAGGUCAUUAUGCGAGAGAAUGCAAAUCUCCGCGUAUGAUUGCUACCGCGGAUGGUGGAUAUGAGUCCGCUAGUGACUAUGAUGAGGAGACUUUGGCUCUUAUUACACGUGAAGAACAUGGUGGAGAUGAUUCUGAUCAUGAGACGCAAUACAUGGCUCCUGAAGACACUGACAGGUAUGAAUGUUUAGUUGCUCAACGUGUUUUGAGUGUGCAGGUCACACAAGCUGAGCAAAAUCAGAGGCACAAUUUGUUCCAUACCAAGGGAGUUGUGAAGGAAUGUUCUGUGCGCGUCAUCAUAGACGGAGGUAGUUGCAACAACUUGGCUAGCAUGGAGAUGGUGGAGAAGCUUUCUCUCACCACAAGACCACAUCCACAUCCUUACUACAUCCAAUGGUUCAACAACAGCGGCAAGGUUAAGGUAACACGUACUGUUCGUGUGCAUUUUAGUAUCUCUACAUAUGCUGAUUAUGUUGAUUGUGAUGUGGUACCUAUGCAAGCAUGUUCCUUAUUACUUGGUAGACCAUGGCAAUUUGAUAAAAAUUCUGUACACCAUGGUAGAAACAAUCACUAUACUCUUGUUCAUAAGGAUAAAAAUAUUACUUUGCUUCCUAUGACUCCUGAUUCCAUUUUGAAAGAUGAUAUUAAUAGAGCUAAUAAAGCAAAACAGGAGACGAAUAAGAGUGAAAAUCAGAUUGUGGCAAAAGAAUUUGAGCAACAAAUGAAGCCUAACAAUAAACCAUCUAGUGUUGCUUCUGAAAUUAAAUUGAAAAGUGCAUGUUUAUUUGCCACCAAAUCUGAUAUUGAUGAGCUAGAUUUCAGCAAAUCUGUUUGCUAUGCUUUUGUGUGCAAAGAGGCAUUAUUUUCAUUCGAGGACGUACCUUCCUCUUUGCCUCCUGCUGUCACUAACAUUUUGCAGGAGUUCGCUGACGUCUUUCCACAAGACGUGCCACCGUGAUUACCGCCUAUUCGAGGGAUUGAGCAUCAGAUUGACUUAAUUCCCGGUGCUUCACUGCCAAACCGUGCACCAUACCGUACCAAUCCAGAGGAGACGAAGGAGAUUAUGCGCCAAGUACAAGAGCUUCUCGACAAAGGUUAUAUACGCGAAUCCCUUAGUCCUUGUGCUGUUCCUAUUAUUCUAGUGCCGAAAAAGGAUGGUACAUCACGUAUGUGUGUUGAUUGUAGAGGCAUUAAUAAUAUUACUAUUCGUUAUCGUCAUCCUAUUCCUAGGCUAGAUGAUAUGCUUGAUGAAUUGAGUGGUUCUACAAUAUUCUCCAAAGUUGAUUUGCGUAGUGGCUACCAUCAAAUUUGUAUGAAAUUGGGAGAUGAAUGGAAAACAGCAUUUAAAACUAAGUUUGGAUUAUAUGAGUGGUUAGUCAUGCCUUUUGGGUUAACUAAUGCACCUAGUACUUUCAUGAGAUUAAUGAACGAAGUUUUACGUGCUUUCAUUGGACGAUUUGUGGUAGUUUACUUUGAUGACAUACUGAUUUAUAGCAGAUCUUUGGAAGAACAUUUGGAACAUUUACGUGCUGUUUUUAUUGCUCUACGUGAUGCACGUUUGUUUGGUAACCUUGGGAAGUGCACCUUUUGCACCGACCGAGUAUCUUUUCUUGGCUAUGUUGUUACUCCACAGGGAAUUGAAGUUGACAAAGCCAAGAUUGAAGCUAUUGACAGUUGGCCGCAGCCCAAAACGGUCACACAAGUGAGGAGUUUUCUUGGCCUCGCUGGAUUCUAUAGGCGUUUUGUGAGAGAUUUCAGCACCAUUGCUGCACCUCUCAAUGAGCUUACAAAGAAGGAUGUGCCUUUUGUUUGGGGUACCGCACAGGAAGAAGCCUUCACGGUAUUGAAAGAGAAGUUGACACAUGCUCCUUUACUCCAACUUCCUGAUUUUAAUAAGACUUUUGAGCUUGAAUGUGAUGCUAGUGGAAUUGGAUUAGGAGGUGUGUUAUUACAAGAUGGCAAACCUAUUGCAUACUUUUCUGAAAAAUUGAGUGGGCCUAGUCUGAAUUAUUCUACUUAUGAUAAAGAAUUAUAUGCUCUUGUUCGGACUUUAGAAACAUGGCAACAUUAUUUAUGGCCCAAAGAAUUUGUUAUACAUUCUGAUCAUGAAUCUUUGAAACAUAUUAAAAGUCAAGCUAAACUGAAUCGUAGACAUGCUAAAUGGGUUGAAUUCAUUGAGACUUUCCCUUAUGUCAUUAAACACAAGAAGGGAAAAGAAAAUGUUAUUGCUGAUGCAUUGUCUCGUCGCUAUACUAUGCUUUCACAACUUGACUUCAAAAUAUUUGGUUUGGAGACCAUCAAAGAUCAAUAUGCGCAUGAUGCUGAUUUUAAAGAUGUAAUGCAGAAUUGUAAAGAAGGAAGAAUGUGGAACAAGUUUGUCGUUAACGAUGGAUUUGUGUUUCGUGCUAACAAGCUAUGCAUUCCAGCUAGCUCCGUUCGUCUUUUGUUGUUGCAGGAGGCGCAUGGAGGAGGAUUAAUGGGACACUUUGGCGUGAAGAAGACGGAGGACGUACUUGCUACACAUUUCUUUUGGCCAAAGAUGAGACGGGAUGUUGAGCGUUUUAUUGCUCGAUGCACUACAUGUCAAAAAGCUAAGUCACGACUCAAUCCUCAUGGUUUAUAUAUGCCUUUGCCUGUACCUAGUGUUCCUUGGGAGGAUAUAUCUAUGGACUUUGUUUUAGGUUUACCUCGAACAAAGAAGGGGAGGGAUAGCAUAUUUGUUGUCGUGGAUAGAUUCUCGAAAAUGGCACACUUUAUAUGAUAGAGGCGAGGGUCCCGAUCUUUCGAUGAGAUGAUAACUAUCGAUUUGGUGGAGACGACUUUGACGAUCCGACUACAAACGUGCACGACGUUGCGCCUUAGCAAUCGCUAAACCAAUCUCCUGAGGUUACUGACGAUGCUGGAAGCACGGUCAGCCUGACCACGAAGGUCUAUUCCUGCAAGCAAUCGAAGAACGAGCAAGAAUAUGAUAAAGCAAUCUGAAUAUUGCAAAUAUAUAUGAAGUAUUGAUAAUGGUGGGGAUCCGGAAGCGGUCUUGGUCUGGUCGUUGGACACAAACGAAGUACACGAAGUUGCAAUGGCUAACUUUUAACUAAACAAAUCCCAAGGAAAAGCUACUAGAUGGAUCUACUUAUAUAGGAGCAAGGGGUGGAGGCCAAGGAGGUUGGAGGACGUCCCAAGGCAGCCUAAAACUAAAUCUAGGUCGUACAAGGCCAAUGGGCCCAAGUGGAGGUGAUGUAACACCUUUGGACUUGUAGUUUGACUCGGAUUCUGCUGCAGCAUCAGAUUGUUUCGUCCACAACUCAACGCUCCGGACGAAUUUGAAGGUGAUUCCAAUUGGGUUGAAAAGUGCACGAAAUCUAGUUUCCAACAAAAAAAGAAUCACCCAAUUCGGAGUCCGUAUGAAAAACUUGUGUGCGUUUUGAGUCAGGUAUGUCUGUGCAGUCCGAAUCUGAAUCCAGAACGUGAGAGACUUGGACUCUAUCUUCUCUUGGGCCAAAAGUGACGUGAGAGAACUUUUUGAACAGAAAAUAAACAUCUCUUUCUUCCUUAUCUUCAUAUGUGGAUUGUACAAAUGUCCCAUACACCUGCAAUUAGACAAAACACAAAAGUGUGUGAAGUAUUUUUGUUCUGGAUAACAUAAAUAGAUUAUUGAAUAGUUUGCACUAGAAAUCACCUGACAAAUAUGCAUAUAUGCAAUAUUUUUGGUCAUAUCCAAGGUAGUCAUGUCCUCAUCAUCCUCCCCUUCUUGAAAAUAAAGCCGUCCUCGGCGUUGCUUAAUCUGAAAUGUGGCUAACAAAAGAGACAAGGUGUACAUGUUGUAUAUGUAUAUGUCAUCCAUUUUUACUUCCCUUGAUUUUUGCAUAUAUAACACAUGAACAGAUGAGUAACUUGCAUAGUUCAUAAAAUCUAAAGCCAAAAAAUUAGCACAAUAAGUAGAAGGCAUGAAAAUAUUGCAACUCAGUUUGCACAUAUAAGUGAAGCUCUUAUUCAUUUCAAAAGAUUGACAAUGUUCAUCAUUAAACCAUCCCAACAUUGGUGAAUAAACCUUACUUGCAUUAAAUUUACAUGCUACAACAUGCUUAAAUAAGCAAACAUGCAAUAAAUCAUUUAACACAGAAUCAUCACCAAGAUUAGAGGUCAUAUCAAAAUGAUUAAACAUUGGUUCUUUUGCAUCAAUAGUUAAUUCAAUGGGUGCACUCAAAAUUGUUGCUAUUUCAGUUGUUUGAUCACAUGGCAAAGUCAAAUUAUCAACGUAGUCCUCUAAAAUAGGUGGUGUGAUCAAAGUAGUGGGUAGCUCAUCAGAUGGUGCAUUCAAAUUGACAAGGCAUUCAUCAUUCUCAUGUAGAGAUGGAAGAUCAGUACCUUUGUCAUUACCUCUUAUGAUCAACUCAGAUGAUAUAGCCACUCUCGGGGGCGAUGUGUCACAUGGUGGAGGUGAUGUAGUCCUGACAACAACGGAUGUGGUUGUCAUAGUAUGCCUAGUAGUUGAAGGAACAAUCAUAUCAACUCUUGGAAUGUGCACCGUGUGCUUGUUCUCCUCGUGGCCAACACGUCGUUUUAUUUCCUGUUCAGCUUUGCAAGCAAGAUGAAACAAAUGGUCCAUAGGAUAACACUCUUCAUGAAUUAGUAUCUCUUGAAUAUCACGGUUUAAUCCUCCCCAAAAUCUAUCCAUAAAAUCAUCUUCACUUUCUUGUAAAGAGGAAUGCAACAAGGUAGUUUGUAAAUCAUCAUAAUAUUUUGUUACAGUUUCACUACCUUGUUUUAAGUGUUGCAACUUCUUAAUCAUGUCACGAGUAUAAUAAGCAGGGACGAAAGUAUGUCGCAUGGCAAGUUUCAAAUCAUCCCAAGUAGUAGGUAUAUAAUCAGGGUGUAACCGACAAUAUUCACUCCACCAAACCAAAGCAUAACCAAUGAAAGAACCAACCGCAACCUUAACCUCUUUAUGUUCAUCGAAAUUAUGGGAAGCAAAUAUAUUUUUUAUGUCGAACUCCCAUUCAAUAUAUAAAGCAGGUUUAAAACGGCCAUUAAAUGGUGGUAUAGAUACAUUAACCUGAUCAUGUGCAUUUGGAUGUUUGUGCACCUCUCGUGACGGUUGUGGUAUUUGCAAAGGUGGUGGCACGUCUCCCGCGAUCGACAAAGCCCAUGAAUUGACUCUGGAUCCUGUCAUGAUUAGUAGAACAAGAAACAAAACCCAAAAAUAAUGUUCCUAUAACUACUAGGAUGUGGUGGUAAAAUGCUCACAGUAAAGCAAAUAUCAAUGUCUUACAAGUUCUUACCAUGCAGCAGGCGGUGAUCGGCAACCAGCGGUGUCAAGUAACUCCGAAUAUUGAGUAAACCGAUUGCCAGGGGAGCGUACGUAUACACGGUGUAGAAAUAUGUGGAGCUGGGUUGGCUAUAUAUGGUAGCAAAAGAUUAGCAAUAAUCAAUUCAAAGAUGCAAUGUUGAAUAAACGCUCAACGACGGUAUUGUGCUGGUCCUAGGCUAGACCGGACUAGAGACGCAAGCCUAGAACACUAAUGAGGUCACGUCGUAGCACAACUAGCAUCAAUGAAGGAUACUAAGUAGCUUUGGACAGCAAGAUAUAAGUGAAGAUCACAACGGCAGUAAAGAUAAUGAGGUGAAACAACAGCCAAGCAGGACAUAUCAACAACUUUGUCUCCAACUUUCCUCUGAAAAAGUUUGUGCCGAUUUUUUUGUUUUUUUUCUCUUUUUUUUCCUCACACUUUUUUUUUCUUUCUCUCCUUUUUUUUCUCUGACUUUUUUUUCUCCUUUUUUUUCUCUCGUUUUUUUUCUCUUUUUACUCCCUCUUUCCAAAACAAACUAGAGAAGAUGCAGAUUGGAUCAAGUGAAGAUGUGAACGAUCUCAACAAUUAUUAUGACAAUGAAUGGUGGGUAGCACGUGGUGGAAAUUGAUGGAUGGAUGGUGGACAGCGGAAGAGAUAAUGAUGCAGCGGUGGCGUGACUAAUGUGAACAGAACUCAAAACUCUAAACGAACUAGACACUAAGACCAGCAACUCGACACGACGAUGCAACCGAUAAUUCAACUAUGCAAGCAAUGAAAAGAAAAUUGCAAAGGCUCAGACUGGCUUGGACCAAGGAUGAAUAGAUCUAACUCUUUUUUGUGGCUUUUUCUUGGACAAUAGGUAAGAAAAUAAAUCUAAUCUAGGAAAACUGGAAAUUCUCACCGAGCAACCUGAAAACUGAUACCACUUGAUAGAGGCGAGGGUCCCGAUCUUUCGAUGAGAUGAUAACUAUCGAUUUGGUGGAGACGACUUUGACGAUCCGACUACAAACGUGCACGACGUUGCGCCUUAGCAAUCGCUAAACCAAUCUCCUGAGGUUACUGACGAUGCUGGAAGCACGGUCAGCCUGACCACGAAGGUCUAUUCCUGCAAGCAAUCGAAGAACGAGCAAGAAUAUGAUAAAGCAAUCUGAAUAUUGCAAAUAUAUAUGAAGUAUUGAUAAUGGUGGGGAUCCGGAAGCGGUCUUGGUCUGGUCGUUGGACACAAACGAAGUACAUGAAGUUGCAAUGGCUAACUUUUAACUAAACAAAUCCCAAGGAAAAGCUACUAGAUGGAUCUACUUAUAUAGGAGCAAGGGGUGGAGGCCAAGGAGGUUGGAGGACGUCCCAAGGCAGCCUAAAACUAAAUCUAGGUCGUACAAGGCCAAUGGGCCCAAGUGGAGGUGAUGUAACACCUUUGGACUUGUAGUUUGACUCGGAUUCUGCUGUAGCAUCAGAUUGUUUCGUCCACAACUCAACGCUCCAGACGAAUUUGAAGGUGAUUCCAACUGGGUUGGAAAGUGCACGAAAUCUAGUUUCCAACAAAAAAAGAAUCACCCAAUUCGGAGUCCGUAUGAAAAACUUGUGUGCGUUUUGAGUCAGGUAUGUCUGUGCAGUCCGAAUCUGAAUCCAGAACGUGAGAGACUUGGACUCUAUCUUCUCUUGGGCCAAAAGUGACGUGAGAGAACUUUUUGAACAGCAAAUAAACAUCUCUUUCUUCCUUAUCUUCAUAUGUGGAUUGUACAAAUGUCCCAUACACCUGCAAUUAGACAAAACACAAAAGUGUGUGAAGUAUUUUUGUUCUGGAUAACAUAAAUAGAUUAUUGAAUAGUUUGCACUAGAAAUCACCUGACAAAUAUGCAUAUAUGCAAUAUUUUUGGUCAUAUCCAAGGUAGUCAUGUCCUCAUCAUUAUACCAUGUCAUAAAAGCGAUGAUGCUGUUAAUGUUGCUGAUUUGUUCUUUCGUGAAAUUAUUCACUUGCAUGGUGUGCCAAAUACUAUUGUUUCAGAUCGUGAUACUAAAUUUCUUAGCCACUUUUGGAGAUGUUUAUGGGCUAAGUUAGGGACUAAACUGCUUUUUAGUACUACUUGUCACCCCCAAACUGAUGGACAAACUGAAGUAGUCAAUAGAACGUUGUCUACUAUGCUUAGGGCUGUUUUGAAGAAUAAUAAGAAAAUGUCGGAGGAAUGCUUGCCUCAUAUUGAAUUUGCUUAUAAUCGUUCAUUGCAUUCUACUACUAAGAUGUGCCCUUUUGAAGUUGUGUAUGGUUUCCUACCUCGUGCACCUAUUGAUUUGUUGCCUCUUCCAUCUUCGGAGAAGGUUAAUUUUGAUGCUAAACAACGUGUUGAAUUGAUUUUAAAAAUGCAUGAGUUAACUAAGGAAAACAUUGAGCGUAUGAAUGCUAAAUAUAAACUUGCUGGAGAUAAGGGUAGAAAACAUGUUGUGUUUGCACCUGGAGAUCUUGUUUGGUUACAUUUGCGUAAGGAUAGAUUUCCUGAUUUGCGCAAAUCAAAGCUAAUGCCACGUGCUGAUGGUCCCUUUAAGGUGUUAGAGAAAAUAAAUGAUAAUGCAUAUAAACUUGAGCUGCCUGCAGAUUUUGGGGUUAGUCCCACUUUUAACAUUGCAGAUUUGAAGCCUUAUUUGGGUGAGGAAGAUGAACUUCUGUCGAGGACGACUUCAUUUCAAGAAGGGGAGGAUGAUGAGGACAUCGAUACAAUUGUUACACCCACAGCCCCUACUGCUAUACAUAUUGGACCAAUUACUAGAGCUCGUGCACGCCAACUAAAUUACCAGGUACUUUCGUUUCUUGGUAAUGAUUCUAAUGUUCAUGAGAAUAUGAUGCUGCCUAAAUUGGAUACAUUUGUUUUGCUUACAAAUGAAGGGCCUAGCUUGGAGAAGGAUGAACAUUGGAGCAAGAACAAGCAUGGAGAUGAUGGCAUGCGCAAGGGGAACAAGAACGGAGUUACAAGUGAUGAUUUCAGGACAUUGAAGCCACCAUAAUGGUGCAUGAAGCCUUGGACGAAAUAUACAAGAUGCCACUUCAUAAAUUUCGUCCCGAGGCUAUUUUAGGUGCUGCGUCACCUUAUUAUUGGGCCAGGCCCAUGUAAUUUCGAAAUACAUAAGUAUAGGCUAUUUUUAGAGUCCGUAUGUGUGGGGAAACAAGAGAUAGGGUUGAUUUCGGACCCCUCCACCAAGGGCCACGAAAUUCCCCCCUCUUCCUCCAUAUAUACAGCCCUUAGGGCAUCGUUUAGACUUUGGGUUUUGUUUAGAUUAAAAGUUCGCCAUAGCUGCAACUUCGCGUACUUCGUUUGUGUUCAACGACCAGACAAAGGCGUCACAGAACCCCACCUUGAUCAAUAAAGCUUUCAUCUUAUAUUCGCAAUAUCCAGAUUGCAAUCUUAGUUUCUUGCUUGUUCUUCGUUUGCUCGCAGGAAACAGACCCUCGUGGUCAGGUUGAUCGUGCUCCGGCGUGGUCAAUAACCUCUCGGAGUUGGUUUAGCGAUUGCUAAGGCGCGACGUCCUUGCACGUUCGUAGUCGGAUCGUCAAAGUCGACUUCCACCAAAGCGAUAUCCAUCAUCUCAUCGAAAGACGGGACACCUCCGCCUCUAUCACCUUUACUCCAACUUCCUGAUUUUAACAAGACUUUUGAGCUUGAAUGUGAUGCUAGUGGAAUUGGAUUAGGAGGUGUGUUAUUACAAGAUGGCAAACCUGUUGCAUACUUUUCUGAAAAAUUGAGUGGGCCUAGUCUGAAUUAUUCUACUUAUGAUAAAGAAUUAUAUGCUCUUGUUCGGACUUUAGAAACAUGGCAACAUUAUUUAUGGCCCAAAGAAUUUGUUAUACAUUCUGAUCAUGAAUCUUUGAAACAUAUUAAAAGUCAAGCUAAACUGAAUCGUAGACAUGCUAAAUGGGUUGAAUUCAUUGAGACUUUCCCUUAUGUCAUUAAACACAAGAAGGGAAAAGAAAAUGUUAUUGCUGAUGCAUUGUCUCGUCGCUAUACUAUGCUUUCACAACUUGACUUCAAAAUAUUUGGUUUGGAGACCAUCAAAGAUCAAUAUGUGCAUGAUGCUGAUUUUAAAGAUGUAAUGCAGAAUUGUAAAGAAGGAAGAAUGUGGAACAAGUUUGUCGUUAACGAUGGAUUUGUGUUUCGUGCUAACAAGCUAUGCAUUCCAGCUAGCUCCGUUCGUCUUUUGUUGUUGCAGGAGGCGCAUGGAGGAGGAUUAAUGGAACACUUUGGCGUGAAGAAGACGGAGGACGUACUUGCUACACAUUUCUUUUGGCCAAAGAUGAGACGGGAUGUUGAGCGUUUUAUUGCUCGAUGCACUACAUGUCAAAAAGCUAAGUCACGACUCAAUCCUCAUGGUUUAUAUAUGCCUUUGCCUGUACCUAGUGUUCCUUGGGAGGAUAUAUCUAUGGACUUUGUUUUAGGUUUACCUCGAACAAAGAAGGGGAGGGAUAGCAUAUUUGUUGUCGUGGAUAGAUUCUCGAAAAUGGCACACUUUAUACCAUGUCAUAAAAGCGAUGAUGCUGUUAAUGUUGCUGAUUUGUUCUUUCGUGAAAUUAUUCGCUUGCAUGGUGUGCCAAAUACUAUUGUUUCAGAUCGUGAUACUAAAUUUCUUAGCCACUUUUGGAGAUGUUUAUGGGCUAAGUUGGGGACUAAACUGCUUUUUAGUACUACUUGUCACCCCCAAACUGAUGGACAAACUGAAGUAGUCAAUAGAACGUUGUCUACUAUGCUUAGGGCUGUUUUGAAGAAUAAUAAGAAAAUGUGGGAGGAAUUCUUGCCCCAUAUUGAAUUUGCUUAUAAUCGUUCAUUGCAUUCUACUACUAAGAUGUGCCCUUUUGAAGUUGUGUAUGGUUUCCUACCUCGUGCACCUAUUGAUUUGUUGCCUCUUCCAUCUUCGGAGAAGGUUAAUUUUGAUGCUAAACAACGUGCUGAAUUGAUUUUAAAAAUGCAUGAGUUAAAUAAGGAAAACAUUGAGCGUAUGAAUGCUAAAUAUAAACUUGCUGGAGAUAAGGGUAGAAAACAUGUUGUGUUUGCACCUGGAGAUCUUGUUUGGUUACAUUUGCGUAAGGAUAGAUUUCCUGAUUUGCGCAAAUCAAAGCUAAUGCCACGUGCUGAUGGUCCCUUUAAGGUGUUAGAGAAAAUAAAUGAUAAUGCAUAUAAACUUGAGCUGCCUGCAGAUUUUGGGGUUAGUCCCACUUUUAACAUUGCAGAUUUGAAGCCUUAUUUGGGUGAGGAAGAUGAACUUCCGUCGAGGACGACUUCAUUUCAAGAAGGGGAGGAUGAUGAGGACAUCAAUACAAUUGUUACACCCACAGCCCCUGCUGCUAUACAUACUGGACCAAUUACUAGAGCUCGUGCACGCCAACUAAAUUACCAGGUACUUUCGUUUCUUGGUGCUGCCUAAAUUGGAUACAUUUGUUUUGCUUACAAAUGAAGGGCCUAGCUUGGAGAAGGAUGAACAUUAGAGCAAGAACAAGCAUGGAGAUGAUGGCAUGCGCAAGGGGAACAAGAACGGAGUUACAAGUGAUGAUUUCAGGACUUUGAAGCCACCAUAAUGGGUGCAUGAAGCCUUGGACAAAAUAUACAAGAUGCCACUUCAUAAAUUUCGUCCCGAGGCUAUUUUAGGUGCUGCGUCACCUUAUUAUUGGGCCAGGCCCAUGUAAUUUCGAAAUACAUAAGUAUAGGCUAUUUUUAGAGUCCGUAUGUGUGGGGAAACAAGAGAUAGGGUUGAUUUCAGACCCCUCCACCAAGGGCCACGAAAUUCCCCCCUCUUCCUCCAUAUAUACAGCCCUUAGGGCAUCGUUUAGACUUUGGGUUUUGUUUAGAUUAAAAGUUCGCCAUAGCUGCAACUUCGCGUACUUCGUUUGUGUUCAACGACCAGACAAAGGUGUCACAGAACCCCACCUUGAUCAAUAAAGCUUUCAUCUUAUAUUCGCAAUAUCCAGAUUGCAAUCUCAGUUUCUUGCUUGUUCUUCGUUUGCUCGCAGGAAACAGACCCUCGUGGUCAGGUUGAUCGUGCUCCGGCGUGGUCAAUAACCUCUCGGAGUUGGUUUAGCGAUUGCUAAGGCGCGACGUCCUCGCACGUUCGUAGUCGGAUCGUCAAAGUCGACUUCCACCAAAGCGAUAUCCAUCAUCUCAUCAAAAGACGGGACACCAUUGCCUCUAUCAUCGUGCAACCAAGGAAUGAGCACAAAAUGUGGAAUCCACGGAAAACGCUCGUGUUGCACAACUCAAGAGAGACGCUAGCACGAUUGCUCUAUAGGCGGAUACGACAUUUGUGCACAACCUAUAAGAUGCAAAAUGGAUAAACUUUCUAUCCCAAAUAUGCUAUGUAUGUAUGGUUCCCGGUGUUUCUCUCAAGAUGAUCCAAGAUGAUCGGAUAUGACAAUCUUAAAUGCAAUGUGGUAUGAUGCUAUGGCACUUGCUUACAAGCUUCUUUGCUCUCUUUCUCUUUUGCUUAAAAGCUUUAUUUCUUUUUUUUUCUAUGGCCACUUUGCACAAUGCACAAACGAAGAUAGCAAUUGUGUAUAUGCGGGAACAAACUUGUGACACAAGAUAUGAUAGCAAUAUAUGCACCACGAUGAUAUGGUAUGUAUGCUUAUGGGAAGUAUGAUCACUAAUGUGCACAAGUAACGUUGCCGGCAAUACUCAAAUGGCUAGUCUCGAUAGGCAAGCAACGCAAAAGUAAGGCUAGGGGUUAACAAUGCAAUAGCAAGGGAAUAUACAAUGGAGGGAUACCAUGAUACCAAGAUGAUAUGGAGGUUACCAUCCGACGAUGAUGAGUAGCAGUGUUCUUGAUGUAGAUACCAAGAUGAUGGAGACUCGUCCCUAAGUAGCCGAAACACCUUAGGAAACGGAAAAACCGCGAACUCAAAAUCUCACACGUCAAAUGUCAAAAUGGUGGUAGCGAAAAUGCGGUGGAGGUUUGCACUUGGCAAUGUGGAAGUGAAAUGAUGGUCUAUACACGUGUCGAAGUUGAAGUUGCCGUCCCUAAGUAGCCGAAACACCUAAGGAGACACAAGCCAUAACUCGAACAACUUCAAACAACAAUUGGGUUAAGUUCGGUUGGUGGAAGUGUAUGAUGGGCAAGGUUAUGUGGAAGUGGUGGUGGUGGUUGAUGAAGAAGUAAUCGUCCCUAAGUAGCCGAAACACCUUAGGAGACUCUAAUCACAACUCAUACAACCACAUAUGCAAUGGGGAACAAAAUGGGUUAGGUUGCGGAAGUCGGUGGUGGCUAUGCGGAUGAUAUGGUGGAAGCCCUAGGCAAAGAUGCUAAAAUCCCGAAAAUUUGAUGGUGUCAAAUGGUGUUGGUGGUAUUUUUGUGGGAUGGGGGAUGUCAAUAGCUUCAAAACGAGCUAAAGAACGUCAAAAACGGACUUCGGAUGAAUUAGUUACGGCCAAAACAAGAUUCCAGCCGAAGCAGUGUCAGGGUUAACCGGACAUCCGGGUGGAGGUCCGGAUGAUCCGGGUUCGUCAGCUCCGGUUCUGUUUUCUGGGUGCGUGGGGUAUCCGGACGUCCGGGAGAGGGUCCAGCUGAUCCGGGAGGUGUCCGGAUGAUCCGGGAGAAGGUCCGGAUGAUCCGGGCAGGUCAAACUGCUCGGGAUUUCCUCUCGGGGACGAAUUUUUGGGCGGAAAUGGAUGAUUUUCAGGGCAAAAUUUGAGGGAUUUCGUGGAUGGAAGGUGGGGAAACUUGGGGAAAUGCUAGAUCCACUUGAAACCAAGCAAAUCCACGGAUCAAAAUCAACAAAACAUCAUCAAACCAACAAAUCACAAAAAAAAAUUGGGGCUAUUUUUGGUGGGGAUUUUUGGAUUUAGGACGAAAACAACAAAAUCAAGCUAGAAAUCACGGGGUAGGGGCUCCAAAAACGUGAUCAACGUGGCUCAUGAUACCAUAUGAUGUAGGGUGGAACCCUAUAGCGUCGAUCUUUCACGUUUGGAGUGGAUCCUAUGGGGAGACACGAAGAACGAGCGGGAGAACACGAGGAAAUCACGGGGAGGAACGAGGGAAAACACUCAACCAACAAGCGAUCGGUCACAUGCUAGAUCGAAGAACACAAAGAGGUACACAAGAUCCAAAGUCAACAAAGGUAAGGAUACAAAGGUAACCGAUCUUCUCCGUGGGGAGGCCUUGAAUCCACAAAGGGAUCUUCCCACGAUGGGGUCUUGAAUCCGAUAGGAUCUACUCCGAAGAGGCCGCGGUCUCUCACGAGGAGGAGAUCUGAUGGAUGAGCGAGGCUCUAUCUCUAACUUGAGCUAAAUCAACGCUAAGUCUCAAAGUGAGGAGGAGGAGUCCUAUAUAUAGGCUAGGGGCGAAGGGGUACAUGGGCUCAGCCCAAGUCGCGCACACAGGCGGGGUCCGGAUGAUCCGGAUGGUGGCCCGGAUGAUCCGGUUGUCGGGGGUCCGGAUGAUCCGGGUGACUGUCCGGAUGAUCCGGCUUCAUCGAGAAGCUUCGGGUGUCUUCGGGCACGUUAGCCGGAUCGUCCGGGUGGUCGUCCGGAUCAUCCGGGCUCGGUCCGGAUCGUCCGGCUGGGUGUCCGGAUGAUCCGGGCAAGUCCAGUCUUGCUCCAUUCUUCUUCUUCCUUCUCCUCUUCCAUGCUUGGCCUUGAUCCUUGGAUUCUUCAUGGUCAUCUUGGUUGUACCUGAGUGUAUGCAAGGUCCAGGCAUGAGGUAGUAGCCGUGUCUCAUAUGCGGAAAGUGACGGUUCGAAGAGAAGUGAAUUCACCUUGUGUCCAAUGGCGUAUGUUCGAGGUCUCGUCAUAUGUCCUCUUGGGGCUUCGAGAGUAGUCGGAGUGUACAUGGGGAUGAACGUGGGAUGCUCCACAUCAUCCCAGAUUUAACAUUGCAGAUUUGAAGCCUUAUUUGGGUGAGGAAGAUGAGCUUCCGCCGAGGACGACUUCAUUUCAAGAAGGGGAGGAUGAUGAGGACAUCAAUACCAUUGUUACACCCACAGCCCCUACUGCUACAUAUACGGGACCAAUUACUAGAGCUCGCGCACGCUAAUUAAUUAUCAGGUACUUUCAUUUCUUGGUAAUGAUUCUAAUGUUCAUGAGAAUAUGAUGUUGCCUAAAUUGGAUACAUUUGUUUUGCUUACAAAUGAAGGGUCUAGCUUGGAGAAGGAUGAACAUUGGAGCAAGAACAAGCAAGGAGAUGAUGCCAUGCGCAAGGGGAACAAGAACGGAGUUACAAGUGAUGAUUUCAGGACUUUGAAGCCACCAUAAUGGGUGCAUGAAGCCUUGGACGAAAUAUACAAGAUGCCACUUCAUAAAUUUCGUCCCGAGGCUAUUCUAGGUGUUGCGUCACCUUAUUAUUGGGCCAGGCCCUUGUAAUUUCGAAAUACAUAAGUAUAGGCUAUUUUUAGAGUCCGUAUGUGUGGGGAAACAAGAGAUAGGGUUGAUUUCGGACCCCUCCACCAAGGGCCACGAAAUUCGCCCCUCUUCCUCCAUAUAUACAGCCCUUAGGGCACCGUUUAGACUUUGGGUUUUGUUUAGAUUAAAGUUCGCCAUAGCUGCAACUUCGCGUACUUCGUUUGUGUUCAACGACCAGACAAAGGCGUCACAGAACCCCACCUUGAUCAAUAAAGCUUUCAUCUUAUAUUCGCAAUAUCCAGAUUGCAAUCUCAGUUUCUUGCUUGUUCUUUGAUUGCUCGCAGGAAACAGACCCUCGUGGUCAGGUUGAUCGUGCUCCGGCGUGGUCAAUAACCUCUCGGAGUUGGUUUAGCAAUUGCUAAGGCGCGACGUCCUCGCACGUUCGUAGUCGGAUCGUCAAAGUCGACUUCCACCAAAGCGAAAUCCAUCAUCUCAUCGAAAGACGGGACACCUUUGCCCCUAUCAGGACUACAUCAACAAGCUUGCCGCACAAAAGGAGGAGCAAGAUGCGAGGAUGCAAGAGAUUCAGGCCUUGAUCAUGUCUUCUUCCCCUUCGUCAUCUUCAAGGCGGCGACGUUCAAGCCACAAGUCUUCGGAGCGCCCAAGCGAUGCAAGCGCAAGUCGUCCACGUCCACAUCCCCAUGCCGACCAUCAUCACGUUCGUGAUCCACAUCGUCAUGAAGGGCAAGUCACCUCCAAGCAUCAUGUGCACGACGACGACGAACACCAUCUCCUACGAGCUCAAGCACGACAACGACAUCAUCAACAUGAAGAUGCUCCACAAGCGCAAGUGCAAAAGUCCCAACAAGCCCUACUUCACGCCAAGUCCAAGCUUCAAGAGCACAAAAGAAGACCGCGAGACGACCACCACCAAGACGGCGCCACGGCUACACCAACCACUUUGGUAUCUUCGCCAAGUGCUAUCAAGGCAUCUUCGCCUUUGGACGUACGGCAUCUUCGCCUACUUCCCAUGAGUACGCCUACAACGACUUCAUCAAGUCCAAGGCAACGACCUACGAGCGAGGGCAACACUUCCAUCUUCGGAAGCCCCUCAAGGACGAUGGUCGAGCAUGGGAAACUCCCUUCGGUCAUGGAGACGAGCUACAAGGUGCCACAUCAUAUGGGCCUCCAACACCAAGACGGCGACAAGAACGUCGAGCAAGGGCCAUCCCCUUCGACUACGGCGAUAGGAGUUCAGCACGAAGACUGAUAGAGGCGAGGGUCCCGAUCUUUCGAUGAGAUGAUAACUAUUGAUUUGGUGGAGACGACUUUGACAAUCCGACUACAAACGUGCACGACGUUGCGCCUUAGCAAUCGCUAAACCAAUCUCCUGAGGUUACUGACGAUGCUGGAAGCACGAUCAGCCUGACCACGAAGGUCUAUUCCUGCAAGCAAUCGAAGAACGAGCAAGAAUAUGAUAAAGCAAUCUGAAUAUUGCAAAUACAUAUGAAGUAUUGAUAAUGGUGGGGAUCCGGAAGCGGUCUUGGUCUGGUCGUUGGACACAAACGAAGUACACGAAGUUGCAAUGGCUAACUUUUAACUAAACAAAUCCCAAGGAAAAAGCUACUAGAUGGAUCUACUUAUAUAGGAGCAAGAGGUGGCGGCCAAGGAGGUGGGAGGACGUCCCAAGGCAGCCUAAAACUAACCCUAGGUCGUACAAGGCUCAUGGGCCCAAGUGGAGGUGAUGCAACACCUUUGGGCUUGUAGUUUGACUCGGAUUCUGCUGCAACGUCAGAUUGUUUCGUCCGUAACUCAACGCUCCAGACGAAUUUUAAGGUGAAUCCAAUUGGGUUGGAAAGAGCACGAAAUCUAGUUUCAAACAAAAAAAGAAUCACCCAAUUCGGAAUCCGUAUGAAAAAGUUGUUGGCGUUUUGAGUCAGGUAUGUAUGUGCAGUCCGAAUUUGAAUCCAGAACGUGAGAGACUUGGACUCUAUCUUCUCUUGGCCCAAAAGUGACGUGAGAGGACUUUUUGAACACAACCUAAACAUCUCCUUUUCCCUUAUCUUCAUAUGUGGAUUGUACAAAUGUCCCAUACACCUGCAAUUAGACAAAACACAAAAGUGUGUGAAGUAUUUUUGUUCUGGAUAACAUAAAUAGACUAUUGAAUAGUUUGCAUUAAAAAUCACCUGACAAAUAUGCAUGUAUGCAAUAUUUUUAGUCGUAUCCAAGGUAGUCAUGUCCUCAUCAUCCUCCCCUUUUUGAAAACAAAGCCGUCCUCGGCGUUGCUUAAUCUGAAAUGUGGCUAUCAAAAGAGACAAGGUAUACAUGUUGUAUAUGUAUAUGUCAUCCAUUUUUACUUCCCUUGAUUUUUGCACAUAUGACAAUGUAUACAUGAGUAACUUUCAUAGAUCAUAAAAUAUAAAACCAAAAUAUUAUCAUAAGUAGAAGGCAUGAAAAUAUUGCAACUCAGUUUGCACAUAUAAGUGAAGCUCUUAUUCCUAUCAAAAGAUUGACAAUAUUCAUCAUUAAGCCAUCCCAACAUUGGUGAAUAAACCUUACUUGCAUCAAAUUUACAUGCUACAACAUGCUUAAAUAAGCAAACAUGCAGUAAGUCAUUGGACACAGAAUCAUCACCAAGAUUGGAGGUCAUAUCAAAAUGAUUAAACAUUGGUUCUUUUGCAUCAAUAGUUAAUUCAAUGGGUGCACUCAAAAUUGUCGGUAUUUCAGUUGUUUGAUCACAUGAUGCAUUCUUAAUAGUAACAUGAUUCUCUAAAAUAGGUGGCGUGCUCAAAUCAACAGGUAAAUCAACACAUGAUGUAUCUAAGUUAAUUAGGGAUGCAUCAUUCUCAUGUGAAGUUAUAUCAUCAAUACCUUUACUGUUACCUUGUCGCAAAGACGUAGCUGAUGUCGGUAUGGACAAUGACAAUGUACCAUACACUUGAGAUGAUGUCGCACUCACAAUCUGAGGUGUGGCUGCUCUAGUAGGUGCAACGGUGGAGGAAUCAACCGAUGGUAGUGAGCAUGAGUUGGAAUAGUAGUUGUUGUAGUCACCCAAUGCAUCCUCCUGUAACUGUCUCUCAAAGGUACAAGUACGAACAUACAUACCAGUAAUGCAACGAGGAAUAUACCUAAAUCUUCCCUGAAUAUCAUGAUUCAAACCACCAAAAAAUCUAUUCAUUGUAUCAUCCUCAGAUUCUUCUAUGUCACAAUGAUGCAUAUAAGAUUUAAACUGUUGGUAGUAAGCAUGAACAGUGUUAUUGCCUUGUUUAAAUUGUUCAAAUUUGCGAAGCAAUUCACGACGAUAGUAAGGAGGGAAAAAUUGUUGUCUCAUUACAUGUUUCAAAUCUUUCCAAGUUGUGGGAUGGUUAUCAAUGUUUUUCUUGCAAUGCACACUCCACCAAACAGAAGCAAAACCAGUAAAUGCUCUAGUGGCAGCUCGUAGUCGCUCAAGUUCAGAAAAGUCAUGGUAACUAAAAACUUGUUCUACUUCAAGCUCCCAAUCUAGAUAAAUAGCAGGAUUAAAUCUACCCUAAAAUGAUGGUAAAGAGAUAACCUUACCAUGUGCUUGUGUCUGUUGUCCCAACUCUUGUGAUGCUGAAGAUGUGUUCGUCGUCCAAGAACUUCUUUCUCUGGAACCUGUCAUGAUUAGUAGAAACAAGAAACAAAAUUCGAGAAUAAUGUUCCUAUGAACAACUAGGAUGUGGUUGUAACGUGCUCACAGUAAAGCAAAUAUCAAUAUCUUACAAGUUCUUACCAUGUGAUAGGUGGUGACAGGCAACCAACGGUAUCAAAUAACUCCGAAGAUUGUGUAAAGCGAUUGCCAGGGGAACGUACAUAUACACGGUGUAGAAAUAUGUGGAGCUGCGUUGGCUAUAUAUGGUAGCAAAAGAUUAGCAAUAAUCAAUUCAAAGAUGCAAUGUUGAAUAAACGCUCAACGACGGUACUGUGCUGGUCCUAGGCUUGGCCGGACUAGAGACGCGAGCCUAGAACAAUAAUGAGGUCACGACAUAGCACAACUACCAUCAAUGAAGGAUAAGUAGCUCUGGACAGCAAGAUAUAAGUGAAGAUCACAACGGCAGUAAAGAUAAUGAUGAAUAACAACUGCCAAGCAGGAUAUAUAACAACUCUCUCUCCAAUUUUCCUCUUGAAAAGUUUUCUACUAACUCAAGCUUUCCAAUGCAGAAAGAAUCACUCAAUUCCGAAUUGAUAUGAGGAGUCAAAGAAUUAUAAAACUGGCCUGAAAAACUGGAACAAAUGUAUGCGCGAACUUCGGAGGGCAAAAAGACCUAUUUAGAAGCUGAUUUUGAGACGCCAACUAUUGAACAAGCUUUUGCAACUAUUCAGAUGCGUCUAGUCGCUAGCUUUAAUUUGACUACUUGUGGAGCCAAAACGGACAUCGUAUGAGGAAGUUAUGCCUGUUUUACUGAACAGUGCACAAAACAGAUUCCAAUCCGAAUUCAACUACGAGAUUGAGUCUAGAUAGAUCCGAAUUUUGUUUUUUUUUCUCUUCCUUUUUUUCCACACUUUUUUUUCUCUCUUUUUUUUCUUUCCUUUUUUUCUCUUUUUUUUCUCCGUCUUUUUUUUCCCUCACUCUUUCCAAAACAAACUAGAUAAGAUGUAGAUUGGAUCAAGUAAAGAUGUGAUGAUCUCAACUAUGAUUAUGACAAUGAACAAUGGGUAGCACAUGGUGGAAAUUGAUGGAUGGGUGGUGGACAGCGAAAGGGAUAACGAUGCAGCGGCGGCGUGACUAAUGUGAGCAGAACUCGAAACUCUAAACCAACUAGACACUAAGACCAGCAACUCGACAUAGCGAUGCAACCGAUAAUUCAAUAAUGCAUAGAAUGAAAAGAAAAUUGCAAAGGCUCAGAUUGGCUUGGACAAAGGAUGAAUAAAUCUAACUUUUUUUGUGGCUUUUUCUUGGACAAUAGGUAAGAAAAUAAAUCUAAUCUAGGGAAACUGGAAAUUCUCACCGAGCAACCUGAAAACUGAUAGCACUUGAUAGAGGCGAGGGUCCCGAUCUUUCGAUGAGAUGAUAACUAUCGAUUUGGUGGAGACGACUUUGACAAUCCGACUACAAACGUGCACGACGUUGCGCCUUAGCAAUCGCUAAACCAAUCUCCUGAGGUUACUGACGAUGCUGGAAGCACGGUCAGCCUGACCACGAAGGUCUAUUCCUGCAAGCAAUCGAAGAACGAGCAAGAAUAUGAUAAAGCAAUCUGAAUAUUGCAAAUAUAUAUGAAGUAUUGAUAAUGGUGGGGAUCCGGAAGCGGUCUUGGUCUGGUCGUUGGACACAAACGAAGUACACGAAGUUGCAAUGGCUAACUUUUAACUAAACAAAUCCCAAGGAAAAAGCUACUAGAUGGAUCUACUUAUAUAGGAGCAAGAGGUGGCGGCCAAGGAGGUGGGAGGACGUCCCAAGGCAGCCUAAAACUAACCCAGGUCGUACAGGGCUCAUGGGCCCAAGUGGAGGUGAUGCAACACCUUUGGGCUUGUAGUUUGACUCGGAUUCUGCUGCAACGUCAGAUUGUUUCGUCCGUAACUCAACGCUCCAGACGAAUUUGAAGGUGAGUCCAAUUGGGAUGGAAAGAGCACGAAAUCUAGUUUCCAACAAAAAAAGAAUCACCCAAUUCGGAGUCCGUAUGAAAAAGUUAUUGGCGUUUUGAGUCAGGUAUGUCUGUGCAGUCCGAAUCUGAAUCCAGAACGUGAGAGACUUGGACUCUAUCUUCUCUUGGCCCAAAAGUGACGUGAGAGGACUUUUUGAACACAACCUAAACAUCUCCUUUUCCCUUAUCUUCAUAUGUGGAUUGUACAAAUGUCCCAUACGCCUGCAAUUAGACAAAACACAAAAGUGUGUGAAGUAUUUUUGUUCUGGAUAACAUAAAUAGACUAUUGAAUAGUUUGCAUCAAAAAUCACCUGACAAAUAUGCAUGUAUGCAAUAUUUUUGGUCGUAUCCAAGGUAGUCAUGUCCUCAUCAGAGACAUUUGCACCAACAUCUCUCCGAUACCCACAUAUCAUAAGAUGACCAAAUUGCCAUGUGAGGAGAGCCACCAACCCAUGAGUGAGAUGAGUGACUCCACCAUAUAUGACAUUGAGUACAUUUCCUAUGAGAGGUGAUAGAGGCAAAGGUGUCCCAUCUUUCGAUGAGAUGAUGGAUAUCGCUUUGGUGGAAGUCGACUUUGACGAUCCGACUACGAACGUGCGAGGACGUCGCGCCUUAGCAAUCGCUAAACCAACUCCGAGAGGUUAUUGACCACGCCGGAGCACGAUCAACCUGACCACGAGGGUCUGUUUCCUGCGAGCAAACGAAGAACAAGCAAGAAACUAAGAUUGCAAUCUGGAUAUUGCGAAUAUAAGAUGAAAGCUUUAUUGAUCAAGGUGGGGUUCUGUGACGCCUUUGUCUGGUCGUUGAACACAAACGAAGUACGCGAAGUUGCAGCUAUGGCGAACUUUUAAUCUAAACAAAACCCAAAGUCUAAACGGUGCCCUAAGGGCUGUAUAUAUGGAGGAAGAGAGGGGGAAUUUCGUGGCCCUUGGUGGAGGGGUCCGAAAUCAACCCUAUCUCUUGUUUCCCCACACAUACGGACUCUAAAAAUAGCCUAUACUUAUGUAUUUCGAAAUUACAUGGGCCUGGCCCAAUAAAAAGGUGACGCAGCACCUAUAAUAGCCUCGGGACGAAAUUUAUGAAGUGGCAUCUUGUAUAUUUCGUCCAUGGCUUCAUGCACCCAUUAUGGUGGCUUCAAAGUCCUGAAAUCAUCACUUGUAACUCCGUUCUUGUUCCCCUUGUGCAUGGCAUCAUCUCCAUGCUUGUUCUUGCUCCAAUGUUCAUCCUUCUCCAAGCUAGGCCCUUCAUUUGUAAGCAAAACAAAUGUAUCCAAUUUAGGCAGCAUCUUAUUCUCAUGAACAUUAGAAUCAUUACCAAGAAACGAAAUUACCUGAUAAUUUAAUUGGCGUGCGCGAGCUCUAGUAAUUGGUCCCGUAUAUGUAGCAGUAGGGGCUGUGGGUGUAACAAUGGUAUUGAUGUCCUCAUCAUCCUCCCCUUCUUGAAAUGAAGUCGUCCUCGACGGAAACUCAUCUUCCUCACCCAAAUAAGGCUUCAAAUCUGCAAUGUUAAAAGUGGGACUAACCCCAAAAUCUGCAGGCAGCUCAAGUUUAUAUGCAUUAUCAUUGAUUUUCUCUAACACCUUAAAGGGACCAUCAGCACGUGGCAUUAGCUUUGAUUUGCGCAAAUCAGGAAAUCUAUCCUUACGCAAAUGUAACCAAACAAGAUCUCCAGGUGCAAACACAACAUGUUUUCUACCCUUAUCUCCAGCAAGUUUAUAUUUAGCAUUCAUACGCUCAAUGUUUUCCUUAGUUAACUCAUGCAUUUUUAAAAUCAAUUCAACACGUUGUUUAGCAUCAAAAUUAACCUGCUCCGAAGAUGGAAGAGGCAACAAAUCAAUAGGUGCACGAGGUAGGAAACCAUACACAACUUCAAAAGGGCACAUCUUAGUAGUAGAAUGCAAUGAACGAUUAUAAGCAAAUUCAAUAUGAGGCAAGCAUUCCUCCCACAUUUUCUUAUUAUUCUUCAAAAUAGCCCUAAGCAUAGUAGACAACGUUCUAUUGACUACUUCAGUUUGUCCAUCAGUUUGGGGGUGACAAGUAGUACUAAAAAGCAGUUUAGUCCCCAACUUAGCCCAUAAACAUCUCCAAAAGUGGCUAAAAAAUUUAGUAUCACGAUCUGAAACAAUAGUAUUUGGCACACCAUGCAAGCGAAUAAUUUCACGAAAGAACAAAUCAGCAACAUUAACAGCAUCAUCGCUUUUAUGACAUGGUAUAAAGUGUGCCAUUUUCGAGAAUCUAUCCACGACAACAAAUAUGCUAUCCCUCCCCUUCUUUGUUCGAGGUAAACCUAAAACAAAGUCCAUAGAUAUAUCCUCCCAAGGAACACUAGGUAUAGGCAAAGGCAUAUAUAAACCAUGAGGAUAGAGUCGUGACUUAGCUUUUUGACAUGUAGUGCAUCGAGCAAUAAAACGCUCAACAUCCCGUAUCAUCUUUGGCCAAAAGAAAUGUGUAGCAAGUACGUCCUCUGUCUUCUUCACGCCAAAGUGUCCCAUUAAUCCUCCUCCAUGCGCCUCCUGCAACAACAAAAGACGAACGGAGCUAGCUGGAAUGCAUAGCUUGUUAGCACGAAACACAAAUCCAUCAUUAACGACGAACUUGUUCCACAUUCUUCCUUCUUUACAAUUCUGCAUUACAUCUUUAAAAUCAGCAUCAUGCACAUAUUGAUCUUUGAUGGUCUCCAAACCAAAUAUUUUGAAGUCAAGUUGUGAAAGCAUAGUAUAGCGGCGAGACAAUGCAUCAGCAAUAACAUUUUCUUUUCCCCUCUUGUGUUUAAUGACAUAAGGAAAAGUCUCAAUGAAUUCAACCCAUUUAGCAUGUCUACGAUUCAGUUUAGCUUGACUUUUAAUAUGUUUCAAAGAUUCAUGAUCAGAAUGUAUAACAAAUUCUUUGGGCCAUAAAUAAUGUUGCCAUGUUUCUAAAGUCCGAACAAGAGCAUAUAAUUCUUUAUCAUAAGUAGAAUAAUUCAGACUAGGCCCACUCAAUUUUUCAGAAAAGUAUGCAACAGGUUUGCCAUCUUGUAAUAACACACCGCCUAAUCCAAUUCCACUAGCAUCACAUUCAAGCUCAAAAGUCUUAUUAAAAUCAGGAAGUUGGAGUAAAGGAGCAUGUGUCAACUUAUCUUUCAAUACCGAGAAGGCUUCUUCCUGUGCGGUACCCCAAAGAAAAGGCACAUCUUUCUUUGUAAGCUCAUUGAGAGGUGCAGCAAUGGUGCUGAAAUCUCUCACAAAACGCCUAUAGAAUCCAGCAAGGCCAAGAAAACUCCUCACUUGUGUGACCGUUUUGGGUUGCGGCCAACUCUCAAUAGCUUCAAUCUUGGCUUUAUCAACUUCAAUUCCCUGUGGAGUAACAACAUAGCCAAGAAAAGAUACUCGGUUGGUGCAAAAGGUGCACUUCCCAAGGUUACCAAACAAACGUGCAUCACGUAGGGCAAUAAAAACAGCACGUAAAUGUUCCAAAUGUUCUUCCAAAGAUCUGCUAUAAAUCAAUAUGUCAUCAAAGUAAACUACCACAAAUCGCCCAAUGAAAGCACGUAAAACUUCGUUCAUUAAUCUCAUGAAAGUACUAGGUGCAUUAGUUAACCCAAAAGGCAUGACUAACCACUCAUAUAAUCCAAACUUAGUUUUGAAUGCUGUUUUCCAUUCAUCUCCCAAUUUCAUACGAAUUUGAUGGUAUCCACUACGCAAAUCAACUUUGGAGAAUAUUGUAGAGCCACUCAAUUCAUCAAGCAUAUCAUCUAGCCUAGGAAUAGGAUGACGAUAACGAAUAGUAAUAUUAUUAAUGCCUCUACAAUCAACACACAUACGUGAUGUACCAUCCUUUUUCGGCACUAGAAUAAUAGGAACAGCACAAGGACUAAUGGAUUCGCGUAUAUAAUCUUUGUCGAGAAGCUCUUGUACUUGACGCAUAAUCUCCUUCGUCUCCUCUGGAUUGGUACGGUAUGGUGCACGGUUUGGCAGUGAAGCACCGGGAAUUAAGUCAAUCUGAUGCUCAGUCCCUCGAAUAGGCGGUAAUCCCGGUGGCACAUCUUGUGGAAAGACGUCAGCGAACUCCUGCAAAAUGUUAGUGACAGCAGGAGGCAAAGAGGAAGGCACGUCCUCGAAUGAAAAUAAUGCCUCUUUGCACACAAAAGCAUAGCAAACAGAUUUGCUGAAAUCUAGCUCAUCAAUAUGAGAUUUGGUGGCAAAUAAACAUGCACUUUUCAAUUUAAUUUCAGAAGCAACACUAGAUGGUUUGUUAUUAGGCUUCAUUUGUUGCUCAAAUUCUUUUGCCACAAUCUGAUUUUCACUCUUAUUCAUCUCCUGUUUUGCUUUAUUAGCUCUAUUAAUAUCAUCUUUCAAAAUGGAAUCAGGAGUCAUAGGAAGCAAAGUAAUAUUUUUAUCCUUAUGAACAAGAGUAUAGUGAUUGUUUCUACCAUGGUGUACAGAAUUUUUAUCAAAUUGCCAUGGUCUACCAAGUAAUAAGGAACAUGCUUGCAUAGGUACCACAUCACAAUCAACAUAAUCAGCAUAUGUAGAGAUACUAAAAUGCACACGAAUAGUACGUGUUACCUUAACCUUGCCGCUGUUGUUGAACCAUUGGAUGUAGUAAGGAUGAGGAUGUGGUCUUGUGGUGAGAGAAAGCUUCUCCACCAUCUCCAUGCUAGCCAAGUUGUUGCAGCUCCCUUCGUCUAUGAUGACGCGCACAGAACGUUCCUUCACAACUCCCUUGGUAUGGAACAAAUUGUGCCUUUGAUUUUGCUCAGCUUGUGUGAUCUGCAUACUCAAAACACGUUGAGCAACUAAACAUUCAUACCUGUCAGCGUCUUCAGGAGCCAUGUAUUGCGUCUCAUGAUCAGAAUCAUCUCCACCAUGUUCUUCACGUGUAAUAAGAGCCAAAGUCUCCUCAUCAUAGUCACUAGCGGACUCAUAUCCACCAUCCGCGGUAGCAAUCAUCACACGUGGAGAUUUGCAUUCUCUCGCAUAAUGACCUCCUCCCUUACAACGACGACAAAUAAUAUCACUUGUGUGCCCUGUUGAUGCCAUGGAAGAAGAAGAACGCUGUGCAGGCCCCGCAGGUGCGCUCUUGGCAGAUAAUGGUGGUUGUGCCUGUUUUCUUGUAUCACGGCUGGAGAUGGCGCCGGAUGGAGGUGCUGGUGCAGUUGAAGUAGAAGAUGCACGUGGUGUCCAUGAUGAAGGUCGUCCUGCAGAAAAGUUAGUUCGCCCCAAUGCUUGUCGAUCCUGCACUUCACGUUCAGCUUUACAAGCAAGAUGGAAUAAACGAGUGAUGUUAGUAUACUCCUUAUAGUCUAGAAUGGUCUGAAUCUCUCUAUUUAAUCCACCCAGAAAACGUGCAAGCAUAGCUUCAUUCUCCUCAACAAUACCACAUCUAAUCAUGCUAGUUUGUAAUUCCUGAUAAUAUUCUUCUACAGAAUUUUUCCCUUGUCUUAAACGCUGCAAUUUUUGAAGCAAUUCACGUUGAUAAUAUGGUGGAACCCAAUGCGUACGCAUAGCAGUUUUCAAAGCAGCCCAAGUAGUUGGAAUAGGAUAUAAUCUACAAUGUUCAGACCACCAUACACAUGCAAAACUAGUGAAAGCACAAACAGCAGCAGCAACUCGUCUCUCCUCAGGAUAUUGUAAACAUGUAAAUCGUUGUUCAGUUUCUAACUCCCAAGUAAGAUAUAUAUCAGGAACAUAUCUACCCUCAAAUGGUGGAAUAUUCAAUUUCAGUUUAGGAAUAUGGACAUCAUCUCAUACCUGAGGUGGUGGUGCAGGCCUACCAUUACGAAUAUAUACCUGAGGUCGACCUGCUGGUGGUGGUGCAGGUGGCUGCACGUAGUGCUGAUUUUGAUCAACCUCAUCCUCAUAAUCUCCCGCAUAAUCAUCCUCCUCUGCAUCAGCAGCAGGAGCCACAGAAGUAUCAACAGCAACACCAACAGUUUGGCCAAACGCAAGAGGAACACGGCUCGCUCGGUGAAGGUCUGUUUCGCGACGUGGAGGUAGUCAUUGUUGUUGUUGUUGGAGAGGUGCGUUAGGUGCAGCGGGUGGUGGUGGUGGAAGACGCGCGAGCAAUUCAUUAAACUUGUUAUCGAGCUUUGUUGCGAACGUCUUCUCAAGGCCAGUGAUCUUCUCCAUGGCCUCUUCAAAAUUGUUCAGCACAUCUUGCACCUGUUCAGUCAUCAUUUGCUGAAACUUAUCAUGAAGCUCCUUGUUCGAUAAAUUCUCCCAGUCAAUCUCGUCGGCUUGUGAUCCUGGCAUGGUUAGCAGCAAUAGAAACACACAAGAAUAUGAUCCUACAGACUACGAACAAGUGGUGGUGGUGGGUGUCACAAAUCCGUCAAGCAAAACUCAAAUUCUUACCAGUUCUUACCCAGCAACAGGCGGUGAUCGGCAACCGUUGUAGUCAAAACUCUCAAAGCUUGGAUAGAGCGAUUACCAGGGAGAGUCAAACGCACGACGUAGAUGUAUGUGGAGCUGGGAAGGCUUAUAAUAUGGUAGCAAAAAGGGUCAGCAAUAAUCAAUUCAGAGAUGCAAAGUUGAAUAAAUGCUCAACGACGGUACUGUGCUGGUCCUAGGCUAGACUGUGCUAGAGACGCGAGCCUAGAACACCAACAAAAUCACGGCGCGGCACGUAAACAAGGGAGGAGCACACUCUGAAUUUUUUUUCUCUCUUUUUUUUUGCACUUUUUUUUCCUCUUUUUUUUUUGCUCCGCAACAAAUUUUUUUCGAAAAAGUCUACAAAUGGUCUAAAAACUGCCUAGCCAGAAUUUUCCAGACUUAGUUUUUUUUUGAAAUUGGAACUAUUUUUCUUCUGCGGAUGGCUCGGAAGUUGGGGAGUCCUUCUCUGUCACGACUCGGAGUAUCGCGUGAUCUGGAAAUCGAGAACAAUGCAACAAUUACUGGACUAGGACUAGGACUGGUGGCGGAGAUGAAUCUGGUGGAACUCAGACUGGUGGCGGAGAUGAAUCUGGUGGAACACGGACAGGUGGCGGAUAUAUCUUGCAGGUGAACUCGGAUUGGCGUGAUGGCGGCGGAUAUGUGGUGGCGUAUAUGGAUUCGGAUUGGCGGUGAAUAUGUGGUGGUGGUAUAUGGCAACAGCGACGAUGAUGAUGCGGUGGUGAUAUAUGGCAGCGGCGACGUGACAACCUGUGAACAGAACUCAAAACUCUAAAAGACUAGACGCUAAGACCAGCAACUGGACAUAACGAUGCAACCGCAAAUUCAACAAAGCAAAUACAGAAAAGAUUAUGCAAGGCUCAGAUUGGUUCGGAUGGGAUGAACUAACCCUAAUUUUUCUUGGCUUUUUCGUGGACUAUAGGUAUGAAGAACAGACUCGAUCUAAACUACGAAAAACUGUAAAAUCUCACCGAGCAACCUGGAAAUCUGAUACCACUUGAUAGAGGCAAAGGUGUCCCGUCUUUCGAUGAGAUGAUGGAUAUCGCUUUGGUGGAAGUCGACUUUGACGAUCCGACUACGAACGUGCGAGGACAUCGCGCCUUAGCAAUCGCUAAACCAACUCCGAGAGGUUAUUGACCACGCCGGAGCACGAUCAACCUGACCACGAGGGUCUGUUUCCUGCGAGCAAACGAAGAACAAGCAAGAAACUAAGAUUGCAAUCUGGAUAUUGUGAAUAUAAGAUGAAAGCUUUAUUGAUCAAGGUGGGGUUCUGUGACGCCUUUGUCUGGUCGUUGAACACAAACGAAGUACGCGAAGUUGCAGCUAUGGCGAACUUUUAAUCUAAACAAAACCCAAAGUCUAAACGGUGCCCUAAGGGCUGUAUAUAUGGAGGAAGAGGGGGGAAUUUCGUGGCCCUUGGUGGAGGGGUCCGAAAUCAACCCUAUCUCUUGUUUCCCCACACAUACGGACUCUAAAAAUAGCCUAUACUUAUGUAUUUCGAAAUUACAUGGGCCUGGCCCAAUAAAAAGGUGACGCGGCACCUAUAAUAGCCUCGGGACGAAACUUAUGAAGUGGCAUCUUGUAUAUUUUGUCCAAGGCUUCAUGCACCCAUUAUGGUGGCUUCAAAGUCCUGAAAUCAUCACUUGUAACUCCGUUCUUGUUCCCCUUGCGCAUGGCAUCAUCUCCAUGCUUGUUCUUGCUCCAAUGUUCAUCCUUCUUGAUAGAGGCAAAGGUGUCCCGUCUUUCGAUGAGAUGGUGGAUUUCGCUUUGGUGGAAGUCGACUUUGACGAUCCGACUACGAACGUGCGAGGACGUCGCGCCUUAGCAAUCGCUAAACCAACUCCGAGAGGUUAUUGACCACGCCGGAGCACGAUCAACCUGACCACGAGGGUCUGUUUCCUGCGAGCAAACGAAGAACAAGCAAGAAACUGAGAUUGCAAUCUGGAUAUUGCGAAUAUAAGAUGAAAGCUUUAUUGAUCAAGGUGGUGUUCUGUGACGCCUUUGUCUGGUCGUUGAACACAAACGAAGUACGCGAAGUUGCAGCUAUGGCGAACUUUUAAUCUAAAUAAAACCCAAAGUCUAAACGAUUCCCUAAGGGCUGUAUAUAUGGAGGAAGAGGGGGGAAUUUCGUGGCCCUUGGUGGAGGGGUCCGAAAUCAACCCUAUCUCUUGUUUCCCCACACAUACGGACUCUAAAAAUAGCCUAUAAUUAUGUAUUUCGAAAUUACAUGGGCCUGGCCCAAUAAUAAGGUGACGCAGCACCUAAAAUAGCCUCGGGACGAAAUUGAUGAAGUGGCAUCUUGUAUAUUUCGUCCAAGGCUUCAUGCACCCAUUAUGAUGGCUUCAAAGUCCUGAAAUCAUCACUUGUAACUCCGUUCUUGUUCUCCUUGCGCAUGCCAUCAUCUCCAUGCUUGUUCUUGCUCCAAUGUUCAUCCUUCUCCAAGCUAGGCCCUUCAUUUGUAAGCAAAACAAAUGUAUCCAAUUUAGGCAGCAUCAUAUUCUCAUGAACAUUAAAAUCAUUACCAAGAAACAAAAGUACCUGGUAAUUUAGUUGGCGUGCACGAGCUCUAGUAAUUGGUCCAGUAUGUAUAGCAGCAGGGGCUGUGGGUGUAACAAUUGUAUUGAUGUCCUCAUCAUCCUCCCCUUCUUGAAAUGAAGUCGUCCUCGACGGAAGCUCAUCUUCCUCACCCAAAUAAGGCUUCAAAUCUGCAAUGUUAAAAGUGGGACUAACCCCAAAAUCUGCAGGCAGCUCAAGUUUAUAUGCAUUAUCAUUUAUUUUCUCUAACACCUUAAAGGGACCAUCGGCACGUGGCAUUAACUUUGAUUUGCGCAAAUUAGGAAAUCUAUCCUUACGCAAAUGUAACCAAACAAGAUCUCCAGGUGCAAACACAACAUGUUUUCUACCCUUAUCUCCAGCAAGUUUAUAUUUAGCAUUCAUACGCUCAAUGUUUUCCUUAGUUAACUCAUGCAUUUUUAAAAUCAAUUCAGCACGUUGUUUAGCAUCAAAAUUAACCUUCUCCGAAGAUGGAAGAGGCAACAAAUCAAUAGGUGCACGAGGUAGGAAACCAUACACAACUUCAAAAGGGCACAUCUUAGUAGUAGAAUGCAAUGAACGAUUAUAAGCAAAUUCAAUAUGAGGCAAGCAUUCCUCCCACAUUUUCUUAUUAUUCUUCAAAACAGCCCUAAGCAUAGUAGACAACGUUCUAUUGACUACUUCAGUUUGUCCAUCAGUUUAGGGGUGACAAGUAGUACUAAAAAGCAGUUUAGUCCCCAACUUAGCCCAUAAACAUCUCCAAAAGUGGCUAAGAAAUUUAGUAUCACGAUCUGAAACAAUAGUAUUUGGCACACCAUGCAAGCGAAUAAUUUCACGAAAGAACAAAUCAGCAACAUUAACAGCAUCAUCGCUUUUAUGACAUGGUAUAAAGUGUGCCAUUUUCGAGAAUCUAUCCACGACAACAAAUAUGCUAUCCCUCCCCUUCUUUGUUCGAGGUAAACCUAAAACAAAGUCCAUAGAUAUAUCCUCCCAAGGAACACUAGGUACAGGCAAAGGCAUAUAUAAACCAUGAGGAUUGAGUCGUGACUUAGCUUUUGACAUGUAGUGCAGCGAGCAAUAAAACGCUCAACAUCCCGUCUCAUCUUUGGCCAAAAGAAAUGUGUAACAAGUACGUCCUCCGUCUUCUUCAUGCCAAAGUGUCCCAUUAAUCCUCCUCCAUGCGCCUCCUACAACAACAAAAGACGAACGGAGCUAACUAGAAUGCAUAGCUUGUUAGCACGAAACACAAAUCCAUCGUUAACGACAAACUUGUUGAUAGAGGCGGAGGUGUCCCGUCUUUCGAUGAGAUGAUGGAUUUCGCUUUGGUUGAAGUCGAGUUUGACGAUCUGACUACGAACGUGCGAGGACGUCGCGCCUUAGCAAUCGCUAAACCAACUCCGAGAGGUUAUUGACCACACCGGAGCAUGAUCAACCUGACCACGAGGGUCUGAUUCAUGUGAGCAAACGAAGAACAAGCAAGAAUCUGAGAUUGCAAUCUGGAUAUUGCGAAUAUAAGAUGAAAGCUUUAUUGAUCAAUGUGGGGUUCUGUGACGCCUUUGUCUGGUCGUUGAACACAAACGAAGUACGCAAAGUUGCAGCUAUGGCAAACUUUAAUCUAAACAAAACCCAAAGUCUAAACGGUGCCAUAAGGGCCGUAUAUAUGGAGGAAGAGAGGGGGAAUUUCGUGGCCCUUGGUGGAGGGGUCCGAAAUCAACCCUAUCUCUUGUUUCCCAACACAUACGGACUCUAAAAAUAGCCUAUACUUAUGUAUUUCGAAAUUACAUGGGCCUGGCCCAAUAAAAAGGUGACGCAGCACCUAUAAUAGCCUCUGGACGAAAUUUAUGAAGUGACAUCUUGUAUAUUUCAUCCAAGUCUUCAUGCACUCGUUAUGGUGGCUUCAAAGACCUGAAAUCAUCACUUGUAACUCUGUUCUUGUUCCCCUUGCGCAUGCCAUCAUCUCCAUGCUUGUUCUUGCUCCAAUGUUCAUCCUUCUCCAAGCUAGGCCCUUCAUUUGUAAGCAAAACAAAUGUAUCCAAUUUAGGCAGCAUCAUAUUCUCAAGAACAUUAGAAUCAUUACUAAGAAACGAAAGUACCUGGUAAUUUAGUUGGCGUGCGCGAGCUCUAGUAAUUGGUCCAGUAUAUAUAGCAGCAGGGGCUGUGGGUGUAACAAUGGUAUUGAUGUCCUCAUCAACCUCCCCUUCUUGAAAUGAAGUCGUCCUCGACGGAAGCUCAUCUUCCUGAUGAGGACAUCAAUACCAUUGUUACACCCACAGCCCCUACUGCUACAUAUACGGGACCAAUUACUAGAGCUCGCGCACACCAAUUAAAUUAUCAGGUACUUUCCUUUCUUGGUAAUGAUUCUAAUGUUCAUGAGAAUAUGAUGUUGCCUAAAUUGGAUACAUUUGUUUUGCUUACAAAUGAAGGGCCUAGCUUGGAGAAGGAUGAACAUUGGAGCAAGAACAAGCAUGGAGAUGAUGCCAUGCGCAAGGGGAACAAGAACGGAGUUACAAGUGAUGAUUUUAGAACUUUGAAGCCACCAUAAUGGGUGCAUGAAGCCAUGGACGAAAUAUACAAGAUGCCACUUCAUAAAUUUCGUCCCGAGGCUAUUAUAGGUGCUGCGUCACCUUUUUAUUGGGCCAGGCCCAUGUAAUUUCGAAAUACAUAAGUAUAGGCUAUUUUUAGAGUCCGUAUGUGUGGGGAAACAAGAGAUAGGGUUGAUUUCGGACCCCUCCACCAAGGGCCACGAAAUUCCCCCUCUCUUCCUCCAUAUAUACAGCCCUUAGGGCACCGUUUAGACUUUGGGUUUUGUUUAGAUUAAAAGUUCGCCAUAGCUGCAACUUCGCGUGCUUCGUUUGUGUUCAACGACCAGACAAAGGCGUCACAGAACCCCACCUUGAUCAAUAAAGCUUUCAUCUUAUAUUCGCAAUAUCCAGAUUGCAAUCUUAGUUUCUUGCUUGUUCUUCGUUUGCUCGCAGGAAACAGACCCUCGUGGUCAGGUUGAUCGUGCUCCGGCGUGGUCAAUAACCUUUUGGAGUUGGUUUAGCGAUUGCUAAGGCGCGACGUCCUCGCACGUUCGUAGUCGGAUCGUCAAAGUCGACUUCCACCAAAGCGAUAUCCAUCAUCUCAUCGAAAGACGGGACACCUUUGCCUCUAUCAAGUGGUAUCAGAUUUCCAGGUUGCUCGGUGAGGUUUUACAGUUUUUCGUAGUUUAGAUCGAGUUUGUUCUUCAUACCUAUAGUCCACGAAAAAGCCAAAAAAAAUUAGGGUUAGUUCAUCCCAUCCGAACCAAUCUGAGCCUUGCAUAAUCUUUUCUGUAUUUGCUUUGUUGAAUUUGCGGUUGCAUCGUCGUGUCCAGUUGCUGGUCUUAGAGUCUAGUCUUUUAGAGUUUCGAGUUCUGGUCAUAAGUUGUCAUGCCGCCGCCGCACCAUCAUCAUCGUCCCUGCCAUCUACCACCACCGCUUAUCCGCCACCGCUCCGAAUCCAUAUCCAUAUACCACCGCCAAUCCGUGUCCAUAUACCACCACCGAUCCAUAUCCAUAUACUACCACCGCUACCACCACCGCUGCCAUAUACCACCACCAUAUAUCCACCACCAGUCUGAGUUCCUUGCAUAUUAGGUUUGUUUUCGGGAUCCAUUUAAUUUCCGAUUCGUGUUUCCUUGUCUGAGUAGGUUUCGGAUUCCAGCAAUCUUUUGCCGUCCGUAGAAGAGGUUGGUUUCCAAAAAAAAAGAGUCCGGAAACCACCCUCCGUUUAGGCCCAAAAUUUUCGGAAAACACACUUGACAAAAAAAUUUCUGGCUAUCCUAUUUUUAGGUGUUUCUAAGCGUAUUGAGACAGUUGCCGUUAUAGAAAGUUUUUUUUGACCCGUUUCCAGUUUUUGGGUCCGGGCAGUCAAAAAAAAAAUUUGGUCACAAAAAUUUCAUGCCCAUCUUGUCAGUUUGACCUGGGAAGAGUUUUGAGACACUCGCCAUUAUAGUUAUUUUUCGCAAAAAAAUAGAGCAGCGCAAAAAAAGCAGCGCAAAAAAAAAGAGCGAAAAAAAAAUUCGAGUGUGCUUUUCCCUUGUUUACGUGCAGCGCCGUGAUUUUGUUAGUGUUCUAGGCUCGCGUCUCUAGCACGGUCUAGCCUAGGACCAGCACAGUACCGUCGUUGAGCCUUUAUUCAAUUUUGCAUCUCUGAAUUGAUUAUUGCUGACCCUUUUUGCUACCAUAUUAUAAGCCUUCCCAGCUCCACAUACAUCUACGUCGUGCGUUUGACUCUCCCUGGUAAUCGCUCUAUCCAAGCUUUGAGAAGUUUUGACUACAACGGUUGCCGAUCACCACCUGCUGUUGGGUAAGAACUGGUAAGAAUUUGAGGUUUGCUUGACGGGUUUGUGAUACACCACCACCACUUCUUAGUAGUCUGUAGGAUCAUAUUCUUCUGUGUUUCUAUUGCUGCUAACCAUGCCAGGAUCACAAGCCGACGAGAUUGACUGGGAGAACUUAUCGAACAAGGAGCUUCAUGAUAAGUUUCAGCAAAUGAUGACUGAACAGGUGCAAGAUGUGCUGAACAAUUUUGAAGAGGCAAUGGAGAAGAUUACUGGCCUUGAGAAGACGUUCGAAACAAAGCUCGAUAACAGAUUUAAUGAACUGCUUGCGCGUCUUCCACCACCGGCUGCACCUGUCCCACCUCUGCAACAACAACAACUACGCCCCCUUCCGAAUCAGUAUGGACGAGCACAGCGUGUUCCUAUUGAGCCAGGACAAAAUUCUGGUGCCGCUGAUACUGCUGUUGGUGCUUCUUUGGCUCCUGCUACUGCUGCUGCUGGUACCCAGGAGGAUGAUGAUUAUGUGGGAGAUUAUGAGGAUGAGGUUGAUCAGAAUCCGAACUACGUGCAGCCACCAGCACCACCACCACCAGGUCGAUCUCAGUUAUAUAUUCGUAAUGGUAGGCCUGCACCACCACCUCAGGUAUGAGAUGAUGUCCAUAUUCCUAAACUGAAAUUGAAUAUUCCACCAUUUGAGGGUAGAUAUGUUCCUGAUAUAUAUCUUACUUGGGAGUUAGAAACUGAACAACGUUUUACAUGUUUACAAUAUCCCGAGGAGAGACGGGUUGCUGCUGAUGUUUGUGCUUUCACUAGAUUUGCAUGUGUCUAGUGGUCUGAACAUUGUAGAUUAUAUCCUAUUCCAACUACUUGGGCUGCUUUGAAAACUGCUAUGCGUACGCGUUGGGUUCCACCAUAUUAUCAACGUGAAUUGCUUCAAAAAUUGCAGCGUUUAAGACAAGGAAAAAAUUCUGUAGAAGAAUAUUAUCAGGAAUUACAAACUGGCAUGAUUCGAUGUGGUAUUGUUGAGGAGAAUGAAGCUAUGCUUGCACGUUUUCUGGGUGGAUUAAAUAGAGAGAUUCAGACCAUUCUAGACUAUAAGGAUAUCACUCGUUUAUGCCAUCUUGCUUGUAAAGCUGAACGUGAAGUGUAGGAUCGACAAGCAUUGGCACGAACUAACUUUUCUGCAGGCCGACCUUCCUCAUGGACGCCGCGUGCAUCUUCUACUUCAACUGCACCAGCACCUCAAUCAGGUGCCCCCUACAGCCGUGAUACAAGAAAACAGGAACAACCACCAUUAUCUGCCAAGAGCGCACCUGCCUUGCCUGCACAGAGUUCUUCUUCUUCGAGGGCAUCAACAGGGCACACAAGUGAUAUUAUUUGUCGUCGUUGUAAGGGAGGAGGUCAUUAUGCGAGAGAAUGCAAAUCUCCGCCUGUGAUGAUUGCUACCGCGGAUGGUGGAUAUGAGUCUGCUAGUGACUAUGAUGAGGAGACAUUGGCUCUUAUUACACGUGAAGAACAUGGUGGAGAUGAUUCUGAUCAUGAGACGCAAUACAUGGCUCCUGAAGACGCUGACAGGUAUGAAUGUUUAGUUGGUCAACGUGUUUUGAGUGUGCAGGUCACACAAGCUGAGCAAAAUCAGAGGCACAAUUUGUUCCAUACCAAGGGAGUUGUGAAGGAACGUUCUGUGCGCGUCAUAAUAGACGGAGGGAGCUGCAACAACUUGGCUAGCAUGGAGAUGGUGGAGAAGCUUUCUCUCACCACAAGACCACAUCCACAUCCUUACUACAUCCAAUGGUUCAACAACAGCGGCAAGGUUAAGGUAACACGUACUGUUCGUGUGCAUUUUAGUAUCUCUACAUAUGCUGAUUAUGUUGAUUGUGAUGUGGUACCUAUGCAAGCAUGUUCCUUAUUACUUGGUAGACCAUGGCAAUUUGAUAAAAAUUCUGUACACCAUGGUAGACACAAUCACUAUACUCUUGUUCAUAAGGAUAAAAAUAUUACUUUGCUUCCUAUGACUCCUGAUUCCAUUUUGAAAGAUGAUAUUAAUAGAGCUAAUAAAGCAAAACAGGAGAAGAAUAAGAGUGAAAAUCAGAUUGUGGCAAAAGAAUUUGAGCAACAAAUGAAGCCUAAUAAUAAACCAUCUAGUGUUGCUUCUGAAAUUAAAUUGAAAAGUGUAUGUUUAUUUGCCACCAAAUCUGAUAUUGAUGAGCUAGAUUUCAGCAAAUCUGUUUGCUAUGCUUUUGUGUGCAAAGAGGCAUUAUUUUCAUUCGAGGACGUGCCUUCCUCUUUGCCUCCUGCUGUCACUAACAUUUUGCAGGAGUUCGCUGACGUUUUUCCACAAGACGUGCCACCGGCAUUACCGCCUAUUCGAGGGAUUGAGCAUCAGAUUGAGUUAAUUCCCGGUGCUUCACUGCCAAACCGUGCACCAUAUCGUACCAAUCCAGAGGAGAUGAAGGAGAUUAUGCGUCAAGUACAAGAGUUUCUCGACAAAGGUUAUAUACGCGAAUCCCUUAGUGCUUGUCAUGUUCCUAUUAUUCUAGUGCCGAAAAAGGAUGGUACAUCACGUAUGUGUGUUGAUUGUAGAGGCAUUAAUAAUAUUACUAUUCGUUAUCGUCAUCCUAUUCCUAGGCUAGAUGAUAUGCUUGAUGAAUUGAGUGGCUCUACAAUAUUCUCCAAAGUUGAUUUGCGUAGUGGAUACCAUCAAAUUCGUAUGAAAUUGGGAGAUGAAUGGAAAACAGCAUUCAAAACAAAGUUUGGAUUUUAUGAGUGGUUAGUCAUGCCUUUUGGGUUAACUAAUGCACCUAGUACUUUCAUGAGAUUAAUGAACGAAGUUUUACGUGCUUUCAUUGGACGAUUUGUGGUAGUUUACUUUGAUGACAUAUUGAUUUAUAGCAGAUCUUUGGAAGAACAUUUGGAACAUUUACGUGCUGUUUUUAUUUCUCUACGUGAUGCACAUUUGUUUGGUAACCUUGGGAAGUGCACCUUUUGCACCGACCGAGUAUCUUUUCUUGGCUAUGUUGUUACUCCACAGGGAAUUGAAGUUGAUAAAGCCAAGAUUGAAGCUAUUGAGAGUUGGCCGCAACCCAAAACGGUCACACAAGUGAGGAGUUUUCUUGGCCUCGCUGGAUUCUAUAGGCGUUUUGUGAGAGAUUUUAGCACCAUUGCUGCACCUCUCAAUGAGCUUACAAAGAAAGAUGUGCCUUUUCUUUGGGGUACCGCACAGGAAGAAGCCUUCUCGGUAUUGAAAGAUAAGUUGGCACAUGCUCCUUUACUCCAACUUCCUGAUUUUAAUAAGACUUUUGAGCUUGAAUGUGAUGCUAGUGGAAUUGGAUUAGGCGGUGUGUUAUUACAAGAUGGCAAACCUGUUGCAUACUUUUCUGAAAAAUUGAGUGGGCCUAGUCUGAAUUAUUCUACUUAUGAUAAAGAAUUAUAUGCUCUUGUUCGGACUUUAGAAACAUGGCAACAUUAUUUAUGGCCCAAAGAAUUUGUUAUACAUUCUGAUCAUGAAUCUUUGAAACAUAUUAAAAGUCAAGCUAAACUGAAUCGUAGACAUGCUAAAUGGGUUGAAUUCAUUGAGACUUUUCCUUAUGUCAUUAAACACAAGAAGGGAAAAGAAAAUGUUAUUGCUGAUGCAUUGUCUCGCUGCUAUACUAUGCUUUCACAACUUGACUUCAAAAUAUUUGGUUUGGAGACCAUCAAAGAUCAAUAUGUGCAUGAUGCUGAUUUUAAAGAUGUAAUGCAGAAUUGUAAAGAAGGAAGAAUGUGGAACAAGUUCGUCGUUAACGAUGGAUUUGUGUUUCGUGCUAACAAGCUAUGCAUUCCAGCUAGCUCCGUUCGUCUUUUGUUGUUGCACGAGGCGCAUGGAGGAGGAUUAAUGGGACACUUUGGCGUGAAGAAGACGGAGGACGUACUUGCUACACAUUUCUUUUGGCCAAAGAUGAGACGGGAUGUUGAGCAUUUUAUUGCUCGAUGCACUACAUGUCAAAAAGCUAAGUCACGACUCAAUCCUCAUGGUUUAUAUAUGCCUUUGCCUGUACCUAGUGUUCCUUGGGAGGAUAUAUCUAUGGACUUUGUUUUAGGUUUACCUCGAACAAAGAAGGGGAGGGAUAGCAUAUUUGUUGUCGUGGAUAGAUUCUCGAAAAUGGCACACUUUAUACCAUGUCAUAAAAGCGAUGAUGCUGUUAAUGUUGCUGAUUUGUUCUUUCGUGAAAUUAUUCGCUUGCAUGGUGUGCCAAAUACUAUUGUUUCAGAUCGUGAUAAUAAAUUUCUUAGCCACUUUUGGAGAUGUUUAUGGGCUAAGUUGGGGACUAAACUGCUUUUUAGUACUACUUGUCACCCCCAAACUGAUGGACAAACUGAAGUAGUCAAUAGAACGUUGUCUACUAUGCUUAGGGCUGUUUUUAGUAUGAAUGCUAAAUAUAAACUUGCUGGAGAUAAGGGUAGAAAACAUGUUGUGUUUGCACCUGGAGAUCUUGUUUGGUUACAUUUGCGUAAGGAUAGAUUUCCUGAUUUGCGCAAAUCAAAGUUAAUGCCAUGUGCUGAUGGUCCCUUUAAGGUGUUAGAGAAAAUAAAUGAUAAUGGAUAUAAACUUGAGCUGCCUGCAGAUUUUGGGGUUAGUCCCACUUUUAACAUUGCAGAUUUGAAGCCUUAUUUGGGUGAGGAAGAUGAGCUUCCGUCGAGGACGACUUCAUUUCAAGAAGGGGAGGAUGAUGAGGACAUCAAUACAAUUGUUACACCCACAGCCCCUGCUGCUAUACAUACUGGACCAAUUACUAGAGCUCGUGCACGCCAACUAAAUUACCAGGUACUUUCAUUUCUUGGUAAUGAUUCUAAUGUUCAUGAGAAUAUGAUGCUGCCUAAAUUGGAUACAUUUGUUUUGCUUCCAAAUGAAGGGCCUAGCUUGGAGAAGGAUGAACAUUGGAGCAAGAACAAGCAUGGAGAUGAUGGCAUGCGCAAGGGGAACAAGAACGGAGUUACAAGUGAUGAUUUCAGGACUUUGAAGCCACCAUAAUGGGUGCAUGAAGCCUUGGACGAAAUAUACAAGAUGCCACUUCAUAAAUUUCGUCCCGAGGCUAUUUUAGGUGCUGCGUCACCUUAUUAUUGGGCCAGGCCCAUGUAAUUUCGAAAUACAUAAGUAUAGGCUAUUUUUAGAGUCCGUAUGUGUGGGGAAACAAGAGAUAGGGUUGAUUUUGGACCCCUCCACCAAGGGCCACAAAAUUCCCCCUCUCUUCCUCCAUAUAUACAACCCUUAGGGCACCGUUUAGACUUUGGGUUUUGUUUAGAUUAAAAGUUCGCCAUAGCUGCAACUUCGCGUACUUCGUUUGUGUUCAACGACCAGACAAAGGCGUCACAGAACCCCACCUUGAUCAAUAAAGCUUUCAUCUUAUAUUCGCAAUAUCCAGAUUGCAAUCUUAGUUUCUUGCUUGUUCUUCGUUUGCUCGCAGGAAACAGACCCUCGUGGUCAGGUUGAUCGUGCUCCGGCGUGGUCAAUGACCUCUCGGAGUUGGUUUAGCGAUUGCUAAGGCGCGACGUCCUCGCACGUUCGUAGUCGGAUCGUCAAAGUUGACUUCCACCAAAGCGAUAUCCAUCAUCUCAUCGAAAGACGUGACACCUUUGCCUCCAUCACUUCCUCACCCAAAUAAGGCUUCAAAUCUGCAAUGUUAAAAGUGGGACUAACCCCAAAAUCUGCAGGCAGCUCAAGUUUAUGUGCAUUAUCAUUUAUUUUCUCUAACACCUUAAAGGGACCAUCAGCCCGUGGCUUGAGCUUUGAUUUGCGCAAAUUAGGAAAUCUAUCCUUACGCAAAUGUAACCAAACAAGAUCUCCAGGUGCAAACACAACAUGUUUUCUACCCUUAUCUCCAGCAAGUUUAUAUUUGGCAUUCAUACGCUCAAUGUUUUCCUUAGUUAACUCAUGCAUUUUUAAAAUCAAUUCAGCACGUUGUUUAGCAUCAAAAUUAACCUUCUCUGAAGAUGGAAGAGGCAACAAAUCAAUAGGUGCACGAGGUAGGAAACCAUACACAACCUCAAAAGGGCACAUCUUAGUAGUAGAAUGCAAUGAACGAUUAUAAGCAAAUUCAAUAUGAGGCAAGCAUUCCUCCCACAUUUUCUUAUUACUCUUCAAAACAGCCCUAAGUAUAGUAGACAAUGUUCUAUUGACUACUUCAGUUCGGCCAUCAGUUUGGGGGUGACAAGUAGUACUAAAAGCAGUUUAGUCCCCAACUUAGCCCAUAAACAUCUCCAAAAGUGGCUAAGAAAUUUAGUAUCACGAUCUGAAACAAUAGUAUUUGGCACACCAUGCAAGCGAAUAAUUUCACGAAAGAACAAAUCAGCAACAUUAACAGCAUCAUCGCUUUUAUGACAUGGUAUAAAGUGUGCCAUUUUCGAGAAUCUAUCCACGACAACAAAUAUGCUAUCCCUCCCCUUCUUUGUUCGAGGUAAACCUAAAACCAAGUCCAUAGAUAUAUCCUCCCAAGGAACACUAGGUACAGGCAAAGGCAUAUAUAAACCAUGAGGAUUGAGUCGUGACUUAGCUUUUUGACAUGUAGUGCAGCGAGCAAUAAAACGCUCAACAUCCCGUCUCAUCUUUGGCCAAAAGAAAUGUGUAGCAAGUACGUCCUCCGUCUUCUUCAUGCCAAAGUGUCCCAUUAGUCCUCCUCCAUGCGCCUCCUACAACAACAAAAGACGAACGGAGCUAGCUGGAAUGCAUAGCUUGUUAGCACGAAACACAAAUCCAUCGUUAACGACAAACUUGUUGAUAGAGGCGGAGGUGUCCAGUCUUUUGAUGAGAUGAUGGAUUUCGCUUUGGUGGAAGUCGACUUUGACGAUCCGACUACGAACGUGCGAGGACGUCGCGCCUUAGCAAUCGCUAAACCAACUCCGAGAGGUUAUUGACCACGCCGGAGCACAAUCAACCUGACCCCGAGGGUCUGAUUCCUGCGAGCAAACAAAGAACAAGCAAGAAUCUGAGAUUGCAAUCUGGAUAUUGCGAAUAUAAGAUGAAAGCUUUAUUGAUCAAGGUGGGGUUCUGUGACGCCUUUGUCUGGUCGUUGAACACAAACGAAGUACGCGAAGUUGCAGCUAUGGCGAACUUUAAUCUAAACAAAACCCAAAGUCUAAACGGUGCCCUAAGGGCUGUAUAUAUGGAGCAAGAGAGGGCGAAUUUCGUGGACCUUGGUGGACGGGUCCGAAAUCAACCCUAUCUCUUGUUUCCCCACACAUACGGACUCUAAAAAUAGCCUAUACUUAUGUAUUUCGAAAUUACAUGGGCCUGGCCCAAUAAAAAGGUGACGCAGCACCUAUAAUAGCCUCUGGACGAAAUUUAUGAAGUGACAUCUUGUAUAUUUCAUCCAAGGCUUCAUGCACUCGUUAUGGUGGCUUCAAAGACCUGAAAUCAUCACUUGUAACUCUGUUCUUGUUCCCCUUGCGCAUGCCAUCAUCUCCAUGCUUGUUCUUGCUCCAAUGUUCAUCCUUCUCCAAGCUAGGCCCUUCAUUUCUAAGCAAAACAAAUGUAUCCAAUUUAGGCACCAUCAUAUUCUCAUGAACAUUAGAAUCAUUACCAAGAAACGAAAGUACCUUGUAAUUUAGUUGGCGUGCGCGAGCUCUAGUAAUUGGUCCAGUAUAUAUAGCAGCAGGGGCUGUGGGUGUAACAAUGGUAUUGAUGUCCUCAUCAACCUCCCCUUCUUGAAACGAAGUCGUCCUCGACGGAAGCUCAUCUUCCUCACCCAAAUAAGGCCUCAAAUCUGCAAUGUUAAAAGUGGGACUAACCCCAAAAUCUGCAGGCAGCUCAAGUUUAUAUGCAUUAUCAUUUAUUUUCUCUAACACCUUAAAGGGACCAUCAGCCCGUGGCAUGAGCUUUGAUUUGCGCAAAUCAGGAAAUCUAUCCUUACGCAAAUGUAACCAAACAAGAUAUCCAGGUGCAAACACAACAUGUUUUCUACCCUUAUCUCCAGCAAGUUUAUAUUUGGCAUUCAUACGCUCAAUGUUUUCCUUAGUUAACUCAUGCAUUUUUAAAAUCAAUUCAGCACGUUGUUUAGCAUCAAAAUUAACCUUCUCCGAAGAUGGAAGAGGCAACAAAUCAAUAGGUGCACGAGGUAGGAAACCAUACACAACCUCAAAAGGGCACAUCUUAGUAGUAGAAUGCAACGAACGAUUAUAAGCAAAUUCAAUAUGAGGCAAGCAAUCCUCCCACAUUUUCUUAUUACUCUUCAAAACAGCCCUAAGCAUAGUAGACAAUGUUCUAUUGACUACUUCAGUUUGGCCAUCAGUUUGGGGGUGACAAGUAGUACUAAAAGCAGUUUAGUCCCGAACUUAGCCAAUAAACAUCUCCAAAAGUGGCUAAGAAAUUUAGUAUCACGAUGUGAAACAAUAGUAUUUGGCACACCAUGCAAGCGAAUAAUUUCACGAAAGAACAAAUCAGCAACAUUAACAGCAUCAUCGCUUUUAUGACAUGGUAUGAAGUGUGCCAUUUUCGAGAAUCUAUCCACGACAACAAAUAUGCUAUCCCUCCCCUUCUUUGUUCGAGGUAAACCUAAAACAAAGUCCAUAGAUAUAUCCUCCCAAGGAACACUAGGUACAGGCAAAGGCAUAUAUAAACCAUGAGGAUUGAGUCGUGACUUAGCUUUUUGACAUGUAUUGCAGCGAGCAAUAAAACGCUCAACAUCCCGUCUCAUCUUCGGCCAAAAGAAAUGUGUAGCAAGUACGUCCUCCGUCUUCUUCAUGCCAAAGUGUCCCAUUAGUCCUCCUCCAUGCGCGUCCUACAACAACAAAAGACGAACGGAGCUAGCUGGAAUGCAUAGCUUGUUAGCACGAAACACAAAUCCAUCGUUAACGACAAACUUGUUGAUAGAGGCGGAGGUGUCCCGUCUUUCGAUGAGAUGAUGGAUUUCGCUUUGGUGGAAGUCGACUUUGACGAUCCGACUACGAACGUGCGAGGACGUCGCGCCUUAGCAAUCGCUAAACCAACUCCGAGAGGUCAUUGACCACGCCGGAGCACGAUCAACCUGACCACGAGGGUCUGAUUCCUGCGAGCAAACGAAGAACAAGCAAGAAUCUGAGAUUGCAAUCUGGAUAUUGCGAAUAUAAGAUGAAAGCUUUAUUGAUCAAGGUGGGGUUCUGUGACGCCUUUGUCUGGUCGUUGAACACAAACGAAGUACGCAAAGUUACAGCUAUGGCGAACUUUAAUCUAAACAAAACCCAAAGUCUAAAUGGUGCCCUAAGGGCUGUAUAUAUGGAGGAAGAGAGGGGGAAUUUUGUGGACCUUGGUGGACGGGUCCGAAAUCAACCCUAUCUCUUGUUUCCCCACACAUACGGACUCUAAAAAUAGCCUAUACUUAUGUAUUUCGAAAUUACAUGGGCCUGGCCCAAUAAAAAGGUGACGCAGCACCUAUAAUAGCCUCUGGACGAAAUUAAUGAAGUGACAUCUUGUAUAUUUCGUCCAAGGCUUCAUGCACUCGUUAUGGUGGCUUCAAAGACCUGAAAUCAUCACUUGUAACUCUGUUCUUGUUCCCCUUGCGCAUGCCAUCAUCUCCAUGCUUGUUCUUGCUCCAAUGUUCAUCCUUCUCCAAGCUAGGCCCUUCAUUUGUAAGCAAAACAAAUGUAUCCAAUUUAGGCACCAUCAUAUUCUCAUGAACAUCAGAAUCAUUACCAAGAAACGAAAGUACCUGGUAAUUUAGUUGGCGUGCGCGAGCUCUAGUAAUUGGUCCAGUAUAUAUAGCAGCUGGGGCUGUGGGUGUAACAAUGGUAUUGAUGUCCUCAUCAUCCUCCCCUUCUUGAAAUGAAGUCGUCCUCGACGGACGCUCAUCUUCCUUACCCAAAUAAGGCUUCAAAUCUGCAAUGUUGAAAGUGGGACUAACCCCAAAAUCUGCAGGCAGCUCAAGUUUAUAUGCAUUAUCAUUUAUUUUCUCUAACACCUUAAAGGGACCAUCAGCCCGUGGCAUGCGCUUUGAUUUGCGCAAAUCAGGAAAUCUAUCCUUACGCAAAUGUAACCAAACAAGAUCUCCAGGUGCAAACACAACAUGUUUUCUAGCCUUAUCUCCAGCAAGUUUAUAUUUGGCAUUCAUACGCUCAAUGUUUUCCUUAUUUAACUCAUGCAUUUUUAAAAUCAGUUCAGCACGUUGUUUAGCAUCAAAAUUAACCUUCUCCGAAGAUGGAAGAGGCAACAAAUCAAUAGGUGCACGAGGUAGGAAACCAUACACAACCUCAAAAGGGCACAUCUUAGUAGUAGAAUGCAAUGAACGAUUAUACGCAAAUUCAAUAUGAGGCAAGCAUUCCUCCCACAUUUUCUUAUUACUCUUCAAAAUAGCCCUAAGCAUAGUAGACAAUGUUCUAUUGACUACUUCAGUUUGGCCAUCAGUUUGGGGGUGACAAGUAGUACUAAAAAGCAGUUUAGUCCCCAACUUAUCCCAUAAACAUCUCAAAAAGUGGCUAAGAAAUUUAGUAUCACGAUCUGAAACAAUAGUAUUUGGCACACCAGGCAAGCGAAUAAUUUCACAAAAGAACAAAUCAGGAACAUUAACAGCAUCAUCGCUUUUAUGACAUGGUAUAAAGUGUGCCAUUUUCGAGAAUCUAUCCACGACAACAAAUAUGCUAUCCCUCCCCUUCUUUGUUCGAGGUAAACCUAAAACAAAGUCCAUAGAUAUAUCCUCCCAAGGAACACUAGGUACAGGCAAAGGCAUAUAUAAACCAUGAGGAUUGAGUCGUGACUUAGCUUUUUGACAUGUAGUGCAACGAGCAAUAAAACGCUCAACAUCCCGUCUCAUCUUUGGCCAAAAGAAAUGUGUAGCAAGUACGUCCUCCAUCUUCUUCAUGCCAAAGUUUUCCCUUAGUCCUCCUCCAUGCGCCUCCUACAACAACAAAAGACGAACGGAGCUAGCUGGAAUGGAUAGCUUGUUAGCACGAAACACAAAUCCAUCGUUAAUGACAAACUUGUUGAUAGAGGCGGAGGUGUCUCGUCUUUCGAUGAGAUGAUGGAUUUCGCUUUGGUGGAAGUCGACUUUGACGAUCCGACUACGAACGUGCGAGGACGUCGCGCCUUAGCAAUCGCUAAACCAACUCCGAGAGGUUAUUGACCACGCCGGAGCACGAUCAACCUGACCACGAGGGUCUGAUUCCUGUGAGCAAACGAAGAACAAGCAAAAAUUUGAGAUUGCAAUCUGGAUAUUGCGAAUAUAAGAUGAAAGCUUUAUUGAUCAAGUGGGGUUCUGUGACGCCUUUGUCUGGUCGUUGAACACAAACGAAGUACGCGAAGUUGCAGCUAUGGUGAACUUUAAUCUAAACAAAACCCAAAGUCUAAACGGUGCCCUAAGGGCUGUAUAUAUGGAGGAAGAGAGGGGGAAUUUCGUGGACCUUGGUGGACGGGUCCGAAAUCAACCCUAUCUCUUGUUUCCCCACACAUACGGACUCUAAAAAUAGCCUAUACUUAUGUAUUUCGAAAUUACAUGGGCCUGACCCAAUAAAAAGGUGACGCAGCACCUAUAAUAGCUUCUGGACGAAAUUUAUGAAGUGACAUCUUGUAUAUUUCGUCCAAGGCUUCAUGCACUCGUUAUGGUGGCUUCAAAGACCUGAAAUCAUCACUUGUAACUCGGUUCUUGUUCCUCUUGCGCAUGCCAUCAUCUCCAUGCUUGUUCUUGCUCCAAUGUUCAUCCUUCUCCAAGAUAGGCCCUUCAUUUGUAAGCAAAACAAAUGUAUCCAAUUUAGGCAGCAUCAUAUUCUCAUGAACAUUAGAAUCAUUACCAAGAAACGAAAGUACCUGGUAAUUUAGUUGGCGUGCGCGAGCUCUAGUAAUUGGUCCAGUAUAUAUAGCAGCAGGGGCUGUGGGUGUAACAAUGGUAUUGAUGUCCUUAUCAUCCUCCCCUUUUUGAAAUGAAGUCGUCCUCGACGGAAGCUCAUCUUCCUCACCCAAAUAAGGCUUCAAAUCUGCAAUGUUAAAAGUGGGACUAACCCCAAAAUCUGCAGGCAGCUCAAGUUCAUAUGCAUUAUCAUUUAUUUUCUCUAACACCUUAAAGGGACCGUCAGCCCGUGGCAUGAGCUUUGAUUUGCGCAAAUCAGGAAAUCUAUCAUUACGCAAAUGUAACCAAACAAGAUCUCCAGGUGCAAACACAACAUGUUUUCUACCCUUAUCUCCAGCAAGUUUAUAUUUGGCAUUCAUACGCUCAAUGUUUUUCUUAGUUAACUCAUGCAUUUUUAAAAUCAAUUCAGCACGGUGUUUAGCAUCAAAAUUAACCUUCUCCGAAGAUGGAAGAGGCAACAAAUCAAUAGGUGCACGAGAUAGGAAACCAUACACAACCUCAAAAGGGCACAUCUUAGUAGUAGAAUGCAAUGAACGAUUAUAAGCAAAUUCAAUAUGAGGCAAGCAUUCCUCCCACAUUUUCUUAUUACUCUUCAAAACAGCCCUAAGCAUAGUAGACAAUGUUCUAUUGACUACUUCAGUUUGGCCAUCAGUUUGGGGGUGACAUGUAGUACUAAAAAGCAGUUUAGUCCCCAACUUAGCCCAUAAACAUCUCCAAAAGGGCUAAGAAAUUUAGUGUCACGAUCUGAAACAAUAGUAUUUGGCACACCAUGCAAGCAAAUAAUUUCACGAAAGAACAAAUCAGCAACAUUAACAGCAUCAUCGCUUUUAUGACAUGGUAUAAAGUGUGCCAUUUUCGAGAAUCUAUCCACGACAACAAAUAUGCUAUCCCUCCCCUUCUUUGUUCGAGGUAAACCUAAAAGAAAGUCCAUAGAUAUAUCCUCCCAAGGAACACUAGGUACAGGCAAAGGCCUAUAUAAACCAUGAGGAUUGAGUCGUGACUUAGCUUUUUGACAUGUAGUGCAGCGAGCAAUAAAACGCUCAACAUCCCGUCUCAUCUUUGGCCAAAAGAAAUGUGUAGCAAGGACGUCCUCCGUCUUCUUCAUGCCAAAGUGUCCCAUUAAUCCUCCUCCAUGCACCUCCUACAACAACAAAAGACGAAUGGAGCUAGCUGGAAUGCAUAGCUUGUUAGCACGAAACACAAAUCCAUCGUUAACGACAAACUUGUUGAUAGAGGCGGAGGUGUCCCGUCUUUCGAUGAGAUGAUGGAUUUCGCUUUGGUGGAAGUCGACUUUGACGAUCCGACUACGAACGUGUGAGGAUGUCGCGCCUUAGCAAUCGCUAAACCAACUCCGAGAGGUUAUUGACCACGCCGGAGCACGAUCAACCUGACCACGAGGGUCUGAUUCCUGCGAGCAAACGAAGAACAAGCAAGAAUCUGAGAUUGCAAUCUGGAUAUUGCGAAUAUAAGAUGAAAGCUUUAUUGAUCAAGGUGGGGUUCUGUGACGCCUUUGUCUGGUCGUUGAACACAAACAAAGUACGCGAAGUUGCAGCUAUGGCGAACUUUAAUCUAAACAAAACGCAAAGUCUAAACGGUGCCCUAAGGGCUGUAUAUAUGGAGGAAGAGAGGGGGAAUUUCGUGGACCUUGGUGGACGGGUCCGAAAUCAACCCUAUCUCUUGUUUCCCCACACAUACGGACUCUAAAAAUAGCCUAUACUUAUGUAUUUCGAAAUUACAUGGGCUGGCCCAAUAAAAAGGUGACGCAGCACCUAUAAUAGCCUCUGGACGAAAUUUAUGAAGUGACAUCUUGUAUAUUUCGUCGAAGGCUUCAUGCACUCGUUAUGGUGGCUUCAAAGACCUGAAAUCAUCACUUGUAACUCUGUUCUUGUUCCCCUUGCGCAUGCCACCAUCUCCAUGCUUGUUCUUGCUCCAAUGUUCAUCCUUCUCCAAGCUAGGCCCUUCAUUUGUAAGCAAAACAAAUGUAUCCAAUUUAGGCAGCAUCAUAUUCUCAUGAACAUUAGAAUCAUUACCAAGAAACGAAAGUACCUGGUAAUUUAGUUGGCGUGCGCGAGCUCUAGUAAUUGGUCCAGUAUAUAUAGCAGCAGGGGCUGUGGGUGUAACAAUGGUAUUGAUGUCCUCAUCAUCCUCCCCUUCUUGAAAUGAAGUCGUCCUCGACGGAAGCUCAUCUUCCUCACCCAAAUAAGGCUUCAAAUCUGCAAUGUUAAAAGUGGGACUAACCCCAAAAUCUGCAGGCAGCUCUAGUUUAUAUGCAUUAUCAUUUAUUUUCUCUAACACCUUAAAGGGACCAUCAGCCCGUGGCAUGAGCUUUGAUUUGCGCAAAUCAGGAAAUCUAUCCUUACGCAAAUGUAACCAAACAAGAUCUCCAGGUGCAAACACAACAUGUUUUCUACCCUUAUCUCCAGCAAGUUUAUAUUUGGCAUUCAUACGCUCAAUGUUUUCCUUAGUUAACUCAUGCAUUUUUAAAAUCAAUUCAGCACGUUGUUUAGCAUCAAAAUUAACCUUCUGCGAAGAUGGAAGAGGCAACAAAUCAAUAGGUGCACGAGGUAGGAAACCAUACACAACCUCAAAAGGGCACAUCUUACUAGUAGAAUGCAAUGAACGAUUAUAAGCAAAUUCAAUAUGAGGCAAGCAUUCCUCCCACACUUUCUUUACUCUUCAAAACAGCCCUAAGCAUAGUAGACAAUGUUCUAUUGACUACUUCAGUUUGGCCAUCAGUUUGGGGGUGACAAGUAGUACUAAAAAGCAGUUUAGUCCCAACUUAGCCCAUAAACAUCUCCAAAAGUGGCUAAGAAAUUUAGUAUCACGAUCUGAAACAAUAGUAUUUGGCACACCAUGCAAGCAAAUAAUUUCACGAAAGAACAUAUCAGCAACAUUAACAGCAUCAUCGCUUUUAUGACAUGGUAUAAAGUGUGCCAUUUUCGAGAAUCUAUCCACGACAACAAAUAUGCUAUCCCUCCCGUUCUUUGUUCGAGGUAAACCUAAAACAAAGUCCAUAGAUAUAUCCUCCCAAGGAACACUAGGUACAGGCAAAGGCAUAUAUAAACCAUGAGGAUUGAGUCAUGACUUAGCUUUUUGACAUGUAGUGCAGCGAGCAAUAAAACGCUCAACAUCCCGUCUCAUCUUUGGCCAAAAGAAAUGUGUAGCAAGUACGUCCUCCGUCUUCUUCACGCCAAAGUGUCCCAUUAAUCCUCCUCCAUGCGCCUCCUGCAACAACAAAAGACGAACGGAGCUAGCUGGAAUGCAUAGCUUGUUAGCACGAAACACAAAUCCAUCGUUAACGACAAACUUGUUCCACAUUCUUCCUUCUUUACAAUUCUGCAUUACAUCUUUAAAAUCAACAUCAUGCACAUAUUGAUCUUUGAUGGUCUCCAAACCAAAUAUUUUGAAGUCAAGUUGUGAAAGCAUAGUAUAGCGACGAGACAAUGCAUCAGCAAUAACAUUUUCUUUUCCCUUCUUGUGUUUAAUGACAUAAGGGAAAGUCUCAAUGAAUUCAACCCAUUUAGCAUGUCUACGAUUCAGUUUAGCUUGACUUUUAAUAUGUUUCAAAGAUUCAUGAUCUAUAACAAAUUCUUUGGGCCAUAAAUAAUGUUGCCAUGUUUCUAAAGUCCGAACAACAGCAUAUAAUUCUUUAUCAUAAGUAGAAUAAUUCAGACUAGGCCCACUCAAUUUUUCAGAAAAGUAUGCAACAGGUUUGCCAUCUUGUAAUAACACACCUCCUAAUCCAAUUCCACUAGCAUCACAUUCAAGCUCAAAAGUCUUAUUAAAAUCAGGAAGUUGGAGUAAAGGAGCAUGUGCCAACUUAUCUUUCAAUACCGUGAAGGCUUCUUCCAGUGCGUUACCCCAAAGAAACGGCACACCUUUCUUUGUAAGCUCAUUGAGAGGUGCAGCAAUGGUGCUGAAAUCUCUCACAAAACGCCUAUAGAAUCCAGCGAGGCCAAGAAAACUCCUCACUUGUGUGACCGUUUUGGGCUGCGGCCAACUCUCAAUAGCUUCAAUCUUGGCUUUAUCAACUUCAAUUCCCUGUGGAGUAACAACAUAGCCAAGAAAAGAUACUCGGUCGGUGCAAAAGGUGCACUUCCCAAGGUUACGAAACAAACGUGCAUCACGUAGAGCAAUAAAAACAGCACGUAAAUGUUCCAAAUGUUCUUCCAAAGAUCUACUAUAAAUCAAUAUGUCAACAAAGUAAACUACCACAAAUCAUCCAAUGAAAGCACGUAAAACUUCGUUCAUUAAUCUCAUGAAAGUACUAGGUGCAUUAGUUAACCCAAAAGGCAUGACUAACCAAUCGUAUAAUCCAAACUUAGUUUUGAAUGUUGUUUUCCAUUCAUCUCCCAAUUUCAUACGAAUUUGAUGGUAUCCACUACGCAAAUCAACUUUGGAGAAUAUUGUAGAGCCACUCAAUUCAUCAAGCAUAUCAUCUAGCCUAGGAAUAGGAUGACGAUAACGAAUAGUAAUAUUAUUAAUGCCUCUACAAUCAACACACAUACGUGAUGUACCAUCCUUUUUCGGCACUAGAAUAAUAGGAACAGCACAAGGACUAAGGGAUUCGCGUAUAUAACCUUUGUCGAGAAGCUCUUGUACUUGACGCAUAAUCUCCUUCGUCUCCUCUGGAUUGGUACGGUAUGGUGCACGGUUUGGCAGUGAAGCACCGGGAAUUAAGUCAAUCUGAUGCUCAAUCCCUCGAAUAGGCGGUAAUCCCGGUGGCACGUCUUGUGGAAAGACGUCAGCGAACUCCUGCAAAAUGUUAGUGACAGCAGGAGGCAAAGAGGAAGGCACGUCCUCGAAUGAAAAUAAUGCCUCUUUGCACACAAAAGCAUAGCAAACAGAUUUGCUGAAAUCUAGCUCAUCAAUAUCAGAUUUGGUGGCAAAUAAACAUGCACUUUUCAAUUUAAUUUCAGAAGCAACACUAGAUGGUUUAUUAUUAGGCUUCAUUUGUUGCUCAAAUUCUUUUGCCACAAUCUGAUUUUCACUCUUAUUCGUCUCCUGUUUUGCUUUAUUAGCUCUAUUAAUAUCAUCUUUCAAAAUGGAAUCAGGAGUCAUAGGAAGCAAAGUAAUGUUUUUAUCCUUAUGAACAAGAGUAUAGUGAUUGUUUCUACCAUGGUGUACAGAAUUUUUAUCAAAUUGCCAUGGUCUACCAAGUAAUAAGGAACAUGCUUGCAUAGGUACCACAUCACAAUCAACAUAAUCAGCAUAUGUAGAGAUACUAAAAUGCACACGAACAGUACGUGUUACCUUAACCUUGCCGCUGUUGUUGAACCAUUGGAUGUAGUAAGGAUGUGGAUGUGGUCUUGUGGUGAGAGAAAGCUUCUCGGCCAUCUCCAUGCUAGCCAAGUUGUUGCAGCUCCCUCCGUCUAUGAUGACGCGCACAGAACGUUCUUUCACAACUCCCUUGGUAUGGAACAAAUUGUGCCUCUGAUUUUGCUCAGAUUGUGUAACCUGCACACUCAAAACACGUUGAGCAACUAAACAUUCAUACCUGUCAGCGUCUUCAGGAGCCAUGUAUUGUGUCUCAUGAUCAGAAUCAUUUCCACCAUGUUCUUCACGUGUAAUAAGAGCCAAAGUCUCCUCAUCAUAGUCACUAGCGGACUCAUAUCCACCAUCUGCGGUAGCAAUCAUCACACGCGGAGAUUUGCAUUCUCUCGCAUAAUGACCUCCUCCCUUACAUCGACGACAAAUAAUAUCACUUGUGUGCCCUAUUGAUGCCAUAGAAGAAGAAGAACUCUGUGCAGGCCCAGCAGGUGCGCUCUUGGCAGAUAAUGGUGGUUGUGCCUGUUUUCUUGUAUCAUGACUGGAGGAGGCACCUGAUUGAGGUGCUGGUGCAGUUGAAGUAGAAGAUGCACGCAGUGUCCAUGAUGAAGGUCGGCCUGCAGAAAAGUUAGUGAUGUAGGGUGGAACCGUAUAGCGUUGAUCUUUCACGUUUGGAGUGGAUCCAACGGGGAAUCACGAAGAACACGCGGAAGCACAAAGGGAAACUCGGGGGAAAACGAGAGGGAAUCACUCAACCAACAAGGAAUCGAUCACACAAGUGCUAGAUCAUCGAAUACAUAGAGUAACAUAUGAUCCACAAUCGACAAAGGGAAAGGAUACAACGGAAUCGUUCUUCUCCAAGAGGAGGCCUUGAUGUUCUUCCCUAAAGAGGGGUCUUGAAUCCGCUUGGGGAUCUUCUCCGGAGAGGUCCUGAUCUCCGAUGAGAAGUAUCCAAGGGGAUGAGCAAAGGCUCACUGAUGAGGACAUGACUACCUUGGAUAUGACCAAAAAUAUUGCAUAUAUGCAUAUUUGUCAGGUGAUUUCUAGUGCAAACUAUUCAAUAAUCUAUUUAUGUUAUCCAGAACAAAAAUACUUCACACACUUUUGUGUUUUGUCUAAUUGCAGGUGUAUGGGACAUUUGUACAAUCCACAUAUGAAGAUAAGGAAGAAAGAGAUGUUUAUUUGCUGUCCAAAAAGUUCUCUCACGUCACUUUUGGCCCAACAGAAGAUAGAGUCCAAGUCUCUCAUGUUCUGGAUUCAGAUUCGGACUGCACAGACAUACCUGACUCAAAACGCACACAAGUUUUUCAUACGGAAUCCGAAUUGGGUGAUUCUUUUUUUGUUGGAAACUAGAUUUCGUGCACUUUCCAACCCAAUUGGAAGCACCUUCAAAUUCGUCCGGAGCGUUGAGUUGUGGACGAAACAAUCUAAUGCUGCAACAGAAUCCAAGUCAAACUACAAGUCCAAAGGUGUUACAUCACCUCCACUUGGGCCCAUUGGCCUUGUACGACCUAGAUUUAGUUUUAGGCUGCCUUGGGACGUCCCCCCACCUCCUUGGCCGCCACCCCUUGCUCCUAUAUAAGUAGAUCCAUCUAGUAGCUUUUCCUUGGGAUUUGUUUAGUUAAAAGUUAGCCAUUGCAACUUCGUGUAAUUCGUUUGUGUCCAACGACCAGACCAAAACCGCUUACGGAUCCCCACCUUUAUCAAUACUUCAUCUAUAUUCGCAAUAUUCAGUUUGCUUUAUCAUAUUCUUGCUUGUUCUUCGAUUGCUUGCAGGAAUAGACCUUCGUGGUCAGGUUGAUUGUGCUUCGGCGUGGUCAAUAACCUCUCGGAGUUGGUUUAGCGAUUGCUAAGGCGCAACGUCGUGCACGUUUGUAGUCGGAUCGUCAAAGUCAUCUUCACCAAAUCGAUAGUUAUCAUCUCAUCGAAAGAUCGGGACACCCCGCCUCUAUCAAGUGGUAUCAGUUUUCAGGUUGCUCGGUGAGAAUUUCCAGUUUUCCUAGAUUAGAUUUAUUUUCUUACCUAUUGUCCAAGAAAAAUCCACAAAAAAGAGUUAGAUCUAUUCAUCCUUUGUCCAAGCCAGUCUGAACCUUUGUAAUUUUCUUUUCAUUGCUUGCAUAGUUGAAUUAUCGGUUGCAUCGUCGUGUCGAGUUGCUGGUCUUAGUGUCUAGGUCGUUUAGAGUUUCGAGUUCUGUUCACAUUAGUCACGUCGCCGCUGCAUCGUUAUCCCUUCCGCUGUCAACCACCCAUCCAUCAAUUUCCUCCACGUGCUACCCACCGUUCAUUGUCAUAAUCAUAGUUGAGAUCGUUCCCAUCUUCGCUUGAUCCAAUCUACAUCUUAUCUAGUUUGUUUUGGAAUGAGGGAGAGAGAAAAAAAAGAUAGAGAAAAAAACGAGAGAAAAAAAGUAAAAAAAAGUCAGAGAAAAAAAAAAGAAAGGAAAAGAAAAAAAGGCGUGAGAAAAAAAGAGAGAAGAAAAAAAAAUUGGAUCUAUCUAGAAUCAAUCUCGUACCUGAAUUCGGAUUGGAAUCUGUUUUGCGCACUGUUCAGUAAAACAGGUGUAUCUUCCUCAUACGAAGUCAGUUUUGGCUCUGUGAGUACUCAAAUUGAAGAUAGCGACGAGACACAUCUAAAUAGUUGUAGAAGCAAGUUCAAUAUUUGACACCUCAAAAUCGGCUUCUAAAUAGGUCUUUUUGCCCUCCGAAGUUCGUGAACACAACUUUUUCCAAUUUUUCAGGCAAGUUUUAGAAUUCUUUGACUCCUCAUAUCAACUCGGAAUUGAGUGAUUCUUUUUGCAUUGGAAAGCUUGAGUUAGUAGCAUUCUUUGAAAGAAUUUAUCAGAAAAUUGUCUCAAACUUUUCAAGAGGAAAGUUGGAGGGAGAGUUGUUGUAUAUCCUGCUUGGCAGUUGUUUUUCAUCAUUAUCUUCACUGCCGUUGUGAUCUUCACUUAUAUCUUGCUGUCAAGAGCUACUUAGUAUCCUUCAUUGAUGCUAGUUGUGCUACGCCUGACCUCAUUAGUGUUCUAGGCUCGCGUCUCUAGUCCGGUCUAGCCUAGGACCAGCACAGUAUCGUCAUUGAGCCGUUUAUUCAACAUUGCAUCUUUGAAUUGAUUAUUGCUAAUCUUUUGCUACCAUAUAUAGCCAACCCAGCUCCACAUAUUUCUACACCGUGUAUACGUACGCUCCCCUGGCAAUCGCUUUACUCAAUAUUCGGAGUUACUUGACACCGCUGGUUGCCGAUCACCGCCUGCUGCAUGGUAAGAACUUGUAAGACAUUGAUAUUUGCUUUACUGUGAGCGUUUUACCACCACAUCCUAGUAGUUAUAGGAACAUUAUUUUUGGGUUUUGUUUCUUGUUCUACUAAUCAUGACAGGAUCUAGAGUCAAUUCAUGGGCUUUGUCGAUCGCGGGAGACGUGCCACCACCUUUGCAAAUACCACAACCGUCACGAGAGGUGCACAAAUAUCCAAAUGCACAUGAUCAGGUUAAUGUAUCUAUACCANNNNNNNNNNAUGAACAUAAAAAGGUUAAGGUUGCGGUUGGUUCUUUCACUGGUUAUGCUUUGGUUUGGUGGAGUGAAUAUUGUCGGUUACACCCUGAUUAUAUACCUACUACUUGGGAUGAUUUGAAACUUGCCAUGCGACAUACUUUCGUCCCUGCUUAUUAUAUUCGUGACAUGAUUAAGAAGUUGCAACACUUAAAACAAGGUAGUGAAACUGUAACAAAAUAUUAUGAUGAUUUACAAACUACCUUGUUGCAUUCCUCUUUAGAAGAAAGUGAAGAUGAUUUUAUGGAUAGAUUUUGGGGAGGAUUAAACCGUGAUAUUCAAGAGAUACUAAUUCAUGAAGAGUGUUAUCCUAUGAACCAUUUGUUUCAUCUUGCUUGCAAAGCUGAACAGGAAAUAAAACGACGUGUUGGCCACGAGGAGAACAAGCGCACGGUGCACAUUCCAAGAGUUGAUAUGAUUGUUCCUUCAACUACUAGGCAUACUAUGACAACCACAUCCGUUGUUGUCAGGACUACAUCACCUCCACCAUGUGACACAUCGCCCCCGAGAGUGGCUACAUCAUCUGAGUUGAUCAUAAGAGGUAAUGACAAAGGUACUAAUCUUCCAUCUCUACAUGAGAAUGAUGAAUGCCUUGUCAAUUUGAAUGCACCAUCUAAUGAGCUACCCACUACUUUGAUCACACCACCUAUUUUAGAGGACUACGUUGAUAAUUUGACUUUGCCAUGUGAUCAAACAACUGAAAUACCAACAAUUUUGAGUGCACCCAUUGAAUUAACUAUUGAUGCAAAAGAACCAAUGUUUAAUCAUUUUGAUAUGACCUCUAAUCUUGGUGAUGAUUCUAUGUUAAAUGACUUAUUGCAUGUUUGCUUAUUUAAGCAUGUUGUAGCAUGUAAAUUUGAUGCAAGUAAGGUUUAUUCACCAAUGUUGGGAUGGUUUAAUAAUGAACAUUGUCAAUCUUUUGAAAUGAAUAAGAGCUUCACUUAUAUGUGCAAACUGCGUUGCAAUAUUUUCAUGCCUUCUACUUCUUGUGCUAAUUUUUUGGCUUUAGAUUUUAUGAACUAUGCAAGUUACUCAUCUAUUCAUGUGUCAUAUAUGCAAAAAUCAAGGGAAGUAAAAAUGGAUGACAUAUACAUAUACAACAUGUACACCUUGUCUCUUUUGUUAGCCACAUUUCAGAUUAAGCAACGCCGAGGACGGCUUUAUUUUCAAGAAGGGGAGGAUGAUGAGGACAUGACUACCUUGGAUAUGACCAAAAAUAUUGCAUAUAUGCAUAUUUGUCAGGUGAUAUCUUGAUGAGGACAUGAUUACCUUGGAUAUGACCAAAAAUAUUGCAUAUAUGCAUAUUUGUCAGGUGAUUUCUAGUGCAAACUAUUCAAUAAUCUAUUUAUGUUAUCCAGAACAAAAAUACUCCAUACACUUUUGUGUUUUGUCUAAUUGCAGGUGUAUGGGACAUUUGUACAAUCCACAUAUGAAGAUAAGGAAGAAAGAGAUGUUUAUUUGCUGUCCAAAAAGUUCUCUCACGUCACUUUUGGCCCAACAGAAGAUAGAGUCCAAGUCUCUCACGUUCUGGAUUCAGAUUCGGACUGCACAAACAUACCUGACUCAAAACGCACACAAGUUUUUCAUACGGACUCCGAAUUGGGUGAUUCUUUUUUUGUUGGAAACUAGAUUUCGUGCACUUUCCAACCCAAUUGGAAUCACCUUCAAAUUCGUCCAAAGCGUUGAGUUGUGGACGAAACAAUCUGAUGCUGCAGCAAAAUCCGAGUCAAACUAUAAGUCCAAAGGUGUUACAUCACCUUCACUUGGGCCCAUUGGCCUUGUACAACCUAGAUUUAGUUUUAGGCUGCCUUGGGACGUCCUCCCACCUCCUUGGCCACCACCCCUUGCUCCUAUAUAUAUAUAAGUAGAUCCAUCUAGUAGCUUUUCCUUGGGAUUUGUUUAGUUAAAAGUUAGCCAUUGCAACUUCGUGUACUUCGUUUGUGUCCAACGACCAGACCAAAACCGCUUCCGGAUCCCCACCAUUAUCAAUACUUCAUAUUUAUUUGCAAUAUUCAUAUUGCUUUAUCAUAUUCUUACUCGUUCUUCGAUUGCUUGCAGGAAUAGACCUUCGUGGUCAGGCUGACCGUGCUUCCAGCAUCGUCAGUAACCUCAGGAGAUUGGUUUAGCGAUUGCUAAGGCGCAACGUCGUGCAUGUUUGUAGUCGGAUCGUCAAAGUCGUCUCCACCAAAUCGAUAGUUAUCAUCUCAUCGAAAGAUCGGGACCCUCGCCUCUAUCAAGUGGUAUCAGUUUUCAGGUUGCUCGGUGAGAAUUUCCAGUUUUUCCUAGAUUAGAUUUAUUUUCUUACCUAUUGUCCAAGAAAAAUCCACAAAAAAGAGUUAGAUCUAUUCAUGCUUUGUCCAAGCCAGUCUGAGCCUUUGCAAUUUUCUUUUCAUUGCUUGCAUAGUUGAAUUAUCGGUUGCAUCGUCGUGUCGAGUUGCUGGUCUUAGUGUCUAGGUCGUUUAGAGUUUCGAGUUCUGUUCACAUUAGUCACGUCGCCGCUGCAUCGUUAUCCCUUCCGCUGUCCACCACCCAUACAUCAAUUUCCUCCACGUGCUACCUACCGUUCGUUGUCAUAAUCAUAGUUGAGAUCGUUCCCAUCUUCGCUUGAUCCAAUCUACAUCUUAUCUAGUUUGUUUUGGAAAGAGUGAUAGAGGCAAAGGUGUCCCGUCUUUCGAUGAGAUGGUGGAUUUCGCUUUGGUGGAAGUCGACUUUGACGAUCCGACUACGAACGUGCGAGGACGUCGCGCCUUAGCAAUCGCUAAACCAACUCCGAGAGGUUAUUGACCACGCCGGAGCACGAUCAACCUGACCACGAAGGUCUGUUUCCUGCGAGCAAACGAAGAACAAGCAAGAAACUAAGAUUGCAAUCUGGAUAUUGCGAAUAUAAGAUGAAAGCUUUAUUGAUCAAGGUGGGGUUCUGUGACGCCUUUGUCUGGUCGUUGAACACAAACGAAGUACGCGAAGUUGCAGCUAUGGCGAACUUUUAAUCUAAACAAAACCCAAAGUCUAAACGAUGCCCUAAGGGCUGUAUAUAUGGAGGAAGAGGGGGGGAAUUUCGUGGCCCUUGGUGGAGGGGUCCGAAAUCAACCCUAUCUCUUGUUUCCCGACACAUACGGACUCUAAAAAUAGCCUAUACUUAUGUAUUUCGAAAUUACAUGGGCCUGGCCCAAUAAUAAGGUGACGCAGCACCUAAAAUAGCCUCGGGACGAAAUUUAUGAAGUGGCGUCUUGUAUAUUUCGUCCAAGGCUUCAUGCACCCAUUAUGGUGGCUUCAAAGUCCUGAAAUCAUCACUUGUAACUCCGUUCUUGUUUCCCUUGCGCAUGCCAUCAUCUCCAUGCUUGUUCUUGCUCCAAUGUUCAUCCUUCUCCAAGCUAGGCCCUUCAUUUGUAAGCAAAACAAAUGUAUCCAAUUUAGGCAGCAUCAUAUUCUCAUGAACAAUAGAAUCAUUACCAAGAAACGAAAGUACCUGGUAAUUUAGUUGGCGUGCACGAGCUCUAGUAAUUGGUCCAGUAUGUAUAGCAGCAGGGGCUGUGGGUGUAACAAUUGUAUUGGAGUUACAAGUGAUGAUUUCAGGACUUUGAAGCCACCAUAAUGGGUGCAUGAAGCCUUGGACGAAAUAUACAAGAUGCCACUUCAUAAAUUUCGUCCCGAGGCUAUUUUAGGUGCUGCGUCACCUUAUUAUUGGGCCAGGCCCAUGUAAUUUCGAAAUACAUAAGUAUAGGCUAUUUUUAGAGUCCGUAUGUGUGGGGAAACAAGAGAUAGGGUUGAUUUCGGACCCCUCCACCAAGGGCCACGAAAUCCCCCCCUCUUCCUCCAUAUAUACAGCCCUUAGGGCAUCGUUUAGACUUUGGGUUUUGUUUAGAUUAAAAGUUCGCCAUAGCUGCAACUUCGCGUACUUCGUUUGUGUUCAACGACCAGACAAAGGCGUCACAGAACCCCACCUUGAUCAAUAAAGCUUUCAUCUUAUAUUCGCAAUAUCCAGAUUGCAAUCUUAGUUUCUUGCUUGUUCUUCAUUUGCUCGCAGGAAACAGACCCUCGUGGUCAGGUUGAUCGUGCUCCGGCGUGGUCAAUAACCUCUCGGAGUUGGUUUAGCGAUUGCUAAGGCGCGACGUCCUCGCACGUUCGUAGUCGGAUCGUCAAAGUCGACUUCCACCAAAGCGAUAUCCAUCAUCUCAUCGAAAGACGGGACACCUUUGCCUCUAUCAGCCUGCAGAAAAGUUAGUUCGCCCCAAUGCUUGUCGAUCCUGCACUUCACGUUCAGCUUUACAAGCAAGAUGGAAUAAACGAGUGAUAUUAGUAUACUCCUUAUAGUCUAGAAUGGUCUGAAUCUCUCUAUUUAAUCCACCCAGAAAACGUGCAAGCAUAGCUUCAUUCUCCUCAACAAUACCACAUCUAAUCAUGCCAGUUUGUAAUUCCUGAUAAUAUUCUUCUACAGAAUUUUUUCCUUGUCUUAAACGCUGCAAUUUUUGAAGCAAUUCACGUUGAUAAUAUGGUGGAACCCAACGCAUACGCAUAGCAGUUUUCAAAGCAGCCCAAGUAGUUGGAAUAGGAUAUAAUCUACAAUGUUCAGACCACCAUACACAUGCAAAACUAGUGAAAGCACAAACAGCAGCAGCAACUCGUCUCUCCUCAGGAUAUUGUAAACAUGUAAAUCGUUGUUCAGUUUCUAACUCCCAAGUAAGAUAUAUAUCAGGAACAUAUCUACCCUCAAAUGGUGGAAUAUUCAAUUUCAGUUUAGGAAUAUGGACAUCAUCGCGUACCUGAGGUGGUGGUGCAGGCCUACCAUUACGAAUAUAUACCUGAGGUCGACCUGCUGGUGGUGGUACAGGUGGUUGCACGUAGUGUUGAUUUUGAUCAACCUCAUCCUCAUAAUCUCCCACAUAAUCAUCCUCCUCCGCAUCAGCAGCAGGAGCCACAGAAGUAUCAACAGCAGCACCAACAGUUUGGCCAAACGCAAGAGGAACACGGCUUGCUCGGCGGAGGUCCGCUUCGCGACGUGGAGGUAGUCGUUGUUGUUGUUGUUGGAGAGGUGCGUUAGGUGCAGCGGGUGGUGGUGGUGGAAGACGCGCGAGCAAUUCAUUAAACUUGUUAUCGAGCUUUGUUUCGAACGUCUUCUCAAAGCCAGUGAUCUUCUCCAUGGCCUCUUCAAAAUUGUUCAGCACAUUUUGCACCUGUUCAGUCAUCAUUUGCUGAAACUUAUCAUGAAGCUCCUUGUUCGAUAAAUUCUCCCAGUCAAUCUCGUCGGCUUGUGAUCCUGGCAUGGUUAGCAGCAAUAGAAACACACAAGAAUAUGAUCCUACAGACUACGAGCAAGUGGUGGUGGUGGGUGUCACAAAUCCGUCAAGCAAAUCUCAAAUUCUUACCAGUUCUUACCCAGCAGCAGGCGGUGAUCGGCAACCGUUGUAGUCAAAAACUCUCAAAGCUUGGAUAGAACGAUUACCAGGGAGAGUCGAACACACGACGUAGAUGUAUGUGGAGCUGGGAAGGCUUAUAGUAUGGUAGCAAAAAGGGUCAGCAAUAAUCAAUUCAGAGAUGCAAAGUUGAAUAAACGCUCAACGACGGUACUGUGCUGGUCCUAGGCUAGACUGUGCUAGAGACGCGAGCCUAGAACACCAACAAAAUCACGGCGCGGCACGUAAACAAGGGAAAAGCACACUCUGAAUUUUUUUUUUCCGCUCUUUUUUUUUCCGAAACCUACUCCGGCAAGGAAACACGAAUCGGAAUCUAGAUUGAUCCCGAAAACAAACCUAAUAAGCAAGGAACUCGGAUUGGUGGUGGAUAUAUGGUGGUGGUAUAUGGCAGCGGUGGUAGUAUUUGGAUAUGGAUCGGUGGUGGUAUAUGGACACGGAUUGGUGGUGGUAUAUGGAUACGGAUUCGGAGCGGUGGUGGUAGAUGGCAGGGGCGAUGAUGAUGGUGCGGCGACGGUGUGACAACUUGUGAACAGAACUCGAAACUCUAAAAGACUAGACGCUAAGACCAGCAACUGAACACGACGAUGCAACCGCAAAUUCAACAAAGCAAAUACAGAAAAGAUAAUGCAAGGCUCAGAUUGGUUUGGAUGGGAUGAACUAACCCUAAUUUUUUUUUGGCUUUUUCGUGGACUAUAGGUAUGAAGAACAGACUCGAUCUAAACUACGAAAAACUGUAAAAUCUCACCGAGCAACCUGGAAAUCUGAUACCACUUGAUAGAGGCAAAGGUGUCCCGUCUUUCGAUGAGAUGGUGGAUUUCGCUUUGGUGGAAGUCGACUUUGACGAUCCGACUACGAACGUGUGAGGACGUCGCGCCUUAGCAAUCGCUAAACCAACUCCGAGAGGUUAUUGACCACGCCGGAGCACGAUCAACCUGACCACGAGGGUCUGUUUCCUGCGAGCAAACGAAGAACAAGCAAGAAACUGAGAUUGCAAUCUGGAUAUUGCGAAUAUAAGAUGAAAGCUUUAUUGAUCAAGGUGGGGUUCUGUGACGCCUUUGUCUGGUCGUUGAACACAAACGAAGUACGCGAAGUUGCAGCUAUGGCGAACUUUUAAUCUAAACAAAACCCAAAUUCUAAACGAUGCCCUAAGGGCUGUAUAUAUGGAGGAAGAGGGGGGGAAUUUCGUGGCCCUUGGUGGAGGGGUCCGAAAUCAACCCUAUCUCUUGUUUCCCCACACAUACGGACUCUAAAAAUAGCCUAUACUUAUGUAUUUCGAAAUUACAUGGGCCUGGCCCAAUAAUAAGGUGACGCAGCACCUAAAAUAGCCUCGGAACGAAAUUUAUGAAGUGGCAUCUUGUAUAUUUCGUCCAAGGCUUCAUGCACCCAUUAUGGUGGCUUCAAAGUCCUGAAAUCAUCACUUGUAACUCCGUUCUUGUUCUUGCUCCAAUGUUCAUCCUUCUCCAAGCUAGGCCCUUCAUUUGUAAGCAAAACAAAUGUAUCCAAUUUAGGCAGCAUCAUAUUCUCAUGAACAUUAGAAUCAUUACCAAGAAACGAAAGUACCUGGUAGUUUAGUUGGCGUGCACGAGCUCUAGUAAUUGGUCCAGUAUGUAUAGCAGCAGGGGCUGUGGGUGUAACAAUUGUAUUGAUGUCCUCAUCAGGGAGGGAUAGCAUAUUUGUUGUCGUGGAUAGAUUCUCGAAAAUGGCACACUUUAUACCAUGUCAUAAAAGCGAUGAUGCUGUUAAUGUUGCUGAUUUGUUCUUUCGUGAAAUUAUUCGCUUGCAUGGUGUGCCAAAUACUAUUGUUUCAGAUCGUGAUACUAAAUUUCUUAGCCACUUUUGGAGAUGUUUAUGGGCUAAGUUGGGGACUAAACUGCUUUUUAGUACUACUUGUCACCCCCAAACUGAUGGACAAACUGAAGUAGUCAAUAGAACGUUGUCUACUAUGCUUAGGGCUGUUUUGAAGAAUAAUAAGAAAAUGUGGGAGGAAUGCUUGCCUCAUAUUGAAUUUGCUUAUAAUCGUUCAUUGCAUUCUACUACUAAGAUGUGCCCUUUUGAAGUUGUGUAUGGUUUCCUACCUCGUGCACCUAUUGAUUUGUUGCCUCUUCCAUCUUCGGAGAAGGUUAAUUUUGAUGCUAAACAACGUGUUGAAUUGAUUUUAAAAAUGCAUGAGUUAACUAAGUGAUAGAGGCAAAGGUGUCCCGUCUUUCGAUGAGAUGGAGGAUUUCGCUUUGGUGGAAGUCGACUUUGACGAUCCGACUACGAACGUGCGAGGACGUCGCGCCUUAGCAAUCGCUAAACCAACUCCGAGAGGUUAUUGACCACGCCGGAGCACGAUCAACCUGACCACGAAGGUCUGUUUCCUGCGAGCAAACGAAGAACAAGCAAGAAACUAAGAUUGCAAUCUGGAUAUUGCGAAUAUAAGAUGAAAGCUUUAUUGAUCAAGGUGGGGUUCUGUGACGCCUUUGUCUGGUCGUUGAACACAAACGAAGUACGCGAAGUUGCAGCUAUGGCGAACUUUUAAUCUAAACAAAACCCAAAGUCUAAACGAUGCCCUAAGGGCUGUAUAUAUGGAGGAAGAGGGGGGGAAUUUCGUGGCCCUUGGUGGAGGGGUCCGAAAUCAACCCUAUCUCUUGUUUCCCCACACAUACGGACUCUAAAUAUAGCCUAUACUUAUGUAUUUCGAAAUUACAUGGGCCUGGCCCAAUAAUAAGGUGACGCAGCACCUAAAAUAGCCUCGGGACGAAAUUUAUGAAGUGGCAUCUUGUAUAUUUCGUCCAAGGCUUCAUGCACCCAUUAUGGUGGCUUCAAAGUCCUGAAAUCAUCACUUGUAACUCCGUUCUUGUUUUCCUUGCGCAUGCCAUCAUCUCCAUGCUUGUUCUUGCUCCAAUGUUCAUCCUUCUCCAAGCUAGGCCCUUCAUUUGUAAGAAAAACAAAUGUAUCCAAUUUAGGCAGCAUCAUAUUCUCAUGAACAUUAGAAUCAUUACCAAGAAACGAAAGUACCUGGUAAUUUAGUUGGCGUGCACGAGCUCUAGUAAUUGGUCCAGUAUGUAUGGCAGCAGGGGCUGUGGGUGUAACAAUUGUAUUGAUGUCCUCAUCACCAAGCUUUGAGAGUUUUUGACUACAACGGUUGCCGAUCACCGCCUGCUGCUGGGUAAGAACUGGUAAGAAUUUGAGAUUUGCUUGACGGAUUUGUGAUACACCACCACCACUUCUUAGUAGUCUGUAGGAUCAUAUUCUUGUGUGUUUCUAUUGCUGCUAACCAUGCCAGGAUCACAAGCCGACGAGAUUGACUGGGAGAACUUAUCGAACAAGGAGCUUCAUGAUAAGUUUCAGCAAAUGAUGACUGAACAGGUACAAGAUGUGCUGAACAAUUUUGAAGAGGCCAUGGAGAAGAUCACUGGCCUUGAGAAGACGUUCGAAACAAAGCUCGAUAACAGAUUUAAUGAACUGCUUGCGCGUCUUCCACCACCGGCUGCACCUGUCGCACCUCUGCAACAACAACAACUACGCCCCCUUCCGAAUCAGUAUGGACGAGCACAGCGUGUUCCUAUUGAGCCAGGACAAAAUUCUGGUGCCGCUACUACUGCUGUUGGUGUUUCUUUGGCUCCUGCUACUGCUGCUGCUGGUACCCAGGAGGAUGAUGAUAGAGGCAAAGGUGUCCCGUCUUUCGAUGAGAUGAUGGAUAUCGCUUUGGUGGAAGUCGACUUUGACGAUCCGACUACGAACGUGCGAGGACGUCGCGCCUUAGCAAUCGCUAAACCAACUCCGAGAGGUUAUUGACCACGCCGGAGCACGAUCAACCUGACCACGAGGGUCUGUUUCCUGCGAGCAAACGAAGAACAAGCAAGAAACUGAGAUUGCAAUCUGGAUAUUGCGAAUAUAAGAUGAAAGCUUUAUUGAUCAAGGUGGGGUUCUGUGACGCCUUUGUCUGGUCGUUGAACACAAACGAAGUACGCGAAGUUGCAGCUAUAGCGAACUUUUAAUCUAAACAAAACCCAAAGUCUAAACGAUGCCCUAAGGGCUGUAUAUAUGGAGGAAGAGGGGGGAAUUUCGUGGCCCUUGGUGGAGGGGUCCGAAAUCAACCCUAUCUCUUGUUUCCCCACACAUACGGACUCUAAAAAUAGCCUAUACUUAUGUAUUUCGAAAUUACAUGGGCCUGGCCCAAUAAUAAGGUGACGCAGCACCUAAAAUAGCCUCGGGACGAAAUUUAUGAAGUGGCAUCUUGUAUAUUUCGUCCAAGGCUUCAUGCACCCAUUAUGGUGGCUUCAAAGUCCUGAAAUCAUCACUUGUAACUCCGUUCUUGUUUUCCUUGCGCAUGCCAUCAUCUCCAUGCUUGUUCUUGCUCCAAUGUUCAUCCUUCUCCAAGCUAGGCCCUUCAUUUGUAAGAAAAACAAAUGUAUCCAAUUUAGGCAGCAUCAUAUUCUCAUGAACAUUAGAAUCAUUACCAAGAAACGAAAGUACCUGGUAAUUUAGUUGGCGUGCACGAGCUCUAGUAAUUGGUCCAGUAUGUAUGGCAGCAGGGGCUGUGGGUGUAACAAUUGUAUUGAUGUCCUCAUCAAAGAGGGAGAGAGAAAAAAAGAUAGAGAAAAAAAACGAGAGAAAAAAAAGUAAAAAAAAAGUCAAAGAAAAAAAAGAAAGGAAAAGAAAAAAAAGUGUGAGAAAAAAAGAGAGGAGAAAAAAAAAACAAAAUUCGGAUCUAUCUAGACUCAAUCUCGUAGUUGAAUUCGGAUUGGAAUCUGUUUUGUGCACUGUUCAGUAAAACAGGCAUAACUUCCUCAUAUGAAGUCUGUUUUGGCUCCGCGAGUACUCAAAUGAAAGCUAGCGAUGAGACGCAUCUAAAUAGUUGCAGAAGCUAGUUCAGUAUUUGGCACCUCAACAUCAGCUUCUAAAUAGGUCUACUGCUAUUGUGAUCUUCACUUAUAUCUUGCUGUCCAGGGCUACUUCAUAUCCUUUGUUGAUGCUAGUUGUGCUACGACGUGACCUCAUUAGUGUUCUAGGCUCGCGUCUCUAGUUUGGUCUAGCCUAGGACCAGCACAGUACCGUCGUUGAGCGUUUAUUCAACAUUGCAUCUUUGAAUUGAUUAUUGCUAAUCUUUUGCUACCAUAUAUAGCCAACCCAGCUCCACAUAUUUCUACACCGUGUAUACGUACGCUCCCCUGGCAAUCGCUUUAUUCAAUAUUCGGAGUUACUUGACACCGCUGGUUGCCGAUCACCGCCUGCUGCAUGGUAAGAACUUGUAAGACAUUGAUAUUUGCUUUACUGUGAGCGUUUUACCACCACAUCCUAGUAGUUAUAGGAACAUUAUUUUUGGGUUUUGUUUCUUGUUCUACUAAUCAUGACAGGAUCCAGAGUCAAUUCAUGGGCUUUGUCGAUCGAGGGAGACAUGCCACCACCUUGGCAAAUAGCACAACCGUCACGAGAGGUGCACAAACAUCCAAAUGCACAUGAUCAGGUUAAUGUAUCUAUACCACCAUUUAAUGGCCGUUUUAAACCUGCUUUAUAUAUUGAAUGGGAGUUUGACAUAAAAAAUAUAUUUGCUUCCCAUAAUUUCAAUGAACAUAAAAAGGUUAAGGUUGCGGUUGGUUCUUUCACUGGUUAUGCUUUGGUUUGGUGGAGUGAAUAUUGUCGGUUACACCCUGAUUAUAUACCUACUACUUGGGAUGAUUUGAAACUUGCCAUGCGACAUACUUUCGUCCCUGCUUAUUAUACUCGUGACAUGAUUAAGAAGUUGCAACACUUAAAACAAGGUAGUGAAACUGUAACAAAAUAUUAUGAUGAUUUACAAACUACCUUGUUGCAUUCCUCUUUAGAAGAAAGUGAAGAUGAUUUUAUGAAUAGAUUUUGGGGAGGAUUAAACCGUGAUAUUCAAGAGAUACUAAUUCAUGAAGAGUGUUAUCCUAUGGACCAUUUGUUUCAUCUUGCUUGCAAAGCUGAACAGGAAAUAAAACGACGUGUUGGCCACGAGGAGAACAAGCACACGGUGCACAUUCCAAGAGUUGAUAUGAUUGUUCCUUCAACUACUAGGCAUACUAUGACAACCACAUCCGUUGUUGUCAGGACUACAUCACCUCCACCAUGUGACACAUCACCCCCGAGAGUGGCUACAUCAUCUGAGUUGAUCAUAAGAGGUAAUGACAAAGGUACUGAUCUUCCAUCUCUACAUGAGAAUGAUGAAUGCCUUGUCAAUUUGAAUGCACCAUCUGAUGAGCUACCCACUACUUUGAUCACACCACCUAUUUUAGAGGACUACGUUGAUAAUUUGACUUUGCCAUGUGAUCAAACAACUGAAAUACCAACAAUUUUGAGUGCACCCAUUGAAUUAACUAUUGAUGCAAAAGAACCAAUGUUUAAUCAUUUUGAUAUGACCUCUAAUCUUGGUGAUGAUUCUGUGUUGAAUGACUUAUUGCAUGUUUGCGUAUUUAAGCAUGUUGUAGCAUGUAAAUUUGAUGCAAGUAAGGUUUAUUCACCAAUGUUGGGAUGGUUUAAUGAUGAACAUUGUCAAUCUUUUGAAAUGAAUAAGAGCUUCACUUAUAUGUGCAAACUGAGUUGCAAUAUUUUCAUGCCUUCUACUUCUUGUGCUACUUUUUUGGCUUUAGAUUUUAUGAACUAUGCAAGUUACUCAUCUAUUCAUGUGUCAUAUAUGCAAAAAUCAAGGGAAGUAAAAAUGGAUGACAUAUACAUAUACAACAUGUACACCUUGUCUCUUUUGUUAGCCACAUUUCAGAUUAAGCAACGCCGAGGACGGCUUUAUUUUCAAGAAGGGGAGGAUGAUGAGGACAUGACUACCUUGGAUAUGACCAAAAAUAUUGCAUAUAUGCAUAUUUGUCAGGUGAUUUCUACUGCAAACUAUUCAAUAAUCUAUUUAUGUUAUCCAGAACAAAAAUACUUCACACACUUUUGUGUUUUGUCUAAUUGCAGGUGUAUGGGACAUUUGUACAAUCCACAUAUGAAGAUAAGGAAGAAAGAGAUGUUUAUUUGCUGUCCAAAAAGUUCUCUCACGUCACUUUUGGCCCAACAAGAGAUAGAGUCCAAGUCUAUCACGUUCUGGAUUCAGAUUCGGACUGCACAGACAUACCUGACUGAAAACGCACACAAGUUUUUCAUACGGACUCCGAAUUGGGUGAUUCUUUUUUUGUUGGAAACUAGAUUUCGUGAACUUUCCAACCCAAUUGGAAUCACCUUCAAAUUCGUCCAGAGCGUUGAGUUGUGGACGAAACAAUCUGAUGCUACAGCAGAAUCCGAGUAAAACUACAAGUCCAAAGGUGUUACAUCACCUUCACUUGGGCCCAUUGGCCUUGUACGACCUAGAUUUAGUUUUAGGCUGCCUUGGGACGUCCUCCCACCUCCUUGGCCGCCACCCCUUUGAUAGAGGUGGAGGUGUCCCGUCUUUCAAUGAGAUGAUGGAUUUCGCUUUGGUGGAAGUCGACUUUGACGAUCCGACUACGAACGUGCGAGGACAUCGCGCCUUAGCAAUCGCUAAACCAACUCCGAGAGGUUAUUGACCACGCCGGAGCACGAUCAACCUGACCACGAGGGUCUGUUUCCUGCGAGCAAACGAAGAACAAGCAAGAAACUGAGAUUGCAAUCUGGAUAUUGCGAAUAUAAGAUGAAAGCUUUAUUGAUCAAGGUGGGGUUCUGUGACGCCUUUGUCUGGUCGUUGAACACAAACGAAGUACGCGAAGUUGCAUCUAUGGCGAACUUUUAAUCUAAACAAAACCCAGAGUCUAAACGAUGCCCUAAGGGCUGUAUAUAUGGAGGAAGAGGGGGGAAUUUCGUGGCCCUUGGUGGAGGGGUCCGAAAUCAACCCUAUCUCUUGUUUCCCCACACAUACGGACUCUAAAAAUAGCCUAUACUUAUGUAUUUCGAAAUUACAUGGGCCUGGCCCAAUAAUAAGGUGACGCAGCACCUAAAAUAUCCUCGGGACGAAAUUUAUGAAGUGGCAUCUUGUAUAUUUUGUCCAAGGCUUCAUGCACCCAUUAUGGUGGCUUCAAAGUCCUGAAAUCAUCACUUGUAACUCCGUUCUUGUUCCCCUUGCGCAUGCCAUCAUCUCCAUGCUUGUUCUUGCUCCAAUGUUCAUCCUUCUCCAAGCUAGGCCCUUCAUUUGUAAGCAAAACAAAUGUAUCCAAUUUAGGCAGCAUCAUAUUCUCAUGAACAUUAGAAUCAUUACCAAGAAACGAAAGUACCUGGUAAUUUAGUUGGCGUGCGCGAGCUCUAGUAAUUGGUCCAGUAUGUAUAGCAGCAGGGCCUGUGGGUGUAACAAUGGUAUUGAUGUCCUCAUCAUCCUCCCCUUCUUGAAAUGAAGUCGUCCUCGACGGAAACUCAUCUUCCUCACCCAAAUAAGGCUUCAAAUCUGCAAUGUUAAAAGUGGGACUAACCCCAAAAUCUGCAGGCAGCUCUAGUUUAUAUGCAUUAUCAUUUAUUUUCUCGAACACCUUAAAGGGACCAUCAGCACGUGGCAUUAGCUUUGAUUUGCGCAAAUCAGGAAAUCUAUCCUUACGCAAAUGUAACCAAACAAGAUCUCCAGGUGCAAACACAACAUGUUUUCUACCCUUAUCUCCAGCAAGUUUAUUUUUAGCAUUCAUACGCUCAAUGUUUUCCUUAGUUAACUCAUGCAUUUUUAAAAUCAAUUCAGCACGUUGUUUAGCAUCAAAAUUAACCUUCUCCGAAGAUGGAAGAGGCAACAAAUCAAUAGGUGCACGAGGUAGGAAACCAUACACAACUUCAAAAGGGCACAUCUUAGUAGUAGAAUGCAAUGAACGAUUAUAAGCAAAUUCAAUAUGAGGCAAGCAUUCCUCCCACAUUUUCUUAUUAUUCUUCAAAACAGCCCUAAGCAUAGUAGACAACGUUCUAUUGACUAUUUCAGUUUGUCCAUCAGUUUGGGGGUGACAAGUAGUACUAAAAAGCAGUUUAGUCCCCAACUUAGCCCAUAAACAUCUCCAAAAGUGGCUAAGAAAUUUAGUAUCACGAUCUGAAACAAUAGUAUUUGGCACACCAUGCAAGCGAAUAAUUUCACGAAAGAACAAAUCAGUAACAUUAACAGCAUCAUCGCUUUUAUGACAUGGUAUAAAGUGUGCCAUUUUCGAGAAUCUAUCCACGACAACAAAUAUGCUAUCCCUCCCCUUCUUUGUUCGAGGUAAACCUAAAACAAAGUACAUAGAUAUAUCCUCCCAAGGAACACUAGGUACAGGCAAAGGCAUAUAUAAACCAUGAGGAUUGAGUCGUGACUUAGCUUUUUGACAUGUAGUGCAUCGAGCAAUAAAACGCUCAACAUCCCGUCUCAUCUUUGGCCAAAAGAAAUGUGUAGCAAGUACGUCCUCCGUCUUCUUCACGCCAAAGUGUCCCAUUAAUCCUCCUCCAUGCGCCUCCUGCAACAACAAAAGACGAACGGAGCUAGCUAGAAUGCAUAGCUUGUUAGCACGAACCACAAAUCCAUCGUUAACGACGAACUUGUUCCACAUUCUUCCUUCUUUACAAUUCUGCAUUACAUCUUUAAAAUCAGCAUCAUGCACAUAUUGAUCUUUGAUGGUCUCCAAACCAAAUAUUUUGAAGUCAAGUUGUGAAAGCAUAGUAUAGCGGCGAGACAAUGCAUCAGCAAUAACAUUUUCUUUUCCCUUCUUGUGUUUAAUGACAUAAGGAAAAGUCUCAAUGAAUUCAACCCAUUUAGCAUGCCUACUAUUCAAUUUAGCUUGACUUUUAAUAUGUUUCAAAGAUUCAUGAUCAGAAUGUAUAACAAAUUCUUUGGGCCAUAAAUAAUGUUGCCAUGUUUCUAAAGUCCGAACAAGAGCAUAUAAUUCUUUAUCCUAAGCAGAAUAAUUCAGACUAGGCCCACUCAAUUUUUCAGAAAAGCAUGCAACAGGUUUGCCAUCUUGUAAUAACACACCGCCUAAUCCAAUUCCACUAGCAUCACAUUCAAGCUCAAAAGUCUUAUUAAAAUCAGGAAGUUGGAGUAAAGGAGCAUGUGUCAACUUAUCUUUCAAUACCGAGAAGGCUUCUUCCUGUGCGGUACCCUAAAGAAAAGGCACAUCUUUCUUUGUAAGCUCAUUGAGAGGUGCAGCAAUGGUGCUAAAAUCUCUCACAAAACGCCUAUAGAAUCCAGCGAGGCCAAGAAAACUCCUCACGUGUGUGACCGUUUUGGACUGCGGCCAACUCUCAGUAGCUUCAAUCUUGGCUUUAUCAACUUCAAUUCCCUGUGGAGUAACAACAUAGCCAAGAAAAGAUACUCGGUCGGUGCAAAAGGUGCACUUCCCAAGGUUACCAAACAAACGUGCAUCACGUAAAGCAAUAAAAACAGCACGUAAAUGUUCCAAAUGUUCUUCCAAAGAUCUGUUAUAAAUCAAUAUGUCAUCCAAGUAAACUACCACAAAUCGUCCAAUGAAAGCACGUAAAACUUCGUUCAUUAAUCUCAUGAAAGUACUAGGUGCAUUAGUUAACCCAAAAGGCAUGACUAACCACUCAUAUAAUCCAAACUUAGUUUUAAAUGUUGUUUUCCAUUCAUCUCCCAAUUUCAUACGAAUUUGAUGGUAGCCACUACGCAAAUCAACUUUGGAGAAUAUUGUAGAGCCACUCAAUUCAUCAAGCAUAUCAUCUAGCCUAGGAAUAGGAUGACGAUAACGAAUAGUAAUAUUAUUAAUGCCUCUACAAUCAACACACAUACGUGAUGUACCAUCCUUUUUCGGCACUAGAAUAAGAGGAACAACACAAGGACUAAGGGAUUCGCGUAUAUAACCUUUGUCGAGAAGCUCUUGUACUUGACGCAUAAUCUCCUUCGUCUCCUCUGGAUUGGUAUGGUAUGGUGCACGGUUUGGCAGUGAAGCACCGGGAAUUUAGUCGAUCUGAUGCUCAAUCCCUCGAAUAGGUGGUAAUCCCGGUGGCACGUCUUGUGGAAAGACGUCAGCGAACUCCUGCAAAAUGUUAGUGAUAGCAGGAGGCAAAGAGGAAGGCACGUCCUUGAAUGAAAAUAAUGCCUCUUUGCACACAAAAGCAUAGCAAACAGAUUUGCUGAAAUCUAGCUCAUCAAUAUCAGAUUUGGUGGCAAAUAAACAUGCACUUUUCAAUUUAAUUUCAGAAGCAACACUAGAUGGUUUAUUAUUAGGCUUCAUUUGUUGCUCAAAUUCUUUUGCCACAAUCUGAUUUUCACUCUUAUUCUUCUCUUGUUGUGCUUUAUUAGCUCUAUGAAUAUCAUCUUUCAAAAUAGAAUCAGGAGUCAUAGGAAGCAAAGUAAUAUUUUUAUCCUUAUGAACAAGAGUAUACUGAUUGUUUCUACCAUGGUGUACAGAAUUUUUAUCAAAUUGCCAUGGUCUACCAAGUAAUAAGGAACAUGCUUGCGUAGGUACCACAUCACAAUCAACAUAAUCAGCAUAUGUGGAUAUACUAAAAGGCACACGAACAGUACGUGUUACCUUAACCUUGCCGCUGUUGUUGAACCAUUGGAUGUAGUAAGGAUGUGGAUGUGGUCUUGUGGUGAGAGAAAUCUUGUCCACCAUCUCCAUGCUAGCCAAGUUGUUGCAGCUCCCUCCAUCUAUGAUGACGCGCACAGAACGUUCUUUCACAACUCCCUUGGUAUGGAACAAAUUGUGCCUCUGAUUUUGCUCAGCUUGUGUGACCUGCACACUCAAAACAUGUUGAGCAACUAAACUUUCAUACCUGCCAGCGUCUUCAGGAGCCAUGUAUUGCGUCUCAUGAUCAGAAUCAUCUCCACCAUGUUCUUCACGUGUAAUAAGAGCCAAAGUCUCCUCAUCAUAGUCACUAGCGGACUCAUAUCCACCAUCCGCGGUAGCAAUCAUCACACGCGGAGAUUUGCAUUCUCUCGCAUAAUGACCUCCUCCCUUACAACGACGACAAAUAAUAUCACUUGUGUGCCCUGUUGAUGCCAUGGAAGAAGAAGAACUCCGUGCAGGCCCAGCAGGUGCGCUCUUGGCAGAUAAUGGUGGUUGUGCCUGUUUUCUUGUAUCACGACUGGAGGAGGCACCUAAUUGAGGUGCUGGUGCAGUUGAAGUAGAAGAUGCACGCGGUGUCCAUGAUGAAGGUCGGCCUGCAGAAAAGUUAGUUCGCGCCAAUGCUUGUCGAUCCUGCACUUCACGUUCAGCUUUACAAGCAAGAUGGAAUAAAUGAGUGAUAUUAGUAUACUCCUUAUAGUCUAGAAUGGUCUGAAUCUCUCUAUUUAAUCCACCCAGAAAACGUGCAAGCAUAGCUUCAUUCUCCUCAACAAUACCACAUCUAAUCAUGCCAGUUUGUAAUUCCUGAUAAUAUUCUUCUACAGAAUUUUUUCCUUGUCUUAAGCGCUGUAAUUUUUGAAGCAAUUCACGUUGAUAAUAUGGUGGAACCCAACGAGUACGCAUAGCAGUUUUCAAAGCAGCCCAAGUAGCGGGAAUAGGAUAUAAUCUACAAUGUUCAGACCACCAUACACAUGCAAAACUAGUGAAAGCACAAACAGCAGCAGCAACCCGUCUCUCCUCGGGAUAUUGUAAACAUGUAAAACGUUGUUCAGUUUCUAACUCCCAAGUAAGAUAUAUAUCAGGAACAUAUCUACCCUCAAAUGGUGGAAUGUUCAAUUUCAGUUUAGGAAUAUGGACAUCAUCUCGUACCUGAGGUGGUGGUGCGGGCCUACCAUUACGAAUAUAUACCUGAGGUCGACCUGGUGGUGGUGGUGCUGGUGGCUGCACGUAGUUCGGAUUUUGAUCAACCUCAUCCUCAUAAUCUCCCACAUAAUCAUCAUCCUCCUGGGUACCAGCAGCAGUAGUAGCAGGAGCCAAAGAAGCACCAACAGCAGUAGCAGCGGCACCAGAAUGUUGUCCUGGCUCAAUAGGAACAUGCUGUGCUCGUCCAUACUGAUUCGGAAGGGGGCGUAGUUGUUGUUGUUGCAGAGGUGCGACAGGUGCAGCCGGUGGUGGAAGACGCGCAAGCAGUUCAUUAAAUCUGUUAUCGAGCUUUGUUUCGAACGUCUUCUCAAGGCCAGUAAUCUUCUCCAUGGCCUCUUCAAAAUUAUUCAGCACAUCUUGCACCUGAUCAGUCAUCAUGUGCUGAAACUUAUCAUGAAGCUCCUUGUUCGAUAAAUUCUCCCAGUCAAUCUCGUCGGCUUGUGAUCCUGGCAUGGUUAGCAGCAAUAGAAACAAACAAGAAUAUGAUCCUACAGACUACGAACAAGUGGUGGUGGUGGGUGUCACAAAUCCGUCAAGCAAACCUCAAAUUCUUACCAGUUCUUACCCAGCAGAAGGUGGUGAUCGGCAACCGUUGUAGUCAAAACUCUCAAAGCUUGGAUAGAGCGAUUACCAGGGAGAGUCAAACGCACGACGUAGAUGUAUGUGGAGCUGGGAAGGCUUAUAAUAUGGUAGCAAAAAGGGUCAGCAAUAAUCAAUUCAGAGAUGCAAAGUUGAAUAAACGCUCAACGACGGUACUGUGCUGGUCCUAGGCUAGACUGUGCUAGAGACGCGAGCCUAGAACACCAACAAAAUCACGGCGCGGCACGUAAACAAGGGAAAAGCACACUCUGAAUUUUUUUUCACUCUUUUUUUUUGCGCUCUCUUUUUUUUGCGCUGCUUUUUUUUGCGAAAAAUCACUAUAAUGGCGAGUGUCUCAAAACUCUUCCUAGCUCAAACGGACAGGAUGGGCACGAAAUUUUUUCGACCAAUUUUUUUUUCGACUGCCCGGACCCAAAAACUGGAAACGGGUCAAAAAAAACUUCCUAUAAUGGCACCUGUCUCAAAACACUCAGAAACACCUAAAAAUAGGAUAGCCAGAAAUUUUUUCGAAAAAUGCGUUGUCGAAUUUUUUUUUUCCGAAACCUACUCUGGCAAGGAAACACGAAUCGGAAUCUAGAUGGAUCUCAAAAACAAACCUAAUAUGCAAGGAACUCGGAUUGGUGGUGGAUAUAUGGUGGUGGUAUAUGGCAGCGGUGGUGGUAGCGGUGGUAGUAUAUGGAUAUGGAUCGGUGGUGGUAUAUGGACACGGAUUGGUGGUGGUAUAUGGAUACGGAUUCGGAGCGGUGGCGGAUAAGCGGUGGUGGUAGAUGGCAGGGGCGAUGAUGAUGGUGCGGCGGCGGCGUGACAACUUAUGACCAGAACUCGAAACUCUAAAAGACUAGACUCUAAGACCAGCAACUAGACACGACGAUGCAACCGCAAAUUCAACAAAGCAAAACCCUAAAAAGAUUAUGCAAAGGCUCAGAUUGGUUCGGAUAUGAUGAACUAACCCUAAUUUUUUUUGUGGUUUUUUCGUGGACUGUAGGUAUGAAGAACAGACUCGAUCUAAACUACGAAAAACUGUAAAAUCUCACCGAGCAACCUGGAAAUCUGAUACCACUUGAUAGAGGCGGAGGUGUCCCGUCUUUCGAUGAGAUGAUGGAUUUCGCUUUGCGGGAAGUCGACUUUGACGAUCCGACUACGAACGUGCGAGGACGUCGCGCCUUAGCAAUCGCUAAACCAACUCCGAGAGGUUAUUGACCACGCCGGAGCACGAUCAACCUGACCACGACGGUCUGUUUCCUGCGAGCAAACAAAGAACAAGCAAGAAACUGAGAUUGCAAUCUGGAUAUUGCGAAUAUAAGAUGAAAGCUUUAUUGAUCAAGGUGGGGUUCUGUGACGCCUUUGUCUGGUCGUUGAACACAAACGAAGUACGCGAAGUUGCAGCUAUGGCGAACUUUUAAUCUAAACAAAACCCAAAGUCUAAACGAUGCCCUAAGGGCUGUAUAUAUGGAGGAAGAGGGGGGAAUUUCGUGGCCCUUGGUGGAGGGGUCCGAAUUCAACCCUAUCUCUUGUUUCCCCACACAUACGGACUCUAAAAAUAGCCUAUACUUAUGUAUUUCGAAAUUACAUGGGCCUGGCCCAAUAAUAAGGUGACGCAGCACCUAAAAUAGCCUCGGGACGAAAUUUAUGAUGUGGCAUCUUGUAUAUUUCGUCCAAGGCUUCAUGCACUCAUUAUGGUGGCUUCAAAGUCCUGAAAUCAUCACUUGUAACUCCGUUCUUGUUCCCCUUGCGCAUGCCAUCAUCUCCAUGCUUGUUCUUGCUCCAAUGUUCAUCCAUCUCCAAGCUAGGCCCUUCAUUUGUAAGCAAAACAAAUGUAUCCAAUUUAGGCAGCAUCAUAUUCUCAUGAACAUUAGAAUCAUUACCAAGAAACGAAAGUACCUGGUAAUUUAGUUGGCGUGCGCGAGCUCUAGUAAUUGGUCCAGUAUGUAUAGCAGCAGGGCCUGUGGGUGUAACAAUGGUAUUGAUGUCCUUAUCACCCUUGCUCCUAUAUAAGUAGAUCCAUCUAGUAGCUUUUCCUUGGGAUUUGUUUAGUUAAAAGUUAGCCAUUGCAACUUCGUGUACUACGUUUGUGUCCAACGACCAGACCAAGACCGCUUCCGGAUCCCCACCAUUAUCAAUACUUCAUAUUUAUUUGCAAUAUUCAGAUUGCUUUAUCAUAUUCUUACUAGUUCUUCGAUUGCUUGCAGGAAUAGACCUUCGUGGUCAGGCUAACCGUGCUUCCAGCAUCGUCAGUAACCUCAGGAGAUUGGUUUAGCGAUUGCUAAGGCGCAACGUCGUGCACGUUUGUAGUCGGAUCGUCAAAGUCGUCUCCACCAAAUCGAUAGUUAUCAUCUCAUCGAAAGAUCGGGACCCUCGCCUCUAUCAUUUCUAGUGCAAACUAUUCAAUAAUCUAUUUAUGUUAUCCAGAACAAAAAUACUUCACACACUUUUGUGUUUUGUCUAAUUGCAGGUGUAUGGGACAUUUGUACAAUCCACAUAUGAAGAUAAGGAAGAAAGAGAUGUUUAUUUGCUGUCCAAAAAGUUCUCUCACGUCACUUUUGGCCCAACAGAAGAUAGAGUCCAAGUCUCUCACGUUCUGGAUUCAGAUUCGGACUGCACAGACAUACCUGACUCAAAACGCACACAAGUUUUUCAUAUGGAAUCCGAAUUGGGCACACAAGUACCAGGCCAAUUAAAUUAUCAGGUACUUUCGUUUCUUGGUAAUGAUUCUAAUGUUCAUGAGAAUAUGAUGCUGCCUAAAUUGGAUACAUUUGAGAAAGUACCCAAUUCGGAUUCCGUAUGAAAAACUUGUGUGCGUNNNNNNNNNNNNNNNNNNNNNNNNNNNNNNNNNNNNNNNNNNNNNNNNNNNNNNNNNNNNNNNNNNNNNNNNNNNNNNNNNNNNNNNNNNNNNNNNNNNNNNNNNNNNNNNNNNNNNNNNNNNNNNNNNNNNNNNNNNNNNNNNNNNNNNNNNNNNNNNNNNNNNNNNNNNNNNNNNNNNNNNNNNNNNNNNNNNNNNNNNNNNNNNNNNNNNNNNNNNNNNNNNNNNNNNNNNNNNNNNNNNNNNNNNNNNNNNNNNNNNNNNNNNNNNNNNNNNNNNNNNNNNNNNNNNNNNNNNNNNNNNNNNNNNNNNNNNNNNNNNNNNNNNNNNNNNNNNNNNNNNNNNNNNNNNNNNNNNNNNNNNNNNNNNNNNNNNNNNNNNNNNNNNNNNNNNNNNNNNNNNNNNNNNNNNNNNNNNNNNNNNNNNNNNNNNNNNNNNNNNNNNNNNNNNNNNNNNNNNNNNNNNNNNNNNNNNNNNNNNNNNNNNNNNNNNNNNNNNNNNNNNNNNNNNNNNNNNNNNNNNNNNNNNNNNNNNNNNNNNNNNNNNNNNNNNNNNNNNNNNNNNNNNNNNNNNNNNNNNNNNNNNNNNNNNNNNNNNNNNNNNNNNNNNNNNNNNNNNNNNNNNNNNNNNNNNNNNNNNNNNNNNNNNNNNNNNNNNNNNNNNNNNNNNNNNNNNNNNNNNNNNNNNNNNNNNNNNNNNNNNNNNNNNNNNNNNNNNNNNNNNNNNNNNNNNNNNNNNNNNNNNNNNNNNNNNNNNNNNNNNNNNNNNNNNNNNNNNNNNNNNNNNNNNNNNNNNNNNNNNNNNNNNNNNNNNNNNNNNNNNNNNNNNNNNNNNNNNNNNNNNNNNNNNNNNNNNNNNNNNNNNNNNNNNNNNNNNNNNNNNNNNNNNNNNNNNNNNNNNNNNNNNNNNNNNNNNNNNNNNNNNNNNNNNNNNNNNNNNNNNNNNNNNNNNNNNNNNNNNNNNNNNNNNNNNNNNNNNNNNNNNNNNNNNNNNNNNNNNNNNNNNNNNNNNNNNNNNNNNNNNNNNNNNNNNNNNNNNNNNNNNNNNNNNNNNNNNNNNNNNNNNNNNNNNNNNNNNNNNNNNNNNNNNNNNNNNNNNNNNNNNNNNNNNNNNNNNNNNNNNNNNNNNNNNNNNNNNNNNNNNNNNNNNNNNNNNNNNNNNNNNNNNNNNNNNNNNNNNNNNNNNNNNNNNNNNNNNNNNNNNNNNNNNNNNNNNNNNNNNNNNNNNNNNNNNNNNNNNNNNNNNNNNNNNNNNNNNNNNNNNNNNNNNNNNNNNNNNNNNNNNNNNNNNNNNNNNNNNNNNNNNNNNNNNNNNNNNNNNNNNNNNNNNNNNNNNNNNNNNNNNNNNNNNNNNNNNNNNNNNNNNNNNNNNNNNNNNNNNNNNNNNNNNNNNNNNNNNNNNNNNNNNNNNNNNNNNNNNNNNNNNNNNNNNNNNNNNNNNNNNNNNNNNNNNNNNNNNNNNNNNNNNNNNNNNNNNNNNNNNNNNNNNNNNNNNNNNNNNNNNNNNNNNNNNNNNNNNNNNNNNNNNNNNNNNNNNNNNNNNNNNNNNNNNNNNNNNNNNNNNNNNNNNNNNNNNNNNNNNNNNNNNNNNNNNNNNNNNNNNNNNNNNNNNNNNNNNNNNNNNNNNNNNNNNNNNNNNNNNNNNNNNNNNNNNNNNNNNNNNNNNNNNNNNNNNNNNNNNNNNNNNNNNNNNNNNNNNNNNNNNNNNNNNNNNNNNNNNNNNNNNNNNNNNNNNNNNNNNNNNNNNNNNNNNNNNNNNNNNNNNNNNNNNNNNNNNNNNNNNNNNNNNNNNNNNNNNNNNNNNNNNNNNNNNNNNNNNNNNNNNNNNNNNNNNNNNNNNNNNNNNNNNNNNNNNNNNNNNNNNNNNNNNNNNNNNNNNNNNNNNNNNNNNNNNNNNNNNNNNNNNNNNNNNNNNNNNNNNNNNNNNNNNNNNNNNNNNNNNNNNNNNNNNNNNNNNNNNNNNNNNNNNNNNNNNNNNNNNNNNNNNNNNNNNNNNNNNNNNNNNNNNNNNNNNNNNNNNNNNNNNNNNNNNNNNNNNNNNNNNNNNNNNNNNNNNNNNNNNNNNNNNNNNNNNNNNNNNNNNNNNNNNNNNNNNNNNNNNNNNNNNNNNNNNNNNNNNNNNNNNNNNNNNNNNNNNNNNNNNNNNNNNNNNNNNNNNNNNNNNNNNNNNNNNNNNNNNNNNNNNNNNNNNNNNNNNNNNNNNNNNNNNNNNNNNNNNNNNNNNNNNNNNNNNNNNNNNNNNNNAUCAGGAAUUACAAACUGGCAUGAUUAGAUGUGGUAUUGUUGAGGAGAAUGAAGCUAUGCUUGCACGUUUUCUGGGUGGAUUAAAUAGAGAGAUUCAGACCAUUCUAGACUAUAAGGAGUAUACUAAUAUCACUCGUUUAUUCCAUCUUGCUUGUAAAGCUGAACGUGAAGUGCAGGAUCGACAAGCAUUGGGGCGAACUAACUUUUCUGCAGGCCGACCUUCAUCAUGGACACCACGUGCAUCUUCUACUUCAACUGCACCAGCACCUCCAUCCGGUGCCACCUCCAGCCGUGAUACAAGAAAACAGGCACAACCACCAUUAUCCGCCAAGAGCGCACCUGCGGGGCCUGCACAGCGUUCUUCUUCUUCCAUGGCAUCAACAGGGCACACAAGUGAUAUUAUUUGUCGUCGUUGUAAGGGAGGAGGUCAUUAUGCGAGAGAAUGCAAAUCUCCGCGUGUGAUGAUUGCUACCGCGGAUGGUGGAUAUGAGUCCGCUAGUGACUAUGAUGAGGAGACAUUGGCUCUUAUUACACAUGAAGAACAUGGUGGAGAUGAUUCUGAUCAUGAGACGCAAUACAUGGCUCCUGAAGACGCUGACAGGUAUGAAUGUUUAGUUGCUCAACGUGUUUUGAGUGUGCAGGUCACACAAGCUGAGCAAAAUCAGAGACACAAUUUGUUCCAUACCAAGGUAGUUGUGAAGGAACGUUCUGUGCGCGUCAUAAUAGACGGAGGGAGCUGCAACAACUUGGCUAGCAUGGAGAUGGUGGAGAAGCUUUCUCUCACCACAAGACCACAUCCACAUCCUUACUACAUCCAAUGGUUCAACAACAGCGGCAAGGUUAAGGUAACACGUACUGUUCGUAUGCAUUUUAGUAUCUCUACAUAUGCUGAUUAUGUUGAUUGUGAUGUGGUACCUAUGCAAGCAUGUUCCUUAUUACUUGGUAGACCAUGGCAAUUUGAUAAAAAUUCUGUACACCAUGGUAGAAACAAUCACUAUACUCUUGUUCAUAAGGAUAAAAAUAUUACUUUGCUUCCUAUGACUCCUGAUUCCAUUUUGAAAGAUGAUAUUAAUAGAGCUAAUAAAGCAAAACAGGAGACGAAUAAGAGUGAAAAUCAGAUUGUGGCAAAAGAAUUCGAGCAACAAAUGAAGCCUAAUAAUAAACCAUCUAGUGUUGCUUCUGAAAUUAAAUUGAAAAGUGCAUGUUUAUUUGCCACCAAAUCCGAUAUUGAUGAGCUAGAUUUCAGCAAAUCUGUUUGCUAUGCUUUUGUGUGCAAAGAGGCAUUAUUUUCAUUCGAGGACGUGCCUUCCUCUUUGCCUCCUGCUGUCACUAACAUUUUGCAGGAGUUCGCUGACGUCUUUCCACAAGACGUGCCACCGGGAUUACCGCCUAUUCGAGGGAUUGAGCAUCAGAUUGACUUAAUUCCCGGUGCUUCACUGCCAAACCGUGCACCAUACCGUACCAAUCCAGAGGAGACGAAGGAGAUUAUGCGUCAAGUACAAGAGCUUCUCGACAAAGGUUAUAUACGCGAAUCCCUUAGUCCUUGUGCUGUUCCUAUUAUUCUAGUGCCGAAAAAGGAUGGUACAUCACGUAUGUGUGUUGAUUGUAGAGGCAUUAAUAAUAUUACUAUUCGUUAUCGUCAUCCUAUUCCUAGGCUAGAUGAUAUGCUUGAUGAAUUGAGUGGCUCUACAAUAUUCUGCAAAGUUGAUUUGCGUAGUGGAUACCAUCAAAUUCGUAUGAAAUUGGGAGAUGAAUGGAAAACAGCAUUCAAAACUAAGUUUGGAUUAUAUGAGUGGUUAGUCAUGCCUUUUGGGUUAACUAAUGCACCUAGUACUUUCAUGAGAUUAAUGAACGAAGUUUUACGUGCUUUCAUUGGACGAUUUGUGGUAGUUUACUUUGAUGACAUAUUGAUUUAUAGCAGAUCUUUGGAAGAACAUUUGGAACAUUUACGUGCUGCUUUUAUUGCUCUACGUGAUGCACGUUUGUUUGGUAAUCUUGGGAAGUGCACCUUUUGCACCGACCGAGUAUCUUUUCUUGGCUAUGUUGUUACUCCACAGGGAAUUGAAGUUGAUAAAGCCAAGAUUGAAGCUAUUGAGAGUUGGCCGCAACCCAAAACGGUCACACAAGUGAGGAGUUUUCUUGGCCUCGCUGGAUUCUAUAGGCGUUUUGUGAGAGAUUUCAGCACCAUUGCUGCACCUCUCAAUGAGCUUACAAAGAAAGAUGUGCCUUUUCUUUGGGAUACCGCACAGGAAGAAGCCUUCUCGGUAUUGAAAGAUAAGUUGACACAUGCUCCUUUACUCCAACUUCCUGAUUUUAAUAAGACUUUUGAGCUUGAAUGUGAUGCUAGUGGAAUUGGAUUAGGCGGUGUGUUAUUACAAGAUGGCAAACCUGUUGCGUACUUUUCUGAAAAAUUGAGUGGGCCUAGUCUGAACUAUUCUACUUAUGAUAAAGAAUUAUAUGCUCUUGUUCGGACUUUAGAAACAUGGCAACAUUAUUUAUGGCCCAAAGAUUUUGUUAUACAUUCUGAUCAUGAAUCUUUGAAACAUAUUAAAAGUCAAGCUAAACUGAAUUGUAGACAUGCUAAAUGGGUUGAACUCAUUGAGACUUUUCCUUAUGUCAUUAAACACAAGAAGGGAAAAGAAAAUGUUAUUGCUGAUGCAUUAUCUCGCCGCUAUACUAUGCUUUCACAACUUGACUUCAAAACAUUUGGUUUGGAGACCAUCAAAGAUCAAUAUGUGCAUGAUGCUGAUUUUAAAGAUGUAAUGCAGAAUUGUAAAGAAGGAAGAAUGUGGAACAAGUUCGUCGUUAACGAUGGAUUUGUGUUUCGUGCUAACAAGCUAUGCAUUCCAGCUAGCUCCGUUCGUCUUUUGUUGUUGCAGGAGGCGCAUGGAGGAGGAUUAAUGGGACACUUUGGCGUGAAGAAGACGGAGGAUGAUAGAGGCGAGUGUCCCGAUCUUUCGAUGAGAUGAUGGAUAUCGCUUUGGUGGAAGUCGACUUUGACGAUCCGACUACGAACGUGCGAGGACGUCGCGCCUUAGCAAUCGCUAAACCAACUCCGAGAGGUUAUUGACCACGCCGGAGCACGAUCAACCUGACCAUGAGGGUCUGUUUCCUGCGAGCAAACGAAGAACAAGCAAGAAACUAAGAUUGCAAUCUGGAUAUUGCGAAUAUAAGAUGAAAGCUUUAUUGAUCAAGGUGGGGUUCUGUGACGCCUUUGUCUGGUCGUUGAACACAAACGAAGUACGCGAAGUUGCAGCUAUGGCGAACUUUUAAUCUAAACAAAACCCCAAAGUCUAAACGAUGCCCUAAGGGCUGUAUAUAUGGAGGAAGAGGGGGGGAAUUUCGUGGCCCUUGGUGGAGGGAUCCGAAAUCAACCCUAUCUCUUGUUUCCCCACACAUACGGACUCUAAAAAUAGCCUAUACUUAUGUAUUUCGAAAUUACAUGGGCCUGGCCCAAUAAUAAGGUGACGCAGCACCUAAAAUAGCCUCGGGACGAAAUUUAUGAAGUGGCAUCUUGUAUAUUUCGUCCAAGGCUUCAUGCACCCAUUAUGGUGGCUUCAAAGUCCUGAAAUCAUCACUUGUAACUCCGUUCUUGUUCCCCUUGCGCAUGCCAUCAUCUCCAUGCUUGUUCUUGCUCCAAUGUUCAUCCUUCUCCAAGCUAGGCCCUUCAUUUGUAAGCAAAACAAAUGUAUCCAAUUUAGGCAGCAUCAUAUUCUCAUGAAUAUUAGAAUCAUUACCAAGAAACGAAAGUACCUGGUAAUUUAGUUGGCGUGCACGAGCUCUAGUAAUUGGUCCAGUAUGUAUAGCAGCCGGGGCUGUGGGUGUAACAAUUGUAUUGAUGUCCUCAUCAUCCUCCCCUUCUUGAAAUGAAGUCGUCCUCGACGGAAGUUCAUCUUCCUCACCCAAAUAAGGCUUCAAAUCUGCAAUGUUAAAAGUGGGACUAACCCCAAAAUCUGCAGGCAGCUCAAGUUUAUAUGCAUUAUCAUUUAUUUUCUCUAACACCUUAAAGGGACCAUCAGCACGUGGCAUUAACUUUGAUUUGCGCAAAUCAGGAAAUCUAUCCUUACGCAAAUGUAACCAAACAAGAUCUCCAGGUGCAAACACAACAUGUUUUCUACCCUUAUCUCCAGCAAGUUUAUAUUUAGCAUUCAUACGCUCAAUGUUUUCCUUAGUUAACUCAUGCAUUUUUAAAAUCAAUUCAACACGUUGUUUAGCAUCAAAAUUAACCUUCUCCGAAGAUGGAAGAGGCAACAAAUCAAUAGGUGCACGAGGUAGAAAACCAUACACAACUUCAAAAGGGCACAUCUUAAUAGUAGAAUGCAAUGAACGAUUAUAAGCAAAUUCAAUAUGAGGCAAGCAUUCCUCCCACAUUUUCUUAUUAUUCUUCAAAACAGCCCUAAGCAUAGUAGACAACGUUCUAUUGACUACUUCAGUUUGUCCAUCAGUUUGGGGGUGACAAGUAGUACUAAAAAGCAGUUUAGUCCCCAACUUAGCCCAUAAACAUCUCCAAAAGUGGCUAAGAAAUUUAGUAUCACGAUCUGAAACAAUAGUAUUUGGCACACCAUGCAAGCGAAUAAUUUCACGAAAGAACAAAUCAGCAACAUUAACAGCAUCAUCGCUUUUAUGACAUGGUAUAAAGUGUGCCAUUUUCGAGAAUCUAUCCACGACAACAAAUAUGCUAUCCCUCCCCUUCUUUGUUCGAGGUAAACCUAAAACAAAGUCCAUAGAUAUAUCCUCCCAAGGAACACUAGGUACAGGCAAAGGCAUAUAUAAACCAUGAGGAUUGAGUCGUGACUUAGCUUUUUGACAUGUAGUGCAUCGAGCAAUAAAACGCUCAACAUCCCGUCUCAUCUUUGGCCAAAAGAAAUGUGUAGCAAGUACGUUGAUGAGGACAUCAAUACAAUUGUUACACCCACAGCCCCUGCUGCUAUACAUACUGGACCAAUUACUAGAGCUCGUGCACGCCAACUAAAUUACCAGGUACUUUCGUUUCUUGGUAAUGAUUUUAAUGUUCAUGAGAAUAUGACGCUGCCUAAAUUGGAUACAUUUGUUUUGCUUACAAAUGAAGGGCCUAGCUUGGAGAAGGAUGAACAUUGGAGCAAGAACAAGCAUGGAGAUGAUGGCAUGCUCAAGGAGAACAAGAACGGAGUUACAAGUGAUGAUUUCAGGACUUUGAAGCCACCAUAAUGGGUGCAUGAAGCCUUGGACGAAAUAUACAAGAUGCCACUUUAUAAAUUUCGUCCCGAGGCUAUUUUAGGUGCUGCGUCACCUUAUUAUUGGGCCAGGCCCAUGUAAUUUCGAAAUACAUAAUUAUAGGCUAUUUUUAGAGUCCGUAUGUGUGGGGAAACAAGAGAUAGGGUUGAUUUCGGACCCCUCCACCAAGGGCCACGAAAUUCCCCCCCUCUUCCUCCAUAUAUACAGCCCUUAGGGCAUCGUUUAGACUUUGGGUUUUGUUUAGAUUAAAAGUUCGCCAUAGCUGCAACUUCGCGUACUUCGUUUGUGUUCAACGACCAGACAAAGGCGUCACAGAACCCCACCUUGAUCAAUAAAGCUUUCAUCUUAUAUUCGCAAUAUCCAGAUUGCAAUCUCAGUUUCUUGCUUGUUCUUCGUUUGCUCGCAGGAAACAGACCCUCGUGGUCAGGUUGAUCGUGCUCCGGCGUGGUCAAUAACCUCUCGGAGUUGGUUUAGCGAUUGCUAAGGCGCGACGUCCUCGCACGUUCGUAGUCGGAUCGUCAAAGUCGACUUCCACCAAAGCGAAAUCCACCAUCUCAUCGAAAGACGGGACACCUUUGCCUCUAUCACACCACGUGCAUCUUCUACUUCAACUGCACCAGCACCUCCAUCCGGUGCCACCUCCAGCCGUGAUACAAGAAAACAGGCACAACCACCAUUAUCUGCCAAGAGCGCACCUGCGGGGCCUGCACAGCGUUCUUCUUCUUCCAUGGCAUCAACAGGGCACACAAGUGAUAUUAUUUGUCGUCGUUGUAAGGGAGGAGGUCAUUAUGCGAGAGAAUGCAAAUCUCCGCGUGUGAUGAUUGCUACCGCGGAUGGUGGAUAUGAGUCCGCUAGUGACUAUGAUGAGGAGACUUUGGCUCUUAUUACACGUGAAGAACAUGGUGGAGAUGAUUCUGAUCAUGAGACGCAAUACAUGGCUCCUGAAGACGCUGACAGGUAUGAAUGUUUAGUUGCUCAACGUGUUUUGAGUGUGCAGGUCACACAAGCUGAGCAAAAUCAGAGGCACAAUUUGUUCCAUACCAAGGGAGUUGUGAAGGAACGUUCUGUGCGCGUCAUAAUAGACGGAGGGAGCUGCAACAAUUUGGCUAGCAUGGAGAUGGUGGAGAAGCUUUCUCUCACCACAAGACCACAUCCACAUCCUUACUACAUCCAAUGGUUCAACAACAGUGGCAAGGUUAAGGUAACACGUACUGUUCGUGUGCAUUUUAGUAUCUCUACAUAUGCUGAUUAUGUUGAUUGUGAUGUGGUACCUAUGCAAGCAUGUUCCUUAUUACUUGGUAGACCAUGGCAAUUUGAUAAAAAUUCUGUACACCAUGGUAGAAACAAUCACUAUACUCUUGUUCAUAAGGAUAAAAAUAUUACUUUGCUUCCUAUGACUCCUGAUUCCAUUUUGAAAGAUGAUAUUAAUAGAGCUAAUAAAGCACAACAGGAGAAGAAUAAGAGUGAAAAUCAGAUUGUGGCAAAAGAAUUUGAGCAACAAAUGAAGCCUAAUAAUAAACCAUCUAGUGUUGCUUCUGAAAUUAAAUUGAAAAGUGCAUGUUUCUUUGCCACCAAAUCUGAUAUUGAUGAGCUAGAUUUCAGCAAAUCUGUUUGCUAUGCUUUUGUGUGCAAAGAUGAUAGAGGCAGAGGUGUCCCGUCUUUCGAUGAGAAGAUGGAUAUCGCUUGGUGGAAGUCGACUUUGACGAUUCGACUACGAACGUGCGAGGACGUCGCGCCUUAGCAAUCGCUAAACCAACUUCGAGAGGUUAUUGACCACGCCGGAGCACGAUCAACCUGACCACGAGGGUCUGUUUCCUGCGAGCAAACGAAGAACAAGCAAGAAACUAAGAUUGCAAUCUGGAUAUUGCGAAUAUAAGAUGAAAGCUUUAUUGAUCAAGGUGGGGUUCUGUGACGCCUUUGUCUGGUCGUUGAACACAAACGAAGUACGCGAAGUUGCAGCUAUGGCGAACUUUUAAUCUAAACAAAACCCAAAGUCUAAACGAUGCCCUAAGGGCUGUAUAUAUGGAGGAAGAGGGGGGGAAUUUCGUGGCCCUUGGUGGAGGGGUCCGAAAUCAACCCUAUCUCUUGUUUCCCCACACAUACGGACUCUAAAAAUAGCCUAUACUUAUGUAUUUCGAAAUUACAUGGGCCUGGCCCAAUAAUAAGGUAACGCAGCACCUAAAAUAGCCUCGGGACGAAAUUUAUGAAGUGGCGUCUUGUAUAUUUCGUCCAAGGCUUCAUGCACCCAUUAUGGUGGCUUCAACGUCCUGAAAUCAUCACUUGUAACUCCGUUCUUGUUUCCCUUGCGCAUGCCAUCAUCUCCAUGCUUGUUCUUGCUCCAAUGUUCAUCCUUCUCCAAGCUAGGCCCUUCAUUUGUAAGCAAAACAAAUGUAUCCAAUUUAGGCAGCAUCAUAUUCUCAUGAACAUUAGAAUCAUUACCAAGAAACGAAAGUACCUGGUAAUUUAGUUGGCGUGCACGAGCUCUAGUAAUUGGUCCAGUAUGUAUAGCAGCAGGGGCUGUGGGUGUAACAAUUGUAUUGAUGUCCUCAUCACUUAACCUUGCCGCUGUUGUUGAACCAUUGGAUGUAGUAAGGAUGUGGAUGUGGUCUUGUGGUGAGAGAAAGCUUCUCCACCAUCUCCAUGCUAGCCAAAUUGUUGCAGCUCCCUCCGUCUAUUAUGACGCGCACAGAACGUUCCUUCACAACUCCCUUGGUAUGGAACAAAUUGUGCCUCUGAUUUUGCUCAGCUUGUGUGACCUGCACACUCAAAACACGUUGAGCAACUAAACAUUCAUACCUGUCAGCGUCUUCAGGAGCCAUGUAUUGUGUCUCAUGAUCAGAAUCAUCUCCACCAUGUUCUUCACGUGUAAUAAGAGCCAAUGUCUCCUCAUCAUAGUCACUAGCGGACUCAUAUCCACCAUCCGCGGUAGCAAUCAUCACACGCGGAGAUUUGCAUUCCCUCGCAUAAUGACCUCCUCCCUUACAACGACGACAAAUAAUAUCACUUGUGUGCCCUGUUGAUGCCAUGGAAGAAGAAGAACGCUGUGCAGGCCCCGCAGGUGCGCUCUUGGCAGAUAACGGUGGUUGUGCCUGUUUUCUUGUAUCACGGCUGGAGGUGGCACCGGAUGGAGGUGCUGGUGCAGUUGAAGUAGAAGAUGCACGUGGUGUCCAUGAUGAAGGUCGGCCUGCAGAAAAGUUAGUUCGCCCCAAUGCUUGUCGAUCCUGCACUUCACGUUCAGCUUUACAAGCAAGAUGGAAUAAACGAGUGAUAUUAGUAUACUCCUUAUAGUCUAGAAUGGUCUGAAUCUCUCUAUUUAAUCCACCCAGAAAACGUGCAAGCAUAGCUUCAUUCUCCUCAACAAUACCACAUCUAAUCAUGCCAGUUUGUAAUUCCUGAUAAUAUUCUUCUACAGAAUUUUUCCCUUGUCUUAAACGCUGCAAUUUUUGAAGCAAUUCACGUUGAUAAUAUGGUGGAACCCAACGCGUACGCAUAGCAGUUUUCAAAGCAGCCCAAGUAGUUGGAAUAGGAUAUAAUCUACAACGUUCAGACCACCAUACACAUGCAAAACUAGUGAAAGCACAAACAGCAGCAGCAACUCGUCUCUCCUCAGGAUAUUGUAAACAUGUAAAUCGUUGUUCAGUUUCUAACUCCCAAGUAAGAUAUAUAUCAGGAACAUAUCUACCCUCAAAUGGUGGAAUAUUCAAUUUCAGUUUAGGAAUAUGGACAUCAUCUCGUACCUGAGGUGGUGGUGCAGGCCUACCAUUACGAAUAUAUACCUGAGGUCGACCUGCUGGUGGUGGUGCUGGUGGCUGCUCGUAGAUCUGAUUUUGAUCAACCUCAUCCUCAUAAUCGCCUGCAUACUCAUCAUCCUCCUGGGUACCAGCAACAGCAGUAGCAGGAGCCACAGAAGUAUCAACAGCAGCACCAACAGUUUGGCCAAACGCAAGAGGAACACGGCUCGCUCGGCGAAGGUCUAUUUCGUGACGUGGAGGUAGUCGUUGUUGUUGUUGUUGGAGAGGUGCGUUAGGUGCAGCGGGUGGUGGUGGUGGAAGACGCGCGAGCAAUUCAUUAAAUCUGUUAUCGAGCUUUGUUUCGAACGUCUUCUCAAGGCCAGUAAUCUUCUCCAUGGCCUCUUCAAAAUUAUUCAGCACAUCUUGCACCUGUUCAGUCAUCAUGUGCUGAAACUUAUCAUGAAGCUCCUUGUUCGAUAAGUUCUCCCAGUCAAUCUCGUCGGCUUGUGAUCCUGGCAUGGUUAGCAGCAAUAGAAACACACAAGAAUAUGAUCCUACAGACAACUAAGAAGUGGUGGUGGUGUAUCACAAAUCCGUCAAGCAAAUCUCAAAUUCUUACCAGUUCUUACCCAGCAGCAGGCGGUGAUCGGCAACUGUUGUUGUCAAAAACUCUCAAAGCUUGGAUAGAGCGAUUACCAGGGAGAGUCAAACACACGACGUAGAUGUAUGUGGAGCUGGGAAGGCUUAUAGUAUGGUAGCAAAAAGGGUCAGCAAUAAUCAAUUCAGAGAUGCAAAGUUGAAUAAACGCUCAACGACGGUACUGUGCUGGUCCUAGGCUAGACUGUGCUAGAGACGCGAGCCUAGAACACCAACAAAAUCACGGCGCGGCACGUAAANNNNNNNNNNNNNNNNNNNNNNNNNNNNNNNNNNNNNNNNNNNNNNNNNNNNNNNNNNNNNNNNNNNNNNNNNNNNNNNNNNNNNNNNNNNNNNNNNNNNNNNNNNNNNNNNNNNNNNNNNNNNNNNNNNNNNNNNNNNNNNNNNNNNNNNNNNNNNNNNNNNNNNNNNNNNNNNNNNNNNNNNUUUCGACUGCCCGGACCCAAAAACUGGAAACGGGUCAAAAAAAACUUCCUAUAAUGGCACCUGUCUCAAAACACUCAGAAACACCUAAAAAUAGGAUAGCCAGAAAUUUUUUCGAAAAAUGCAUUUUCGAAAAAUUUUGGGCCUAAACGGAGCGUGGCUACCCGACUCUUUCUUCUUUUUUUUUUUCCGAAACCUACUCCGGCAAGGAAACACGAAUCGGAAUCUAGAUUGAUCCCGAAAACAAACCUAAUAAGCAAGGAACUCGGAUUGGUGGUGGAUAUAUGGUGGUGGUAUAUGGCAGCGGUGGUAGUAUAUGGAUAUGGAUCGGUGGUGGUAUAUGGACACGGAUUGGUGGUGGUAUAUGGAUACGGAUUCGGAGCGGUGGUGGUAGAUGACAGGGCGAUGAUGAUGGUGCGGCGACGGCGUGACAACUUGUGAACAGAACUCGAAACUCUAAAAGACUAGACGCUAAGACCAGCAACUGAACACGACGAUGCAACCGCAAAUUCAACAAAGCAAAUACAGAAAAGAUUAUGCAAGGCUCAGAUUGGUUCGGAUGGGAUGAACUAACCCUAAUUUUUUUUGGCUUUUUCGUGGACUAUAGGUAUGAAGAACAGACUCGAUCUAAACUACGAAAAACUGUAAAAUCUCACCGAGCAACCUGGAAAUCUGAUACCACUUGAUAGAGGCGAGUGUCCCGAUCUUUCGAUGAGAUGAUGGAUAUCGCUUUGGUGGAAGUCGACUUUGACGAUCCGACUACGAACGUGCGAGGACGUCGCGCCUUAGCAAUCGCUAAACCAACUCCGAGAGGUUAUUGACCACGCCGGAGCACGAUCAACCUGACCACGAGGGUCUGUUUCCUGCGAGCAAACGAAGAACAAGCAAGAAACUAAGAUUGCAAUCUGGAUAUUGCGAAUAUAAGAUGAAAGCUUUAUUGAUCAAGGUGGGGUUCUGUGACGCCUUUGUCUGGUCGUUGAACACAAACGAAGUACGCGAAGUUGCAGCUAUGGCGAACUUUUAAUCUAAACAAAACCCCAAAGUCUAAACGAUGCCCUAAGGGCUGUAUAUAUGGAGGAAGAGGGGGAAUUUCGUGGCCCUUGGUGGAGGGGUCCGAAAUCAACACUAUCUCUUGUUUCCCCACACAUACGGACUCUAAAAAUAGCCUAUACUUAUGUAUUUCGAAAUUACAUGGGCCUGGCCCAAUAAUAAGGUGACGCAGCACCUAAAAUAGCCUCGGGACGAAAUUUAUGAAGUGGCAUCUUGUAUAUUUCGUCCAAGGCUUCAUGCACCCAUUAUGGUGGCUUCAAAGUCCUGAAAUCAUCACUUGUAACUCCGUUCUUGUUCCCCUUGCGCAUGCCAUCAUCUCCAUGCUUGUUCUUGCUCCAAUGUUCAUCCUUCUCCAAGCUAGGCCCUUCAUUUGUAAGCAAAACAAAUGUAUCCAAUUUAGGCAGCAUCAUAUUCUCAUGAAUAUUAGAAUCAUUACCAAGAAACGAAAGUACCUGGUAAUUUAGUUGGCGUGCACGAGCUCUAGUAAUUGGUCCAGUAUGUAUAGCAGCCGGGGCUGUGGGUGUAACAAUUGUAUUGAUGUCCUCAUCAUCCUCCCCUUCUUGAAAUGAAGUCGUCCUCGACGGAAGUUCAUCUUCCUCACCCAAAUAAGGCUUCAAAUCUGCAAUGUUAAAAGUGGGACUAACCCCAAAAUCUGCAGGCAGCUCAAGUUUAUAUGCAUUAUCAUUUAUUUUCUCUAACACCUUAAAGGGACCAUCAGCACGUGGCAUUAACUUUGAUUUGCGCAAAUCAGGAAAUCUAUCCUUACGCAAAUGUAACCAAACAAGAUCUCCAGGUGCAAACACAACAUGUUUUCUACCCUUAUCUCCAGCAAGUUUAUAUUUAGCAUUCAUACGCUCAAUGUUUUCCUUAGUUAACUCAUGCAUUUUUAAAAUCAAUUCAACACGUUGUUUAGCAUCAAAAUUAACCUUCUCCGAAGAUGGAAGAGGCAACAAAUCAAUAGGUGCAUGAGGUAGGAAACCAUACACAACUUCAAAAGGGCACAUCUUAGUAGUAGAAUGCAAUGAACGAUUAUAAGCAAAUUCAAUAUGAGGCAAGCAUUCCUCCCACAUUUUCUUAUUAUUCUUCAAAACAGCCCUAAGCAUACUAGACAACGUUCUAUUGACUACUUCAGUUUGUCCAUCAGUUUGGGGGUGACAAGUAGUACUAAAAAGCAGUUUAGUCCCCAACUUAGCCCAUAAACAUCUCCAAAAGUGGCUAAGAAAUUUAGUAUCACGAUCUGAAACAAUAGUAUUUGGCACACCAUGCAAGCGAAUAAUUUCACGAAAGAACAAAUCAGCAACAUUAACAGCAUCAUCGCUUUUAUGACAUGGUAUAAAGUGUGCCAUUUUCGAGAAUCUAUCCACGACAACAAAUAUGCUAUCCCUCCCCUUCUUUGUUCGAGGUAAACCUAAAACAAAGUCCAUAGAUAUAUCCUCCCAAGGAACACUAGGUACAGGCAAAGGCAUAUACAAACCAUGAGGAUUGAGUCGUGACUUAGCUUUUUGACAUGUAGUGCAGCGAGCAAUAAAACGCUCAACAUCCCGUCUCAUCUUUGGCCAAAAGAAAUGUGUAGCAAGUACGUCCUCCGUCUUCUUCACGCCAAAAUGUCCCAUUAAUCCUCCUCCAUGCGCCUCCUGCAACAACAAAAGACGAACGGAGCUAGCUGGAAUGCAUAGCUUGUUAGCACGAAACACAAAUCCAUCGUUAACGACGAACUUGUUCCACAUUCUUCCUUCUUUACAAUUCUGCAUUACAUCUUUAAAAUCAGCAUCAUGCACAUAUUGAUCUUUGAUGGUCUCCAAACCAAAUAUUUUGAAGUCAAGUUGUGAAAGCAUAGUGUAGCGGCGAGACAAUGCAUCAACAAUAACAUUUUCUUUUCCCUUCUUGUGUUUAAUGACAUAAGGAAAAGUCUCAAUGAAUUCAACCCAUUUAGCAUGUCUAUGAUUCAGUUUAGCUUGACUUUUAAUAUGUUUCAAAGAUUCAUGAUCAGAAUGUAUAACAAAUUCUUUGGGCCAUAAAUAAUGUUGCCAUGUUUCUAAAGUCCGAACAAGAGCAUAUAAUUCUUUAUCAUAAGUAGAAUAAUUCAGACUAGGCCCACCCAAUUUUUCAGAAAAGUAUGCAACAGGUUUGCCAUCUUGUAAUAACACACCUCCUAAUCCAAUUCCACUAGCAUCACAUUCAAGAUCAAAAGUCUUAUUAAAAUCAGGAAGUUGGAGUAAAGGAGCAUGUGUCAACUUAUCUUUCAAUACCGUGAAGGCUUCUUCCUGUGCGGUACCCCAAAGAAAAGGCACAUCUUUCUUUGUAAGCUCAUUGAGAGGUGCAGCAAUGGUGCUGAAAUCUCUCACAAAACGCCUAUAGAAUCCAGCGAGGCCAAGAAAACUCCUCACUUGUGUGACCGUUUUGGGCUGCGGGCAACUCUCAAUAGCUUCAAUCUUGGCUUUAUCAACUUCAAUUCCCUGUGGAGUAACAACAUAGCUAAGAAAAGAUACUCGGUCGGUGCAAAAGGUGCACUUCCCAAGGUUACCAAACAAACGUGCAUCACGUAGAGCAAUAAAAACAGCACGUAAAUGUUCCAAAUGUUCUUCCAAAGAUCUGCUACAAAUCAAUAUGUCAUCAAAGUAAACUACCACAAAUCGUCCAAUGAAAGCACGUAAAACUUCGUUCAUUAAUCUCAUGAAAGUACUAGGUGCAUUAGUUAACCCAAAAGGCAUGACUAACCACUCAUAUAAUCCAAACUUAGUUUUAAAUGUUGUUUUCCAUUCAUCUCCCAAUUUCAUACGAAUUUGAUGGUAGCCACUAUGCAAAUCAACUUUGGAGAAUAUUGUAGAGCCACUCAAUUCAUCAAUGAUAGAGGCUAAGGUGUCCCGUCUUUCGAUGAGAUGAUGGAUAUCGCUUUGGUGGAAGUCGACUUUGACGAUCCGACUACGAACGUGCGAGGACGUCGCGCCUUAGCAAUCGCUAAACCAACUCCGAGAGGUUAUUGACCACACCGGAGCACGAUCAACCUGACCACGAGGGUCUGUUUCCUGCGAGCAAACGAAGAACAAGCAAGAAACUAAGAUUGCAAUCUGGAUAUUGCGAAUAUAAGAUGAAAGCUUUAUUGAUCAAGGUGGGGUUCUGUGACGCCUUUGUCUGGUCGUUGAACACAAACGAAGUACGCGAAGUUGCAGCUAUGGCGAACUUUUAAUCUAAACAAAACCCCAAAGUCUAAACGAUGCCCUAAGGGCUGUAUAUAUGGAGGAAGAGGGGGGGAAUUUCGUGGCCCUUGGUGGAGGGAUCCGAAAUCAACCCUAUCUCUUGUUUCCCCACACAUACGGACUCUAAAAAUAGCCUAUACUUAUGUAUUUCGAAAUUACAUGGGCCUGGCCCAAUAAUAAGGUGACGCAGCACCUAAAAUAGCCUCGGGACGAAAUUUAUGAAGUGGCAUCUUGUAUAUUUCGUCCAAGGCUUCAUGCACCCAUUAUGGUGGCUUCAAAGUCCUGAAAUCAUCACUUGUAACUCCGUUCUUGUUCCCCUUGCGCAUGCCAUCAUCUCCAUGCUUGUUCUUGCUCCAAUGUUCAUCCUUCUCCAAGCUAGGCCCUUCAUUUGUAAGCAAAACAAAUGUAUCCAAUUUAGGCAGCAUCAUAUUCUCAUGAAUAUUAGAAUCAUUACCAAGAAACGAAAGUACCUGGUAAUUUAGUUGGCGUGCACGAGCUCUAGUAAUUGGUCCAGUAUGUAUAGCAGCAGGGGCUGUGGGUGUAACAAUUGUAUUGAUGUCCUCAUCAGAGGACGUACUUGCUACACAUUUCUUUUGGCCAAAGAUGAGACGGGAUGUUGAGCGUUUUAUUGCUCGAUGCACUACAUGUCAAAAAGCUAAGUCACGACUCAAUCCUCAUUGUUUAUAUAUGCCUUUGCCUGUACCUAGUGUUCCUUGGGAGGAUAUAUCUAUGGACUUUGUUUUAGGUUUACCUCGAACAAAGAAGGGGAGGGAUAGCAUAUUUGUUGUCGUGGAUAGAUUCUCGAAAAUGGCACACUUUAUACCAUGUCAUAAAAGCGAUGAUGUUGUUAAUGUUGCUGAUUUGUUCUUUCGUGAAAUUAUUCGCUUGCAUGGUGUGCCAAAUACUAUUGUUUCAGAUCGUGAUACUAAAUUUCUUAGCCACUUUUGGAGAUGUUUAUGGGCUAAGUUGGGGACUAAACUGCUUUUUAGUACUACUUGUCACCCCCAAACUGAUGGACAAACUGAAGUAGUCAAUAGAACAUUGUCUACUAUGCUUAGGGCUGUUUUGAAGAAUAAUAAGAAAAUGUGGGAGGAAUGCUUGCCUCAUAUUGAAUUUGCUUACAAUCGUUCAUUGCAUUCUACUACUAAGAUGUGCCCUUUUGAAGUUGUGUAUGGUUUCCUACCUCGUGCACCUAUUGAUUUGUUGCCUCUUCCAUCUUCGGAGAAGGUUAAUUUUGAUGCUAAACAACGUGCUGAAUUGAUUUUAAAAAUGCAUGAGUUAACUAAGGAAAACAUUGAGCGUAUGAAUGCUAAAUAUAAACUUGCUGGAGAUAAGGGUAGAAAACAUGUUGUGUUUGCACCUGGAGAUCUUGUUUGGUUACAUUUGCGUAAGGAUAGAUUUCCUGAUUUGCGCAAAUCAAAGCUAAUGCCACGUGCUGAUGGUCCCUUUAAGGUGUUAGAGAAAAUAAAUGAUAAUGCAUAUAAACUUGAGCUGCCUGCAGAUUUUGGGGUUAGUCCCACUUUUAACAUUACAGAUUUGAAGCCUUAUUUGGGUGAGGAAGAUGAGUUUCCGUCGAGGACGACUUCAUUUCAAGAAGGGGAGGAUGAUGAGGACAUCAAUACCAUUGCUACACCCACAGCCCCUACUGCUACAUAUACGGGACCAAUUACUAGAGCUCGCGCACGCCAAUUAAAUUAUCAGGUACUUUCGUUUCUUGGUAAUGAUUCUAAUGUUCAUGAGAAUAUGAUGCUGCCUAAAUUGGAUACAUUUGUUUUGCUUACAAAUGAAGGGCCUAGCUUGGAGAAGGAUGAACAUUGGAGCAAGAACAAGCAUGGAGAUGAUGCCAUGCGCAAGGGGAACAAGAACGGAGUUACAAGUGAUGAUUUCAGGACUUUGAAGCCACCAUAAUGGGUGCAUGAAGCCUUGGACGAAAUAUACAAGAUGCCACUUCAUAAAUUUCGUCCCGAGGCUAUUAUAGGUGCUGCGUCACCUUUUUAUUGGGCCAGGCCCAUGUAAUUUCUAAAUACAUAAGUAUAGGCUAUUUUUAGAGUCCGUAUGUGUGGGGAAACAAGAGAUAGGGUUGAUUUCGGACCCCUCCACCAAGGGCCACGAAAUUUCCCCUCUCUUCCUCCAUAUAUACCGCACUUAGGGGUCCGUUUAGACUUUGGGUUUUGUUUAGAUUAAAAGUUCGGCAUAGCUGCAACUUCGCGUACUUCGUUUGUGUUCAACGACCAGACAAAGGCGUCACAGAACCCCACCUUGAUCAAUAAAGCUUUCAUCUUAUAUUCGCAAUAUCCAGAUUGCAAUCUUAGUUUCUUGCUUGUUCUUCGUUUGCUCGCAGGAAACAGACCCUCGUGGUCAGGUUGAUCGUGCUCCGGCGUGGUCAAUAACCUCUCGGAGUUGGUUUAGCGAUUGCUAAGGCGCGACGUCCUUGCACAUUCGUAGUCGGAUCGUCAAAGUCGACUUCCACCAAAGCGAUAUCCAUCAUCUCAUCGAAAGACGGGACACCUUUGCCUCUAUCACUCGUCGAGGAUAGGCAUGUCGUCAUGUAGGAGACCUAGCACCAAAGAAGAAAACACACUAGGAGUAGAGGUUAAGUCGUUAGAAAUCAUAGUGGCCUCACAUGCUGUGUCAACUACCUCACUCACUAAGUGUUGUGGCUCACUCACUCCCUCAAGGAUGCUCUCACUCGUAUGGUAGGUGGAGUCACUCAAAUGGCUCUCAACCUCACAUAGGAUGUGUUGCAUGCUCUCAUGUGUGGGGCUAGUGGUGGUCACACUCAUCCUCUCAUAGGAAAUGCUCUCAAUGUCACGUAUGGUGGAGUCACUCAUGUCACUCAUGUGGUGGUGGCUCUCCUCACAUGGCACUUUGGGCAUCUCUUCAUAUGUGGGUGUCGGAGAGGUGUAGGUGCAAAUGUCUCCAUGCGCGGCCGCGUAGCUUGACUCGGAGUAUGAGUCUAAUGUGGGCGCCGUCUUCAUGUUGUUGAAGUGGUUCGCGCGCGUCGCCGUGGUCGAAGGGGAUGGCCCUUGCUCGACCGUCUUGGUGUUGGAGGCCCAUAUGAUGUGGCACCUCGUAGCUCGUCUCCAUGACCGAAGGGAAUUUCCCAUGCUCGGCCAUCUUCCUUGGGGGGCUUCCGAAGAUGGAAGUGUCACCCUCACUUGUAUGUGGUCGCCUUGGACUUGAUGAAGUCGUUGUAGGCGUACUUGUGGGAAGUAGGCGAAGAUGUCGUACGUCCAUAGGCGAAGAUGCCUUGAGAACACUUGGCGAAGAUGCCGAAGUGGUUGAUGUAGCCGUAGCGCCGUCUUGGUGGUGGUCGUCUCGCGGACUUCUUUUAUGCUCAUGAAGCUUCGACUUGGCGUGUUGGGACUUGUGCAUUUGUGCUUGUGGAGCAUCUUCAUGAUGAUGGUGUCGUUGUCGUGCUUGAACUCGAAGGCGUUCGUCGUCGUCGUGCACAUGAUGCUUGGAGGUGACUUGCCCUUCAUGACGAUGUUGAUCACGAACGUGAUGGUGGUCGCCAUGUAGAUGUGGACGAGGACGAGUUGCACUUGCAUCUUUUUCGCGCUCCGAAGAUUUGUGGCUUGAACGUCGUCGUCUUGAGGAUGAUGAAGUGGAAGAAGACUUGAUCAAGGCCCGAAUCUCUUCCAUCCUCGCAUCUUGCUCCUCCUUUUGUGCGGCAAGCUUGUUGUCGAUGUAGUCCAUUUUCCUUGCUUCGGAGUGGAAAAUGUCGAUGGAGAUGUUCUCAAUGCGCUCUUGCAAUCUUGAUUGUGCGCCUUGCAUUUGUCGUUGUAGAUCGAAGAUAGACGCUUUGGAGAUGUAGUUGUUCACACCGUCGUUGUUGUCGUAGACCGGAGAGGGAAUGCCUUGCCUAUCCAUCACAAGACUCGGGCAAAUAUGAGUGGGAGAAAGAGAAGAACUUAUACCAAUGUACCUUGACCGAUGUUGACGAUGAAUCAAGUUCACUCAAAUGCGGACAAUGAAAUAGCACUAUUGGUACCAAUCCUUGUCGGUUCUCACACCUACACAAGUAAAGCUUAUAGUGGAGCUCGGUGAGGAUAGUGGCACAAAAAUUUAAUGCAAAAUGUUAGCAAGAGUCAAUAAUGUUGAAAGAGAUUCACAAAUUCGCAAGUGAAACAAGUAGACCAAUAGCAAUAUGAAAGGCACACGGAAAUGCACACACGGAUAGAUAAAUGGGGUCGUGCAACCAAGGAAUGAGCACAAAAUGUGGAAUCCACGGAAAAUGCUCGUGUUGCACAACUCAAGAGAGACGCUAGCACGAUUGCUCUAUAGGCGGAUACGACACUUGUGCACAACCUAUAAGAUGCAAAAUGGAUAAACUUUCUAUCCCAAGUAUGCUAUAUAUGUAUGGUUCUCGAUGUUUCUCACACAAUGAUCCAAGAUGAUCAAAUAUGAUACCGUAUGAUAUAUUGUGAUGCUAUGGCUAUUGCUUACAAGCUCUUUGCUCUCUUUCUUUUGCUUAAAAGCUUUAUUUCUUUUUUUUUCUUUUUUUAUGGCCACUUUGCACAAUGCACAAACCAAGAUAGCAAUUGUGUAUAUGCGGGAACAAACUUGAGGCACAAUGGAUGGCAUGAUACCAAGAUGAUAUGGUAUGCAUGCAAUGGAUGGUGUAGACCGCUAAUGUGCACAAGUCACGUUGCCGGCAAUACUCAAAUGGCUAGUCUCGAUAGGCAAGUAACGCAAAAUGGGCUAGGGGUUAACAAUGCAAUUGCAAGGGAAUAUACAAAGGUGUCGUCGAGGUUACCGUCCUUUGCGAUGAUGAGUGGCGGUGUUCUUGGUGUAGAUACCAAGAUGAUGGAGACUCGUCCCUAAGUAGCCGAAACACCUUAGGAAACGGAAAAACCGCAAACUCAAAAUCUCAAAUGACAAAUGUCAAAUGGUGGUAGCGGAAAGCGGUGGUGGUGUUGGACUAGGCAAUGCGGAAGUGGAAUGAUGGGCUAUACACGAGUCGGAGUUGAAUUUGCUGUCCCUAAGUAGCCGAAACACCUUAGGAGACACAAGCCACAACUCAAACAAAAUUGGGUUAAGUUGGGGUUGAAAUGUAUGGUGGGCACGUCUAUGCGGAAGUAGUGGUGGUGGUUGAUGAAGAAGCAAUUGUCCCUAAGUAGCCGAAACACCUUAGGAGACUCUAGUCACAACUCAAACAACCACAUAUGCAAUGGGGAACAAAAUGGGUUAGGUUGCGGAAGUCGGUGGUGGUAAUGCGGAUGAUAUGGUGGAAGGCCUAGGCAAACUUGCCAAAUUUUGGAAAAUUUGAUGGAGUCAAAUUGUGUUGGUGGUAUUUUUGUGGGAUGGGGGAUGUCAAUAGCUUCAAAACGAGCUAAAGAACGUCAAAAACGGACUCCGGAUGAAUUAGUUAUGGGCAAAACGGUCAAACUCGGAACGCUAAAACUGGGAUGAUCCGGGUGAUCCGGGUUCGUCAGCUCCGGAUCUGUUUUCUGGGUGCGUGGGGUAUCCGGACGUCCGGGAGAGGGUCCAGCUGAUUCGGGAGGUGUCCGGAUGAUCCGGGAGAAGGUCCGGAUGAUCCGGGCAGGUCAAACUGCUCGGGAUUUCCUCUCGGGGACGAAUUUUUGGGCGGAAAUGGAUGAUUUUCGGGGCAAAAUUUGAUGGAUUUCGUGGAUGGAAGGUGGGGAAACUUGGGGAAAUGCUAGAUCCACUUGAAACCAUGCAAAUCCAUGGAUCAAAAUCAACAAAACAUCAUCAAACCAACAAAUCACAAAAAAAAAUUGGGGCUAUUUUUGGUGGGGAUUUUCGGAUUUAGGACGAAAACAACAAAAUCAAGCUAGAAAAAGGGGGCAGGGGCUCCAAAAACGUGAUCAACAUGGCUCAUGAUACCAUAUGAUGUAGGGUGGAACCCUAUAGCGUCGAUCUUUCACGUUUGGAGUGGAUCCUACGGGGAAUCACGAAGAACACGCGGAAGCACAAAGGGAAACUCGGGGGAAAAUGAGAGGGAAUCACUCAACCAACAAGGAAUCGAUCACACAAGUGCUAGAUCAUCGAAUACAUAGAGUAACAUAUGAUCCACAAUCAACAAAGGGAAAGGAUACAACGGAAUCGUUCUUCUCCAAGAGGAGGCCUUGAUGUUCUUCCCUAAAGAGGGGUCUUGAAUCCGCUUGGGGAUCUUCUCCGGAGAGGUCCUGAUCUCCGAGGAGAAGUAUCCAAGUGGAUGAGCAAAGGCUCUCACACAAAUAUGAGCUAAUCCAAUGCUGAGUCUCAAAGUGAGGAGGAGGAGUCCUAUAUAUAGGCUAGGGGGCGAAGGGGUACAUGGGCUCAGCCCAAGUCGCGCACACAGGCGGGGUCCGGAUGAUCCAGAUGGUGGCCCGGAUGAUCCGGGUGUCGGGGGUCCGGAUGAUCCGGGUGACCGUCCGGAUGAUCCGGCUUCGUCGAGCAGCUUCGGGUGUCUUCGGGCGCGUUAGCCGGAUCGUCCGGCUGGGUGUCCGGAUGAUCCGGGCAAGUCCAGUCUUGCUCCAUUCUUCUUCUUCCUUCUCCUCUUCCAUGCUUGGCCUUGAUCCUUGGAUUCUCCAUGGUCAUCUUGGUUGUACCUGAGUGUAUGCAAGGUCCAUGCAUGAGGUAGUAGUCGUGUCUCAUAUGCGGAAAGUGACGGUUCGAAGAGGAGUGAAUUCACCUUGUGUCCAAUGGCGCAUAGUCGAGGUCUCAUCUUAUGUGUCCUUAGGGCUUGGGGAGUAGUCGGAGUGUACAUGG
Molecule: long non-coding RNA, 142855 nt
Filed under: Triticum aestivum (bread wheat)
Lineage: Eukaryota; Viridiplantae; Streptophyta; Magnoliopsida; Poales; Poaceae
Description: long non-coding RNA (TAES_LNC011890)
Source: RNAcentral